GUCAUCUUCCUCGACAAUGGUUAACAUCUUUAGUAAUCGAGGUAUGAACUCUGUUCUGUUGAAAGCAAUCUGGGUAUUUUUUCCAGUGUAGACCAUAUUUUUUUCUAAAUGCACCGUACAUACAAGUUUACCCAUAUUUCUACCCUAUAUAUUUACUCACCUAAUGGCUAUGAAGACCCCUCGAAUGAGAUAAUUUUUUCAUUCUUUUUACCUAGUGUCUCCUUGGUUAUCUUCAUAUACACUGAUUUUUUUCCAGCUUGAUAUACGUUUUAAGUCUGUGUGCAUAUAUCUUAGUCUUCAACGCACUAUUCAUUGUAUUAUCUUUGCCUUUCUCAUGUAAUAUAGCAUCGGAAAGUCCCCUAGUUUUCUUUGUUGAUUUUUUUUUGGUUAGGAACGAGUACUCUGUCUGACCUCACAUUAGUUAGUUAUUGUUUUGUUGUUCCUUACCAUCUAUUUAAUGAUCAGGUGUAUCAUAGUUGAUGUUGUGUCUCCGAGUCUCAACUCUUCUUUGUGUCUCUGUAGUCAUUUGUGUUCUUUGUAGACCCCUGCUCUGAAACUAACAAAUCUUACAGACGCAAAAUAAAUAAAUUGAAUUGGAUUAACUCGUAAGACUUUCAAGAAGCAGCAUCCUUGAUCAGUAAUUAACCCCUGCUAUUAUAAUUUUUUUCUGAAAAUUGUAGGGUGCGGAGAAUGGCAGCGGAUCAAAAGACACAAUUACUGUGAUUGAAGCACCGAGGCAGUCUGAUCUAAUGGUAGAACUGAUAACCAAGCUAAAGCCACAAGUGGUAAUUACAGGGAUUGCUCAGUUUGAAGAUGUCACUAGUUCUGCCUUUGUACACCUUUUAGAUGUUACCAGACAAAUUGGGUCUCGGCUUUUCUUGGACAUAUCUGAUCAGUUUGAGCUGUCAAGCCUUCCAAGUACCAAUGGGGUACUAAAAUACCUUGCAGGAAAUGUGUUGCCAUCGCAUGCUGCAAUCGUCUGCGGCCUUGUGAAAAACAAGGUAUUUGUUCAGUAUCAAUCAAGGCUCUCAUGUUAAUUAGGACAACUUGUACACUUUACCUCACCUUCCCUUGUUCUAAUUUUCUUUUGCAGACCUGUUUAGCUACAUUGACAUGUCUGACAGAUAACGUUCAUCUCCCUCUUUGACCCUUAUGCUCAAGAUGACAACUUUAAUUGUUUUCAGGUUUAUUCAGAUUUAGAAGUUGCUUUUGUCAUCUCAGAAGAAGAGGCCAUCUUCAAGGCAUUGUCCAAAACAGUGGAAGUACUAGAGGGGAAUACUACGCCAAUUAGGCAAUAUUACUAUGGUUGCCUUUUCCAUGAGCUUCUGGCAUUUCAGCUUGCAGAUCGUCAUCCAUCUAUAGAGGUUUUUCCACUGUUUUGUUCCAUCCAUGUCUUAAAUCUUAAAUCAUAUUUCUUUUCUUUGAACAUGAACUCCUUCGUGAAAGCUUGAGAGCGAAGUUUGCUAACUUAAUUUACUUGACUCAUCUCCAGAGGGUUAAUGAGAAAGCCAAAUCAGCUGAGUUGAUAGGGUUUUCAAGUUCAGCAAUCUCCGUUCUUGAUAAUUCCGAGAUGUCAAUUGGCGAGAAUGAGAAGUCGUCCUUGAUUCACAUGGAUGUAGACCAAAGCUUCUUGCCUACUCCAGCAGCUGUCAAGGCCUCAAUCUUUGAAAGCUUUGCAAGACAGAACAUGACAGAGGCUGAAGUUGAUGUUAGUCCUAGCAUCAAACAAUUCGUUAAAAGUAACUACGGACUUCUAACUGACAGCUCUUCAGAGUUUAUUUAUACGGACAGCACACAAGGUAUUCUCAAUAGGUUGAUCCUCUGCUGCAAUCAAGAAGGUGGGACAUUAUGCUUUCCAUCUGGCUCGAACGGUAACCACAUUUCUUCUGCCAAGUUUCUGAAAGCAAGCCUCGUCACCAUCCCCACUGAGGGCUUCAAGCUGACCGGCGAACAGCUCAACAAAGUACUCGAGUCGGUCAAGAAGCCAUGGGUAUACAUUUGUGGUCCUACAACGAAUCCAGCAGGAUUGAUCUACAGUAAUAAAGAGAUGGAUAGUAUAUUAACCACUUGUGCCAAAUUCGGGGCAAGGGUUAUCAUUGAUACUUCAUUCUCAGGAUUGGAAUUUGAUCAAGGUUGGGGUGGAUGGAAUUUGGAUUCCAUUUUAUCAAAGGUCACUUCCCCUUCUUUUUGCGUCUCCCUUUUUGGAGGAAUGUCUCUGAAGAUGUUCAGUGGUGCACUGAGAUUCGGGUUUCUGAUUUUGAACAACCCCGAGUUGGCCGAUUCGUUUCAUGGUUUUCCCGGAUUGAGUAAGCCUCACGUCACAAUGAGGUAUGCUGUAAAGAAAUUACUUGGUCUAAACGAGCAGAAAGUUGGGGAGCUGACAAACGCAGUUGCUGAAAAUACAAAAACUCUGAAAUCCAGAGCUCAGCGCCUGAAAGAGGUAAAUUAUAUAUAUUAUUUAGCAUAUAGCAGCAUUCAUUAUUUUCUUAGGCACUUGGAAUAACUUAUAUCACUCCAUUCAACCUUCUUCCCACACCACUCAAUUCAUCUUUUUUUAACAAUUCUCAAUUCUACUUUCCUAGAAAACAUAAUUCUAGACGGCAACUCUCAGCACAUUAGAGUACUUGUAAGUUGUAACCAUUCCAAACAAAUGGAUAAUAGUCUUUGUUUGAUGGAUUGAUUGCAACAGACACUAGAGAAAUACGGGUGGGAGGUGGUGGAGCCUCAAGGUGGCAUUUCCCUGGUGGCAAAGCCCUCAGUGUAUCUGAACAAGGAAGUGAAUAUCAACGAUGGCAAGAAGGUUAAGCUGAAUGACUCCAACAUCAGGGACGCCAUUUUGCAGCGCACGGGGCUAUGCAUCAACAGUGCCAAGUGGACAGGGGUCCCUGAGUAUUGCCGCUUCACAACAGCGCUUUCAGACAGUGAAUUUGAGAGAGCAUUGGAUUGCAUCAGGACGUUCAAAGAUGCCCUCAACGGCUGACAAUAGAAUCAGUGAAAUCCUGAAUGGCUUUUCCAAAUGUUGGUGAUGUUUCGAGUGGGAGUGGGGUUGUUGGCAACGGGUGGAAAGCAAUUCAUGAUGCAGGAUUUGGGAAAUAAAGGAAGAAAUAAAACUUGAUUUGGUCUUCGUAAUUUGUAUGUGGAUGAUAACUUUUGUAACUUUGCCUGCCACUGUGGAGGGAGGUUGCCUGAUGAUGAUUUUGGUGUUCAUGCGCCACCUCUAGGCAGUGUAUUUUCUUACCACUUGGUAUAUUUGUAUGACCCUGAACUCCGAUUACCAUCCAAAUCAAUUUCUCUUCCUUACUAAAAUAACGCACCUACCUAAAUUAGAUUGAAACAAAAAUAAAAUAGGAAGUGGGGGUUCACAGGGUGGCUUGUUAUAUACUUGGGAUUCUCAAUUCCAAUCCUUAAUUCUUGAAACAUAAAUCAUCAUUCAGACCAAUCUUAAUACAUUUGAGUUCGAAAAUUCAUUACUCGAGUGUAAUUAAGAUCCCACGAUACAAAUUAUUGUCUAUGCAUGAUGAACCCCAAAGUAAGAAAUGGCACGACAUCUAUUGGUUGAGCUACAAAAUCUAUCUCGAGGUGCUGUUCAAUCCGUCAGACAAAAUCCACGUGUUGGUAGUUAAAGAACGUUUCUUCCGUAGCUUCAGGAACAAUCUAAAACCUGCAUUUCUUCCAGCCUUCUCUGUUUCUCUCCAGAGUAUUCUUGUAGCCUCCUCCUAUCUUCUUUGUACCAAAGGCAUAAAGAACACACUAGAUAAUCUACUGAUUCGAAUCCACCGAACUUAUAUAUACCCCAUCUCCCUUCAAACUUCAUAUCAUCAUACACCCAACAAUUGAAAAACCCCAAAGCUCUCAUCUUUAAUCACUACUCGUCACACCCAGAAACACAAAAUUAGAAUGGCGGCCAUCCCUACAAUACUAGCAAUCCUCAUAAGCUUAAUGGCAACACCUUCAGAAUCCCUAAUGCCUUACUCAAGGUCACUGUGGGAUCACAUGAUGAUGCUACCAGAGGACCCAUUUCGAAUCUUGGAACAAUCUCCACUCACCAUUCCCAAAGGAAUGGAGAGUACUACUACUCUGGCUCUGGCGAGUGCUGACUGGAAAGAGACCCCCAAAGCACACUUGAUCACCCUCGAUAUUCCUGGGAUGAAGAAGGAGGACGUGAAGAUCGAGGUGGAAGAGAACAGAGUGCUUCGGAUCAGCGGGGAGAGGAAAUCGGAACAAGGAGUCGAAGGGGAAAUCAAGUGGCACAGAGCUGAGAGGACUUCUGGAAAGUUCUGGAGGCAGUUCAGGCUUCCUGGGAAUGCCGACUUGGAUAAGGUGAAAGCUUCCCUGGAAGACGGAGUGCUUACUGUUACUGUGCCGAAGGUUGCUGAGGAGAAUAAGAGGCGGGCUAAGGUUAUCAGCAUUGCCGCUGAGGGGGAGAAGCAUUCCUCUGCUCAGGAGAUUGAGGCUACCAAGGCUGCUGCUUGAUCAUCGUUUUUACAAUUGUAAUGUUUGUGAUGGUUGAUGGCUUGUUAUGAUGGUUGAGGAGAAUAAGAGGCAGGCUAAUGUUUGUGAUGGUUGAUGGCUUGUUCAAUCAUUUGUAACUAGUCACAUACUUACUCGAUUUAAUAAAUGGUUAUAAUCUGCGAGUUUCCGGUGACUUGUUGUUCGGCAGAAAUUAAUGACUAGGAAGUAACCAGUUAUAUUCUCAAAUAACUAAUAUAAUUUGGCGAGGUCAUCCGAUCAUAUUCAUAGUUUUCCAGCUAGUUUCUUCAUCCUCUCUCCGAUGUCUGUGUUCUUCGCCCAAUUUUUUGCUAUCGUAUCUUUUGCCAGAUUUCAACUCCCUCAUGUUUCGGCAUUCUCUUUCUUGCUACUCUUCUACUCCUCUACUUAGGGUUUUCACUCUUUGUUCCUGUUUUUGCUCAUUAUUGUAAUGUGAGUGGAGAAACGAUGGUUUUGAUACUGGUAGCUUUUCAGUUCUUCGAAUUGUGAAUCUUAGAACUCUCUCGAGUUUUAUGUUUUGGGAGCAAGAAUCGUUGCCUUUAAGUUAAUUCCUGGUCUCGUUUUUGAAUAAGCCAAUUUCUAGCUGCUGCUAUUUGAGGCCGGGAGUAAAAUUAAUGUCCUGUGUUGCAGAUUUUCGUCUUUUUGUUUCACAAAACACGCCUGAUUGUUUGAUGCAUCAAAUUUUCUUCACUGUUGUUGCCUCAUACCAGGUUUGCUACACCAAGCUUUUGGCUUGGCGUCUUAAUCGUUUAUUAAAAAGAUGUGGAACUUGCAAUUGACUGGUAUCUUGGAGAAUGUAUGGUCCUUUCAGUUCGAAGUCUGAUGUUUGAUUUUCUUGGCUGUGUAUCUAUGUUCAUGUUGUUGCCUUUACUUAUACAGAUGACCGGAAAAGACAAGGUCUAUAGAUACAUGGCUACUUCGGAUCUGUUGAAUGAGUUGAAUCAGGAGGGACUCAAAGCUGAUGCUGAAAUGGAGACUAAAUUGUCGAAGAUUGUCCUCCAGCAUCUCGAUGAUGUUGCUGGUGAUGUUUCUGAAUUGGCGGUAAAAUGGUAUAUGGUGGUUCUUUCAAACUGCUAGUCAUUCUCAUUCGUUGCUUCAAUUUUAUGUACCUACAGAUUUCAAUGCCUAUUAGCGAAAUGCAGUAGUCAAAUUAGAAUGUUGUCGGAAUAUAGGCUUUGUUUAGUACCCUGUUUAAUGCAUGAAAAUCUAAGAAUCAAUCAUCUAGCAAAGAACUGUAUGUGUUCCCAUCAUCUUUGCUGGAGUAGAAGUGUCGGUUUUCUCUUCACAUAUUUAUGGCUAUGGUCGGAAUUAAAGUAUGCUUAGAUUACCAGUUUCUUGUAUGAUCUCGUUGUUCACCUUCCUUGAUAACUAGUCCAGUGAGCAAUGGCAGACAUCUGUUCGUACUGUUCACCUUGGAGGAUAUCUUGUGCUUAUUUUGUUUGCUUUGAUUGAACCAGGGGAUGGUCACAGAGAUAAAAUGUGAAUGUCUGGAUAUUUUGUGCGAAGUCCUCCACAAAUUUGGAAAUCUAAUGGCAACAGACCAUGAGUUACUCCUUGGUGUUCUUUUGUCCCAAUUAAACUUUAACCAAGCAAGUGUCAGAAAGAAGUCUGUUUCAUGUGUCGGUACGUUGGAAGUACUUUCUAUUUGAAACUUGAAGGAUUGGGCUUUGGAUACUAUUCAUCUAAAAAAACUUGUUUUGAUGGUACCCUCUAUAUAGUUCCAAUUACAUGAACAAUGCAAAAACCAACACAGAUUGCCUCUGCUCUUCAACCCCUACACAAACAAAGCAAAAUGAAAAUACACAAACUUUUUCAUGAGCUUCCAUUUUCAGAUUGCAAAGUACCAUCUCUCAAAGCCUUUGUAGUUACAUUUCUGAUUGCCAAGGAAAGGCUUACUUACUACAACUUUGUGCUUCUUUUGCAGUAUCUAUUUCUCCCUUAUCAAGUUAAAGGUUCACUGAAGUUCUGCAAGGCUUCUGAUCAGGCGAACACCGACACUGAGUUUCGUUACACAGUCAGAGAAGCACCAUAGUCUGCACCAGUUAGAUUCAGAAUCAUUGUGGCUGCCUUUUUUAUCACACAAGACAACACAAUGUUUUAUGGGUGAUGUUGAUUAUAUCUUGAACAGAUAAUUGACUGGCACUCAAAAGGAUAAACAGUCAAUACCAUGCAUCAGGGGCCUGGUAAAGAGAGGCUGAAGUUCCGAAGCAUGAUGCUAGCACUGCUGUGAAUGCUGACUUGGACAAGGUGAAAGCUUCUCUGGAAGAUGGAGUGCUUACUGUUACUGUGCCCAAGGUUGCUGCGGAUAAUAAGAGGCAGGCUAAGGUUAUUAGCAUUGCUGAGGGGGAGAAGCAUUCCUCUGCUCAGGAGAUUGAGCCUAGCCAAACCAUCCAAAGGUUGGAUGAGUUAAAAAUAAUUUGAUUGUGUGAACUGCAAAAAUGGGUAAAUUGUCGAUUUAAAGAUUUAAACUGUAAAUUUACUUGGUUGUAAGCUUUACUUAUUUUGUAGUGAAAUUAAGAUCUUUUUCUACAUAUUAUUUGUGAAUCUACGGGGUGGUAAUCAAUGAUUAAAGGUAAAAAUUGAUCGGAAGUUAAAUUUUAAUAAUAAGAUCUUACGAUUGAAAGUUGUUUGCUACAUCAAAUUUUCUCCUUCCUUUACUUCCCACCCUCACUAAUUUACUUACAAAUUAGGGGUGAAAGUUUUAUCAAGACAGUUAAAAAUUAGUCAUAUUUCAUCGAUUAAUUAAAAAUUUAAAAAAAAUUAAGUUAAUUGAUUAAUUGAUCAAUAUGAUAAUGAUCGAUUAAUUAACAGAUCAUAAAUAACAGUUACGUUCAAUGCCGAAUAAAUAAAUAAAUAUAUGAAAAAAAUCGGUUGAUUAUUCGUUGCAAAUUUGUGGUAAAAGAAAUCUUGAAAUCCUUGACCGAUUAAUCGACUGGAUUAUUUUAAUGAAUUUUAACCAUAACCGGCCGAAACCUGUUACAAACUCGACAAAAUAGGUUUUGCUGUUGGAGGUAGUCGUAGUCGAGAACGAAUUACUGCGAGGACCAGUGAUUCGCUUGCUCACGCUACGAUAAAAAGAGUGAUAGGAAGAAAGAACCUCUGAACCCUGCAAACCACUUCACGCAGACGCGAAAUCGCUCGACGGUCUUCCGAUCAUAUUCGAAGCUUUUCAGUUAGGUUUCUUCUUCUUCUCUCCGAUGUCUGUGUUCUUCGCCCAACUUUUUGCUAUCGUAUCUUUUGCUAGAUUUCCACUCCCUUCUUUUGUUUCGGCAUUCUCUUUCUUGCUAUUCUUCUACUCCUCUACUUAGGGUUUUCACUCUUUGUUCCCGUUUUUGCUCAUUAUUGUAAUGUGAGUGGAGAAACGAUGGUUUUGAUACUGGUAGCUUUUCAAGUCCUUCGAAUUGUGAAUCUUAGAACUCUCUUGGGUUUUAUGUUUUGGGAACAAGAAUCGUUGCUUUAAGAUAUUCACUAGUCUGGUUUUUGAAUUAUCCAAUUUGUAGCUGCUGCUAUUUGAGGCCGGGAGCUAAUGUCCCAUGCUGCAGAUUUUUGUCUCUUUGUUUCAAAAUGCGCCUGAUUGUUUGAUGCAUCAAGUUUUCCUCACUGUUGUUGCCUCAUACCAGGUUUGAUACACCAAGCUUUUGGCUUAGCGUCUUAACCACUUAUUAAAAAGAUGGCGAACUUGCAAUUGACUGGUAUCCUGGAGAAGGUAUGGCCCCCUUCAGUUGGAAGUCCGAUGUUUGAUUUUCUUGGCUGUGUAUCUUUAUCCAUGUAGUUGCCUUUACUUAUACAGAUGACCGGAAAAGACAAGGACUAUAGAUACAUGGCUACUUCGGAUCUGUUGAAUGAGUUGAAUAAGGAAGGAUUCAAAGCUGAUGCUGAAAUGGAGACGAAAUUGUCGAAUAUUGUCCUCCAGCAACUCGAUGAUGUUGCUGGUGAUGUUUCUGGAUUGGCGGUAAAAUGGUAUAUUGUGGUUCUUUCAAACUGCUAGUCAUUCUCAUUCGUUGCUUAAAUUUUAUAUACUAUAAAGUUCAAUGCCUAUCAACGAAAUGCAGCUGUCAAAUUGGAAUGUUGUCGGAAUAUGGGCUUUGUUAAGUACCCUGUUUAAUGCAUGAAAAUCUAAUAAUCAAUCAUCUAGCAAAGAACUGUAUUUGUUCCCAUGAUCUUUGCUGGAGUAGAAGUGUCGAUUUUCUCUUCACAUAUUUAUGGCUAUGGUCGGAAUUAAGGUAUGUGUAGAUUACCAGUUUCUUUUAUGAUCUCUUUGUUCACCUUCCUUGAUAACUUCGUGUUGCAGUCUUGCCCCACUGGUGAAGAAAGUUAAUGAUGCACAGGUAGUUGAGAUGACUGGCAAACUAUGUGAUAAGUUGCUAAAUGGUAAAGAUCAACAUCGUGACAUUGCAAGCAUAGCUCUGAAGACUAUUAUAGCUGAAGUCACUACUCAAUCUCUUGCUCAAUCAGUUCUUGUUGCUUUGACUCUACAAUUGACAAGAGGAAUAACUAGUCCAGUGAGUAAUGGCAGACAUCUGUUCGUACUGUUCACCUUUGAGGAUAUCUUGUGCUUAUUUUGUUUGCUUUGAUUGAACCAGGGGAUGGUCACAGAUAUAAAAUGUGAAUGUCUGGAUAUUUUGUGCGAAGUCCUCCACAAAUUUGGAAAUCUAAUGGCAACAGACCAUGAGUUACUCCUUGGUGCUCUUUUGUCCCAAUUAAACUUUAACCAAGCAAGUGUCAGAAAGAAGUCUGUUUCAUGUGUCGGUAAGUUGGAAGUACUUUCUAUUUGAAACUUGAAGGAUUGGGCUUUGGAUACUAUUCAUCUAAAAAACUCGAUAUGCUCUACUUGCAUUUUUUCCGUCCAUUCAGUUUUAGCUUGUACAAUCAUUUACCAAACAACGAAGGAUGCUUUCCCAUUUUUUUUAUCAUUGAUGGCAUUGGAAAUUUCCUUGAGUUUUUAUUAAGAAUGUUGCUGGAUUAUGCACCGGAUAUAAGAUCUAAUUCACAUCUGGAAGGUUGAUCACACUCUUUUAUUUUCAGCUUCUCUGGCUGCAAGUUUGUCCGAUGACCUGUUGGCCAAGGCAACCGUUGAAGUUGUUCAGAAAUUGAGAAGCAAGGGGGUGAAGCCUGAAUUGACCAGAACAAAUAUUCAAAUGAUUGGUGCUCUUAGGUAAGAAAUGGUGUGAAUGUCAUUAAUCUACUUGUUCUGCUAUUGAGUGUUUAUAAUGUAAAGCUGUUUGUUGAGUCCCGAUACAUUUGAGAUUAUUAAAUGAUGAGCAGUGUGCUUUGGAUGCUCUUAAGACUUGUAACUUCUGUAAUGCAUGCAUGUUCGUGGACUUGUGUAUAAUUCUGCCCAAAGGCCAAAAAAGAUUGAUAUUGCUACUUACUGCUUCAUUCUAUUGUUCCUUAGCCGUGCUGUGGGAUACCGCUUUGGACCCCAUCUUGAAGAUACCGUUCCUGUGCUUAUUAAUUACUGCACUAGUGCAUCUGAGAAUGACGAGGAGCUCCGUGAAUAUAGCUUACAGGUAGAAUAUUUGUUCUGAACGAACUCGGUUUUCUAGUUAUCACGAUUUGUUCACUUCUAUGUUCUCUGUGUUUACUUCUGGUACCAGGCACUAGAAAGUUUUCUGCUUAGAUGCCCGCAAGACAUUUCUUCGUAUUGCGAUCUUAUUCUUCGUCUUGCUUUGGAGUACCUAAGCUAUGAUCCCAACUAUACUGAUAACAUGGAGGAGGAUACCGAUGACGAGACCCAUGAAGAAGAAGAAGAUGAGUAUGUUAUCUAAGCAUAAUGCUAUCUUGUGUGUUUUAGAUGUAAAAUGAUCUUUUUUUUAGUCCAACCCUUUCUUACUUUGCAGUGAAAGUGCAAAUGAAUAUACUGAUGAUGAGGAUGUUAGCUGGAAAGUUCGAAGAGCAGCUGCUAAAUGUUUGGCUGCAUUAAUUGUUUCUCGUCCUGAGCUACUGGCGAACCUAUAUGAGGAGGUAUGAUUGAAUCAUAUGAAUCAUUAUCAUCUUAAAAAAACAGAAUUGCUUGCUUUUAUCUUCUAUGGUUUCAUUAUUGUCAGUCGCUUAACUUUACCUGAAAUAUAAAAUAUGUACUUAAAUUUUAUUGGAAGUGUAUUUCUCUGUGCCCUCCAUCUCAAACUUACUGUGUAUCUCCUUUCCUAACCUUGUCUGUGACUAUUGAUUUAUGCAGGCAUGCCCAAAAAUAAUUGAUAGAUUCAAAGAGAGGGAAGAGAAUGUGAAGGUAAAUCAUGAUCAGUUAAUGAUUCAACAAUUUUUUUUCACCAGUGAUUGUUAAUCAAUUGUGUUGAUCAAAAUGAAAGAUAGGUGGAUGUCUUUAAUAUAUUAUAAUUGCAGAUGGAUGUCUUUAAUACAUUCAUAGAGCUUCUACGUCAGACCGGAAACGUGACAAAAGGGCAGACUGACAUGGACGAAUCAAGGCAAGUUCUUUGGUUGGAGUUUACUCCGAAUGGCAUAAAUUGUUCUCUUGUGCCGUAAAUGCUUUACUUGUCCUUGUUUAGUUUAUCGUUGAAUGUAGUUUUGCACUGAGCUUUUAACACUUGUUGAGUCAACUAUUGUGGAUCAAACCGUCUAUGUGCUUAGCAGUUGUAUUUUUGUUGCGUAUGAACAUAUUAUCAUAAGUUGCAUGGAUACAAUUUUAAUUACUGUUAUGUUUCUGCAGUGCGCGAUGGCUAUUGAAGCAAGAAGUCCCAAAGAUUGUGAAGUCUAUAAUUAGACAGUUGCGUGAGAAAUCUAUCAAGACAAAGGUAAUGGUUUUCAACCUCUGUUAUAAGAUGAAUAAAUAUAAGCUCACUAUAACUUAGAUACUUUUAUGCUGCAGGUGGGUGCCUUUUCAGUUUUGAAAGAAUUGGUGAUUGUUUUGCCAGACUGUCUAGAAGAGCAAAUCGGAUCACUCAUUCCAGGAAUUGAAAAAGCACUAAAUGUAAGCAGAUAAUGUUAUAUUCACUAUUCCCUACCAUUGCAUGUUGGUUUACCUCUCCCUUUCCAAUUCUUGAAUGAUUUUGUACAGGACAAAUCUUCCACCUCAAAUUUGAAGAUUGAAGCCCUUGUGUUUACAAGAUUAGUGUUGGCUUCUCACUCACCACCUGUGUUCCAUCCUUUUAUCAAGGUAAUUAGUGUCGGCUUCUAUGGACACUAUGUUGGGAAAUUGUCAUUUGGAAGUGACAAGAACUCUGUUUACAUUGGAUCGAUCGAUGAUAUUUAAAAUUUUGUUGUUCUCAUCGUUCAGCGAGUGGGGAACUUGGCUAUAUGAGUAUAAAAUCAGUACAGUUGUUGAGUGUACUGAUUUGUUUGUUUGGCUGUUUGUCCAGGCUCUUUCUAGUCCUAUUUUAUCUGCUGUUGGUGAACGGUAUUACAAGGUUACAGCUGAGGCGUUAAGAGUAUGUGGGGAACUUGUUCGUGUUCUGAGGCCUAAUAUUCAGGUUUGCUUGUUUUGGACUUUUGUGAUUAGUGCCAGUAAUUCUGUUUCUUAUUGAGUAACUGGAGUUUGGAUACAGGACCACACAUUUGACUUCCAACCUUAUGUUUAUCCAAUAUAUAAAGCAAUUAUGUCACGUUUGACAAACCAAGAUCAAGACCAGGUUUAUAUAAUAAUUAUUGAGAUUUUUCAUGCUGGUGAUGUCUUAUUGCAACAAAAUUCAUUCCUUUUAUCCGUCUUCUUUUGUAGGAGGUCAAAGAGUGCGCUAUUUCUUGCAUGGGACUUGUCAUCUCCAGAUUUGGUGAUUGCCUUAGAGCUGAGUUAUCUGCUUGCUUACCUGUUCUUGUGGACAGGAUGGGUAAUGAUUUGAAUUUUUUUAAAUGCGUGGUAUUAAGUGGCCCAUUUGAUGUAUGUUUCACGUUCAUGUCAUGGCUUGUGACUACUAUAGUGAUUGUGUUCAGGCAUUUGCAGUCAUUGCUACUUCUCCUCUACGGAUUGAUCUAGCAUGUGUCUUGGAGCAUGUGAUUGGAGAGUUGACUGCGUUUCUGCGGAAGGUGUGCUACCUUUUUAUCUGCUCGUGUAUAGAUUGACUGUUGAUUGAGAGACUGCCAGACGGAUAACCAUCGUCAUUUUUAAUUAUAUUUAGGCCAACAGGGCGCUGAGACAGGCAACUCUAGCAACUCUAAAUUCUCUGGUGGUUGCUUAUGGUGAUAUGAUUGGUGCAUCUGCUUAUGAAGUUAUAAUUGUGGAGCUUUCAACACUGAUAAGGUUCUUUUCUCACUAUAGCUCUUCUUUUACAUUCCUUAUCUUCGUUGUGUUUUAGCUUAUUAAUCCUGGGAUUCUAAAUUUCCGAUUCCUUGGUAUUCAGUGAUUUAGACUUGCACAUGACGGCGCUUGCUCUUGAACUAUGCUGCACAUUAAUGGCUGACAGCAGGUCAAGUCAAAGUAUAGACUUGGCUGUGAGAAAUAAAGUUCUUCCUCAAGCAUUGGUGUUGAUCAAAAGUUCGUUGCUACAGGGUCAAGCCCUCAUGGUAUUUACUGUAUUGAUCCCAUGAAGCUAUCAUGUUUUAAAUGGAUUACGUAGAAUCUGUAUCCAUGCUUUUAAAAGUGCGCCAGUGUCAUGAGUGCUAGGCUCGUCUGUCAUGAUGCGAUGAUGCAUGAUAAAAGAUGCACCAGUUGAAUAUAGGGAUUAGGGGCAUCUAUACAAGACAGUCCUAUUUUCUGUGUGAUAUAUCUUCCCUUAGAAGACUUGCAUAGGUUGAAUAUCAGAAUCCCUUAAACAUGGAAAAAUAAAAGGUCCACACGUUUGACUAGAACUUUACUGUUGGUACUCGGUCAAUCAGUUUUGCUUUCUUACGUAUGUUAUUUUGUAAUAUUAGUUGCUGAUUCUGAAUGUUAUAUUUCAUUAUCCAGGCUCUGCAGAACUUUUUUGCUGCUUUGGUUUAUUCGGCGAAUACAAGCUUCGAUGUUUUAUUGGACUCGCUUCUCUCUUGCGCCAAACCAACUCCUCAGUCCGGCGGUAUUGCAAAACAGGCAUUGCAUUCAAUAGGCCAGUGUGUGGCAGUUCUCUGCCUCGCUGCAGGUGAUCAGAAAUGUUCAUCAACAGUUCGGAUGCUUACAGAGAUUCUCAAAGAUGAUAGCAGCACUAAUUCUGUGAGUUCUGUUAUCCAGCUUUACUGUGACUCCAAUAAUCUGUAGGUUUCUAUGUCAUCUCAUUACUGUGCAAUUGCUUUUAGGCUAAGAAGCACCUCGCCUUGUUGUGCUUGGGGGAAAUUGGGAGAAGGAAAGAUUUAAGUGCUCAUGCACAUAUCGAAACUAUCAUUAUCGAAUCUUUCCAGUCUCCUUUUGAGGAGAUUAAGGCUGCUGCUUCCUAUGCUCUGGGAAAUAUUGCUGUUGGCAAUUUGUCGAAAUAUUUGCCUUUUAUAUUGGACCAGAUUGAUAAUCAGCAGAAGAAACAAUAUCUUUUGCUUCAUUCUUUGAAAGAGGUAAGUCAUCAGGCUGUUGGGGCAUCUUUUUGCUGGACUUUUAAUAGUUGUGACAAACGUCUGCUGGUCUCUGUAACAUCUACCCUUUGCACCUUGUAGGUUAUAGUGAGGCAAUCAGUCGAUAGGGCUGAGUUCCAGGAUUCUAGCGUGGAAAAGAUACUUAAGCUACUAUUUAAUCAUUGUGAAAGCGAGGAAGAGGGUGUCCGAAAUGUUGUAGCUGAAUGCUUAGGCAAAAUUGCUCUAAUUGAACCAGUAAAACUCAUCCCUGCGCUCAAGGUAAAAUUUCUUACUGGCGUGUUGCCCAAACUAUUUAUUUGGAACAUCUGCUCCGGAAUAUUCACUUUCUGCUGUGUUGCUGUAGGUAAGAACAACUAGUCCGGCUGCUUUUACAAGAGCAACCGUGGUGAUUGCUGUCAAAUAUUCUAUAGUUGAGAGGCCAGAGAAGAUAGAUGAGAUUAUCUUCUCUGAGAUAUCGUCAUUUCUAAUGCUCAUCAGAGAUGUUGACCGGGUAUGUGGUAGUUUAUUCUGUAUGUGGUAGUUUCUUGCAAGUGGUUUGGAUUUCGAGUCCUAACUUUUACAUUUUGCAAUAUCAUGCAGCAUGUUAGGCGUGCAGCUGUGUUGGCCUUGAGUACAUUUGCUCAUAAUAAGCCCAACCUGAUUAAAGGAAUUUUACCGGAACUAUUGCCACUUCUCUAUGAUCAGACAGUAGUCAAGGUGGUUAUUAGAACUUCGAUCCUUUGGCUUGCUAAUGAUAGUUUUUGGUCACUUUAAGUUCUGAGUUGUGAGCUGUUGUUUUCUGCAGAAAGAAUUGAUACGGACUGUUGAUCUCGGGCCUUUCAAGCACAUUGUGGACGAUGGAUUAGAGUUGAGGAAAGCUGCUUUUGAGUGUGUGGAUACACUGUUAGACAGCUGUCUUGAUCAAGUGAAUCCAUCAUCCUUCAUAAUCCCUCACCUGAAAUCUGGGCUGGAAGGUACUGGGACAAACUUCCAUGAAUUUAUCUUUCUGAUUUGAUUAUCUUUGCAUCCUAAAUUGGGUCGUGCAUUGUUUCAAACUCGAAUCAUGGUUCUUUUAUCAAGGGACUAUUGCACUAUAAAGUUAAUCAUUACAGUGCAAACCUGAAGAGAAUAUUGCAUGUUACUUGCUCUGACUGGCUGAUUUUUGUGUGUGUGGAUGUUUCAGAUCAUUAUGAUGUAAAAAUGCCUUGCCACCUAAUUCUAUCAAAACUAGCGGAUAAAUGUCCAUCUGCUGUGCUGGCAGGUAAGAGAGCUAGCUAGCUAUUGAAUACCGAUUCAAUUGAAAUUGUAGAUAGAUGGUUCAAAUAAUCUGAUCGGAUUUGUUUUUUUUUUACACCACCUACCAUCAUCAGUACUGGAUUCACUGGUUGACCCUCUUCAAAAAACCAUCAAUUUCAAGCCAAAGCAAGAUGCAGUGAAGCAAGAAGUAGACCGUAAUGAAGACAUGAUCCGUAGUGCUUUACGAGCAAUAGCUGCUCUGAAUCGGAUAAGGUUAGAGUUCUAAACUGGUAAAUUCAUGAUGGUUAGACCCUUUAGUGAGAUCAGAGAUGUGCUAAACUAAGUUUGUCUGUUUGUGUGGUGGGUGCAGUGGAGGUGAGUGCAGCCAUAGAUUCAAGAAUCUGAUGAGCGAGAUCUCAAAAUCAGCUACGCUGUGGGAUAAGUACUACUCCAUCCGGAAUGAGUGAGACGCAAGUAAUGUCAGUUGUAUGAAUUAUGAAAGGAAAAAGGCUCUGCACACCAUCAUCAUCCCGUCCCGUUCACAAGUAUAACGAAGGAAGACGCCAUUUUGUAACAGUGGGUUGGUUGGGGAGGUUAGAAAUUUUAGAAAAUGAGAAUGCUUGUGGUUUUUGUCAUGUCCGAAGAGGGGUUGAAUGGCUACUGGGUUUGGUUUGGUUUGGUUAUAGCAGCAGUUUCUUUUUUCUUUUUUCGGAUGAAUAUAGCAGCAUUCUUUCGCUGUGGACAAAGAUGAGUAAAUAUAAUUAUUGAAUUUUCUAUCUGACCCGUUUUGCCUUGGGCAAUUGCCUUGAUUUGCCGACCACAAUUUUUUCACCUUCUGGCAACUGGAGUAAGAGAGGAGCCUCUACACAAAACAAAGCAAAACCGGUUGCCUCUACACAAACAAAGCAAAAUACGCAUAAGCUCGUUCUUGAGCUCUCAUUUUCAGAUUGCUAGGCGCCAUCUUUUGUACUCGUGUUUCUUUUCUGAUUGCCAAGCAAAGGCUUACUUAAUACAACUUUGUGCUUCGUUUACAAUAAUCCAUUUCCCCCAUAGCCCGUUCCUGAAUCCUCAACUACUACUUUCACCGGCAUUUGCUUGUACACGACAGACCAAAACUAUAUCGAAGAAGGGAAAGAAUAGCCUGCAACUAACUUAUCUAGUUAAAAUUUCACUGCUUUUAAGUUCGUCGCACGGUCAGAGAAGCACCAUUGUCUGCACCUGUUAGAUUCAGAAUCAUUGUGGCUGCCUUCACUGCCCUGUUUCAUCACACAAAACAACACAAUGUGUUUAUGGGUGAUCUUGAUUUUAUCUUGAGCAGAUAAUUGAUUGGUACUGGGAAGGAGUAAACAGACAGAAUACCAUGCAUCAGGGGCCUGGUAAAGAGACGCUGAAGUUCCGAAGCAUGAUGCCAGCAUCUCUGUAUGGAUCACCCCUGGAUUAAGCGCAACAAUUGCCAUUCCAUCGGGCAACUCUUUUGCAACUGAUCUCGACAGCCCUUCUAUUGCCCAUUUCGACGCGCAAUAAGGUGCAACCUGCGACAAACGUAUGUUACAAAUAAAAAUCGAAGAAGAGUAGAACGACCAAUGGUGCAAGAUACUAUAGCUGUCUAUCAAAGAGCCUUUUCUCCACCAGAAACAAAGACAAUCAACCCUCUAUGAAAUAGCUUACACUCUCAUCCAGAGCAGAGUAUUCAAAGCUGACUCCUUCAAUCAUCUCAACUUCCAACUUAUUUAAGCCCUUUGGACACUGCAUUCUACCAAUCGAAUGGUAAGCAACAACUUUACAUCUAGCAAAAACUAUAUAGCUUAACAUACUAUAUCUUAUAUCAAAGUUUUCACUAGCAAAUCCCCCCAGAAGUAGAAAUCACUUGCACAAGCAUCUCGACCAUUCACUACCAACUAAAUCCGGAGACAAUCUCAACUUCCAUUGCAUGUAAAUGUAUCUGUCCAUUGGAAAAAGAAACACAAAGCAAUGAAGGGAAAUGAGUAGUACCAGUGCAGCACCAGAUCUUCCCCAUCCAGAAGAGAUGUUAACUAUGAUGCCUUGCUUGUUGGGAAGCAUUAAAGGGAUGAAAUGGCGCAACACAUUAGCUACACCUUUCAAAUUCGUAUCAAUAACAGCAUCAAAUUCCUCCUAAGGCACUUCCCAUAUCUUGUUAUUCUUGUUAAUCGUUCCAGCAUUGUUCACUGCAAUAACCGAUUCUCCAAAUCAACCCUACCCCCAAUUUCCAAAUCUAUCUAUCCUCACAACACCUAUAGAACGAAAUGAAAUAGCGGAAAUAUAUAAGUGAGAUUCAUCAUUCAUGGAAAAAAACCUAUAAUAUCAGGAACGCCCUUCUUCUCCAUUACCAAUCGAGCCAGCUCUCCGACACUGCUGUCUGACCUCUGAAUGCAUAGAAUGAACAUCUAUAAGCUAAAAAAAUGGAAACGGAAAUUUCAAGCAGCGGAGAAGAAAAGACAGGUGAAAUUACAAUGUCAGCGUCGAGAAGGAGGUGGCGGUCGGAGGAUUCCAGCUCGGAUUGAAGAGAAUUGAGCUUCUCUUGAGUUCGAGAGCAACCGAUUACCGUAUGACCUCUCUUGGCUAAUUCUUGUGCUAAAGCUCUUCCCAAUCCUCUGCUCACUCCCGUUAUCAGCACUUUCUUCCCUCCGCUGCCUCUGGCUUUGUUCACCAGGCCCAAAGACGAAGCAGCAACCGCAGCCGUCAUCUCCGAAACUACGAUCUCGGCAAUUAUCUGCUCAGUUCAGUUCUUCGUCGCUAAUAAUUCGUGGGAAAUCGUUGAUACACGUGGCAAGUUUAAGAGCAGAACUCGUGUUUUAAGUGGCGUUUUGCGUCUGUGAGAGUGGCGUUUUGGAAGCCAACAGUUGUGGUGGCGGAUCUUCAUUAUCCUCAGCAGCAACGGACACUCGCUUCUGCUCUUAGCGGCUCCCUCAUUUUCUCUAAUUUUUUCCAACUUUUCCAAAGUAACACCAUUGAAGAUUAGACAAGCUUCUCAAGUGGUGCUAGACUUCUUGGUUUCAUUAUUUUUGGUAAUUAUUCCUAACUUCAAGCACCAUACAUGUUGAAUUGAAUGCUCUCAAAGGUCUAGGGUUCCUGCUCCCUUAUAUUGUUCUCUGUCUGUAAUUUCUCUUUCCCCCACUGGGAGCUGCAAGUUGGAAGUGUGGAUCAUGAUUCAUGAACGUUGAGGUUAGAAAGAAGGCUAAAGCUCAGAUCUUUUGACAUGCUAACGUAUUAGCUGAUAUAUAAUUGUUAGGAAUUUGGAUAUGGGGCUCUAAUUUCUAUUUUGCUGAUUCGUGACGUACUCAGACAUUGCUGAAUCGUUAGUAGGAUAUGUCAACCUCCAGACCUGGUAUUACACUGAUGUGCUACUGGAAUGGGAGAAUAUCAAAUGGAUCAAACGGCAUCUUCUACGAAGGAGCUACAACGAAGCCCAUCAGGGUCAGCUGUGAGAUAACCUACAAUGAAUUACUGGAUACGAUAUACAGAAUUACAGAAUUUGACAAGCUACGGUUUGCGAUAAAGAUCAUCUGUAGGUAUCCAGCUUGCAGAGAAUUCAUUCCUGUUCCCAUAGAGGAUGAUGAUUCUGCAGAUAUAGUCUUUGAUGUUGCUCGUCAACCUGAAACAAAUUGCUUGGAGUUGUAUGUUGAGAAAGUUCCAAUCCCUAUUGACAAUACAACACCAAAUGCCGCGACACUGCUUCGAUUCGAUGAUCACGUCAAUGAUGGUGCAAUAGCAAUGGAGGUUGAUAAUCAAGCUGUUGCUGGAUCAUUAGACUGCACUGAUAUCACAGUACCAGUACCACGUCGCAUUUCUAAGCGUCCAACUGCUAGAACAAGGGACAUCAACAAACAAGUACUUGAGAUUGAGUCCUUCGCUUGUGGUUCAAUGUAAAUAUAGCUUCUCCAAGUUGUUAUGCUUUCUUUUUCCUGUAGAAACCAGCAGAAGCAGCCAAAAGGGAAGGUGGUAGCACUGAUGGCUUUUUGGAUCCAGGGCCAAUCGACAAAUCGGUUCUUGUGCUGCAGGACCAGCAUAGAUCUGAAGCAAUAUGGAAUGGACAAGUCAGUGCUUCUUCUUUAUUACCAGUUUCUUACGCUUAAAUCGACUAGAUGAAAUCAUGAUGACCAUAUUCUUAGCAUCAUGCUUGCUUGAAAAAAAUUCAGGAUCCUGGUGUUAUAAAAUGCAGACAAAUGUCAGGCGCAAUGAUGAGAGAUUGGCAAUUCGAUCCACGUCUUCGCCCAUAUCUCAUCCAAUCCGGAUUCUACGAAUUCCAUAAACUCGGGUUUAUUCCGCUCGAUUGGCCAUUGCUGACUGCGUUAGUAGAGAGGUGGAGACAGGAGACACACACAUUCCAUUUUCCUGUCGGGGAGAGCACCAUAACCUUGCAGGAUGUGGCUAUGCUCCUAGGCCUUAGAGUACACGGUCCUGCCGUGACAGGUAAAAGCGAUCUUCCAUGGGGCGACCUCUGCGAGGAAUUGCUGGGAGUUAGACCGGAUCCUGGUGUUCUUCAUGGUUCCACUGUCAAGCUUAGUUGGUUAAGAGCUCAUUUAAGGGAUCCUCCACUGGAUGCUGAUGAAGAAACGUUACAGCAUUAUGCUAGGGCUUACCUUUUAGGGUUGAUUAGCGGUGUUCUUUUCACAGACAAGUCAGGAUCAGCCAUCCAGCUUAAAUUCCUACCGCUGCUUAGGGAUUUUUCAAAUGCUGGACGACUUAGCUGGGGCAGUGCUGCGUUGGCAUUUCUUUAUAGGGAACUCUGCCGUGCUAGUAAGACUGGUGCUAUUGAGAUGUCAGGUCCUCUAAUUCUGUUGCAGGUAUGUGACACCAUUAGUUGUCGUUAGUAUAUUAUCUAUAGGGUUUAAAGAAGAAUUCGUAGGAGGAGAAUUCAACAGCUAGUGAAUUGAAAUAGCUAGAGAUUUUGAGUGUAUAUGCUAUUAAAAUAGAUUGUUUAAUUUGAGAGAUUUCAAUUCCCCCAAAUCUCUUUCAUUUUUACCAAUUCAAACAUUUUAUUUCAAACCAAUUCUCUGUGUUAGAGAUUUGAGACUCAAAUCACCAAAGAUCCUCCACUCAAUUCUCCUACAUAAACAAUGUCAUAGAGUAGCAUAGGUUCAUAAUCUUACUAACAUCUCUCCACAGUUAUGGGCAUGGGAGCAUUGGCAUUUUGGCCGUCCUGAGAAAUUCAGUUCACCGAUACAGAAUUCGUCUCCACCAGAAUGCAAGGUAGCAGGGGAGGGGCUGUCAGUAGCAAUGGCUGCUAGAGUCGACGGGGAAUCAUUAUGUACAGGUCCAUUAGGAUGUAGGUAAGUGUUGGCUGAAAUGAAAUCUAAAGUAUCUAACCGUUCUUAUGCGUUUCCCUGAGUAUUCUAACUUUUGCCUCAGGUGGAGGUCUCCCGUGAUUCGUAGAGAUAAUCCGAUCCGAACAUUAUUUCUAUAUCGAGAUCAAAUUGAUCAACUAACAGAAGAUCAGGUUUGUCAUUCUUGAAUGUUGUAUUGCUAUGGAUGCUUACGUAUUGAUGAUAGUCAAAUUAUAAUAGAUAUUUACUCCUAUGUAGAUGAUAUGGCAACCAUACACAUCUGAAUCACUAGCAACAGUUUCAGAUAUAUGCGUGAGAGACCAGGAUGUCUGGCGAACGGUUGCACCACUAAUUUGCUUCGACAUUAUAGAGUGGCAUCAUCCGGAACGAGUCUUGCGCCAAUUUGGUCUCCAGCAAGGGAUCCCCGAGCACUGUGAUACCGACGCAAGACUCCACUCGAUCGAUAGACGAGGGAAACAUACACUCGACUGGGAACAUUAUCAUCGGCAGUAUCUCGAGCUCUGGGAAGCUUGCGAGUCAAGUGUUGUCAUUGGGGAGCCGGCAGAGUCACCUAUGCAAUAUCAUGAUCCAUACAUGGAGUGGUACCGCAAGAUUACCCGUCGGCUCAUAACCCCGUUGACUCAAAGGUCACACAAGUGCUUUCAGCCUGCUAGUGGAACAGCUCAUUUGCUGGUAUGAAUUAUGGUUCAACGUUACAUUCCAAAGCUUAUAUAUCUACAUCCAAACUUUGUGUAAACUAAUCAACCACAUAGGACUAAACUACUUAAAUUAACUUCUUUUUGGUCGAACUAAACCUCUCAUAGGAUGUAACUGGAUUCAAACUCGGUACCUCCGGGUCGCCAACACACAACUCUACCAGAGCAACUUCUUUUGGAUAACCUAAAUUAACCAAUGCAAUCAAUACUUUUAUAACUCGGUGUGUGCUAGUUUGGAUAAAGAAUGCCUUCUACAAUGCCCUUUUCUAUUACAGGGCUGAACUUUUAUAGUAUUCCGGCCUUUGGUCAAUUUUUUUGGCUCCACCUCUAUUUUUAUCUUAUGAUUUAUUAUUUUUAAUUAUGAGUUUCAGGUACAGAGCUUGACAAACAUUCAUUCCCGGUGCACCGCUGCUCUAAACUCUGCUUCAAGUGACAAGGUGUUGCCAACGUUGCAUGAGAUUCAGUCGGUGUGCAACCGGGUACUGGAGUUGUUCGGUGAGACUCGUCGUCUCCAGGUAAGACCGACAUCAGUUCCAGUUGGGGAGAAUGCUAUAUGCACAAUGUCACCAUUUCUAGAAGCUCUGGACGGAGAUUUACAGCCUAAUUAUGAGAAACCUGCUGCUAUUUCGCACGAAUCUUCGGUAAAAGCUAGAUCAAAGAAUCCGGCUAUUAAAAGGCGAGGGAGAAGCAAAGAUGAUCAUCAUAGCCAGGCAGGAGGAACGGUAACAGGGGGACUCCAGGUUGAGGAUGAAGUUAAUGAAUUAGAGUGCGUUAGUUCAGAAGUGUGUCCCGCAAGCAACCUCUUACCCGAGGGGGGGAUAGUGGUGGAGUCAAUUCGGAAGAAGUCACAAGAAACUAGAAACUCAAUGUGAUGAGACUUGUAUCCCUCGGAAGAAGAAGAAACAGUCUGCAAAUUGCGAUGAUGAAACGUAGUAGUAUCUAGCACAGAUGGUAGAAGUGUAGAACAUAGUCACUGAUUACAAUGUAAACUAAACUCGUAACUGUACUUUAUAAUUAGAGUAUCUUGAUUACAAUGUUAUCAGACUUACAUACACUUAAGAAAUCGUGGGAAUAGUGGUGACACAUAAUAAUAGCAUGCCUUGAUGUAUUUAUGGCACUUUGCAAUGUAGUAAUCAGUAAGGAAAACAUAGUGACGACGAAUCUCUUAGGAUAUUAUUUGAUCUUACUUGGAAUUGAGAAGUAGCAUUAUUAUUGUAUUGCCGAUCCCCAUCAGUGUGAUGACCGAGCUUUUUACAACAGUGAUAACUUGUUGCUAGUUGCUGCUAAAAGUUGUGGUGCCUUAGAAUAUACUAUUAUUCUACACUUUUUUUAAAAUUCGAAUGUUUUUCCAGCGAGACUCCAUGAGAUGGGACUCAUUUCGCUGCCCAUAGACACCGCAUUUGAAAGCGUGAAAUUUUCCACCACGGCCUUGAACCUCUAACUUGAGCUCGUCAUUGAUGUAAACGUUGAUUUUCUCGGAAUCAAAAUCAUCAAUCACGUUCAACUUAAACCACUUGUUGUAGACGUUUGGGAGCACAACUUGACGAGUGCUAUAAUAGCGGAGGGAGCCAUCGUAGACAUGGAGCAUCAAGGAAGUAGCUGUUGGAGGCCUUGAUCCAAAUAUUUGCAUAAUGCUCACUCCUGAAGUCCCACUUGGCACGUAACCAUACGCUUCGAAUUGCCAAGUACCUGACUUGUACCCAUAUCCCUACACAACCACAUACACACAUACAUACAUACAUGAAUUUCAAGUUCAAACAACCAGACAAUAAUCAAUAAAGGCUAAUAAAUAAGGUAAAGCUCCACAUCCAAAAUUACUUGAAGUUACUAGUGGAAACUUGAGAUAAGAAAGAGUUAUGGAAGGAAAGUUAAAUUAAGUGAUAUAAAAGAUUUUAAAAAAAAUUUCAUUGGUUUUUUGGUAGUUUGGGAAACCUCGACUCAACUCUCUUAAGAAUUAUGAUUCUACAUGUUAAACUUUACGUAAGUGUAAAAGACGACCUGAAUGGCGAUCUCGAUAACGUAAUCCUACAUGUCAAACUUUACGUAAGUGUAAAAGACUACCUGAAUGGCGACCUCGGUACGUGGCUUAGUACGGCUGGUCGGGGUAUGGGGUAGGUCAGUGGAGUAAACCCAACACUUGUGAACUCCAUCGACGAAGCUGUAACGUUGGCUUUCGGGUAAGUUGUAAGGGCUCUGAAUGUGGUAGAAGGACUCGUUGAACGGCUGGGAUACGAAUCCUGUUGUAGGAAUACCAGCACUAGCAGCUGAUGAUGAUUGGAUCAUCAUCAUCACCAUAAGUAGUUGAAACACUACUACUGAAUUCUUUAGGUUCCCCAUGUUUUGCAUCUUUCUUUCAGGUGUUGGUGUAGAACAGACUCGAUAGAUUCUACUUUUUUAUAGAAGGUGUGCGUACGUAAGGGUGCAGCAAUUUAAUAUUCCAAAUGGAACCAGUCCACCAAAGUUGCUAAUUAAUGACAUGAAUUAGCAACACCAUCAACUUGGCUACCACGGCCCCCACUCCACCGAAAUUACCCGUGAACUGCACUCCGAAGAAUGGUAAACAUCAUCUUCAAUGAAUAAUGUUAAAUAUUUAAAAGUGUGGUAGCACAAAUCGUUGCAUUGUAUGUUGGUAAUCUAGAAAAAUUUUGAAUUCAAAUUCGGCAAAUUUCACAUAUAAACAUUUAUAUAUAGUAUUUUUUUAUCUUUUAUAAUAACAAAUUCGUCCGGUCUAUUUUUUUUAUCUCUUACAAAAUAUAACUAGACAUGGUCCACUUUUGUUGUAUCAGAAUUUCUAUCGGUGACCUCACCUUUACUUUGAUGUUAUUGAGUUGGACAGUAAUAGUAGUCGGUAUUUAAUUCUAUCUCUUUGUGUAAAUUGAUUUUAUAGGUUGAAAACUUCGUUAAUUACAAAUUAGGUAGCCGUGUGAGGCCCUCACUUUAAUUACAAGUGGUGAUUAUUUCAGUUUGUUUAGUGCUUAUACUUAUGGGUACAAAAACAUGUUCACAUUUAAAGAGAUAAUAGUAUUUUGGCUCUUUAUCAACGUAACAACUAAGCCCAUGUACUAAUAAAAAUUUAAUUUGACGAUAUAUUUUUUUUUUUCUUACAGUAGAUUGAAAAUCGUCGUAAACAAUAACACUUAACCACAUAUAUUAUCCACCGUAAAUGGGGUACACGUGGCUGAUAAGUAAGGUAAUCAUUUAUGUUAUUUUUAUUUUGAAAAUCAAUUAAAAUAUUUUUAUGGCUAGAAACUUUACCCCACCCCAAUUACCUUAUCCAAAGUUAACCCUAGCUACCCCAUAAUGACUCCAGGUUGAGGAUGAAGUUAGAGUGCAUUAGUUCAGAAGAAUGUCCAGCAAGCAACCUCUUAUUAUAAUGUAGAGACAAUCCUGAUCCCUAACAUACUUAAGUUGGCCAUAUUAUAGAGACAUAGAGAGAAGUCCAACUUUGGGAAAUUGGGGUUCUUCUUUGUAUUUAACAUUCUAAACUUUCUUUAAAAUUCGAAUGUUUUUCCAGCGAGACUCCAUGCGACGAGACUCAUUUCGCUGCCCAUAGACACCAAAUUUGAAAACAUGGAAUUUGCCACCGCGACCUUGAACCUCUAAUUUGAGCUUAUCGUUGAUGUAGACGUUGAUUCUGCCAGAAUCAAAAUCAUCAAUCACGUUCAGCUUGAACCAUUUGUUGUAGACAUUUGAGAGAACAACUUGGCCAGUGCUGUAGUAACGGAGGGAGCCAUCGUAGACAUGGAGCAUCAAGGAAGUAGCUCUCGGAGGCCUUGACCCAAAUACUUGCAUAAUGCUCACCCCUGAAGUCCCACUUGGCACGUAAGCAUACCCUUCGAAUUGCCAAACACCAGACUUGUAUAUGUAUCCCUACACACACAAUAUAAACAUACAUUCAUACAUGAAUUCCAAGUUCAAACAAGUAAGGCAUGCAAUAAUGAAGGCCAGGUGAAGAAGGUGAAUGACCUGAACUUUGAUCUCGGUUCGUGGCUUAGUACGACUGAUUGGGGUAUGAGGUAGGUCAGUGGAGUAAACCCAACACUUGUGAACUCCGUUGACGAAGCUGUAACGUUUGCUUUCGGGUAAGUUGUAAGGCCACUCUAUGCGGUACAAGGACCGAUUGAAAGGCUGGGAUACGAAUCCUGUUCUAGGAAUUUUAGCAGAUGAUGAUUGGAUCAUCAUCAUCAUCAUCAUCAUCAGUAGUUGAAAUACUACUACUAGUGAACUCCUCAGCCUUGCCGUUUUUGCCAUCUUCUUGAACUUUAGGUGCUGGUCUGGUACUGACACUCUCACAAGCUUAUUUUUAUAGAAGCUGUGAAUCAAACAGGUACAGAAUUUAAUAUAAUAUCAUAUAUAAUGUUCAAUGGGAAUGAGUCAACAAUGUGCUAAUAAAAGCUAAGUAUUGGAAUCUAAUUAGAAAAGGCAUGAAUUCCAACACUAUCAACUUGGUUACCCGUGAUGAACUGCUACAGUUUGCAGAAUUAAUUAAUAACAUAAUUUGGAAUAUUGCCAAGGCCACUAAAUACGACAGAAAUGGCCGCUUUCACAAAUGUACAGACAGAACAAUGGCGGUUUAAUUUUCAUUCCUGGGCUGUAUAUAUAUCAGAUUAUCUUGCUGUGUGUUGUUGUUUCUCUUCUAUAUAAGGCAAUGCCUUAGUUAUCACCGGUUUAUCCAGCAGUAGUCAAUGCCAGUCAGACAGUCCACAACAUCGUACAAUGCUUAGACAACACAACAUCAUAGAAAUGCUUAUUAGUCAAACAAGGAGGAGUCCACACUAGAAUUGACCACUCAACCUCGGGAUAUUUAUUCCGUAAACAAGGGGAUCUCCUAAACAAGUAAGGCAAUGUUAACAAGGAAAACAAAACUAAAUAUCUAUUCAAACUGUGAAGUCGGUCUUAAUAAAAAAAUUCAUAAUUUUUUAAAAAAGAUUAUUAGAGGGAAGAAAGAGAGAUUUGGACAUUUGAACGAAAAAUAACUUUUUAUUUUCUUUUUAUAAAUUGAUAUGGUCAUAAAUAAAUAACAUGAAUUUUAGUCUUUUGUUUCUAUUUUUUAUUUUCUUUCUCUAUAAUAAUUGUACUUUUAAUUAAAUUUAUGGGCACAAAAUUGCCUUCAUGUAUUAUUUUUCUAUUUUUAUCCAAUUUUGAACUAUUGGUAUCUCUAAUGAUGCAUUUGAUGUUUAUAAAAACAAAAUGGUUGGGAAUGAAAAUAUACAUUCAAAUCAACCACUCAAAAGGUCUUUUUUUAAAAAUAACAGAUUUCAUAUGAUUAGUUUUUAUUUCAAAUGUCUUUCGUUUGAAAUUACUCAAUAAAAAUAAUUUAAAUUCAAAAGUAAUCUUAUUAUUAUAGCUGAUGGGAUCAACAUUAUGAGAAUUACGACACACCUAGUUUCUACAACAGUGAUAAAGUUGUUGCUACUAAAAUUUCAGAUCCAGAAAGUUAGGAUGUAAGCCUAAACUUUUUUCAAAAUUCGAAUGUUUUUCCAACGGGAUUCCAUGAAAUGAGAGUCAUUCCGAUUGGCAUAAACACCAAAUUUGAAAUAGUGGGAUUUGCCACCACGGCCUUGAGCCUCUAACUUGAGCUUGUCAUUGAUGUAGACGUUGAUUAUGCCAGAAUCAAAAUCAUCAAUCACGUUUAGCUUAAACCAUUUGUCGUAAAUGUUUGGAAGCACGACUUGACUCGUUCUAUAGUAAUACAGGGAGCUAUUGUAGACUACGAGCAUCAACGAAGUAGCUGUUGGAGGCCUUGAUCCGAAUACUUGCAUAAUGCAAACCCCCGAAGUCCCACUUGGGAUGUAACCGUACCCUUCGAAUUGCCAAACACCUGAGUUGUAUCCAUAUCCCUACAAACACAUAAACAUCUAUACUUACAUGAAUUCCAAGUUGAAACAACCAAUUAAGAAUAGAAUGAAUGAAGGGUUAAGGUGUGAAGGACCUGAACGGCGAUCUCGGUGCGGGGCUUAGUACGACUGGUGCGGGAAUGAGGUAAGUCAUUGGAGUAAACCCAAGACUUGUGAACUCCAUUGAUGAAGGUGUAACGUUUGCUUUCUGGUAAGUUAUAAGGGCUCUGGAUGUGGUACAACGACUGAUUGAAAGGCAAGGAUACAAAUCCUAUUCUGGGAAUAAUAGCAGCUGAUGAUAAUUGGAUCAUCAUCAUCAUCAGUACUUGAAACACCAGUACAACUGAACCCCUCAGGCUUUUCAUAUUUUCCAUCCUUAUUGAAUUUUAGGUACUAACAGGCUUAAUAGAUUCUGAUUUUUUAUAGGAAAAAUCGAUUAGAAUGAGUCAACAAAUUAAGUUGGUAAUUAAAUGCUGAGUAUUGGAAUCUAAUUAGAAAAGACAUCUAUUGAAUGCCAACACUAUCAACAAUAUAAUUGGGUGCCCCACUCCAUCAAAAUUACCCAUGAAGAUAAUAACAAUGGAACCAAGCACACUAAAUACGACAGAAAUGGCGGCCUCCACAAAUGGACAGACACGAGAAAAUAGUGGGUUUAAUUAGAUUCCAUGUCCAUCAUCAUAUAAACUCCACUGAAUCAAUUUCUCUUUAGCUUGCUGUUGUUGUUUCUCUUCUUUUGACAAAUUAUGAUUACUCUUUGUUUUCUCUGCCCCCUUAAUUACCAGUUUUCCAGUACGGUUGACUUUUUUCUGGGUAGGUUCUUGUGUGAUUGAGAUGGAAUACUUGCAUAAUGCUCACCCCUGAAGUCCCACUUGGCACGUCACUGUACCCUUCGGAUUGCCAAACACCCGACUUGUAUAUAUAUCCCUACACACAUAAACACAUAUGCAUGAUGAUGAAUUUCAAGUUUAAACAGACCAGCUAGAAUGAAGGUUAAGGUGAAAGAGCUGAAUGGCGACCUCAGUCCGAGGCUUGGUAUGACUGGUGCGGGAAUGAGGUAGGUCAGCGGAGUAAACCCAACACUUGUGAACUCCAUCGACGAAGCUGUAGCGUUUGCUUUCUGGUAAGUUGUAAGGGCUCUGGAUAUGGUACAUGGAGUGAUUGAAAGGCAGGGUCACGAAUCCUGUUCUGCGAAUACUUGCUGAUGAUAAUUGGAUCAUCAUCAGUACUUGGAAUGGUACUACUACUGAACUCUUCAGGCUUCCCAUUUUCUUUCUAUCUUAUUUUAGCUAGGUGGUGUGGUACUAACAGGCUCAAUGGUCCGCGUGCACCAGUUUAAUAUUAACAGAUAGUCAAAGUGGCGGCAAGUAUUGGAAUCUAAUUAGAAGAAGACAACACUAUCAACAAUUGGGUUCUCCACUCCAUCAAAACUACCCCAUCCAGUGUGUUUGCUUUUGUUGGGUAAUUUCCCAUCGGUGAACUCACCUUUGCUUGGAUGUUAUUGAGUCGGACGGCAUGUAUACUAGUCGGUUUUAUUCUAUAUAUAUGCCCAGAAAUUGGAUUCAAGAAUGCACCUGUUCGACAACUUCAAGAACCAUUCAGAGCAGGGUUAUUUUGAGGAUUAAAAAAAUCAACUUAUUAUUCUCACGAUUUAUGUCCGCUCAUUUCUAUAAGCUACUCCGGUGGCCGACCAUUGGGUCAAUGUUGUGCCAAUAACCAGUCAUUAACACUACUAACUGGUUAUACAUUCCAAUCAUACAACUACUUAUUCCGUAUUCUAAAUUAUUUAUUUAUAACUAGUUAUUUUCACUUAUAAUCAGUUACAUUAUAAUUAUAUAACCGGUUAAUUUUAUUUUUAACUAGUUAUAUUUUUCGGUCAUAAAAGUCACCGGCGAGUCGUCGGAUUAUAACUAGUUACUAAGCCUCUUUUUUCCUCUCAUUUUCUCGGUAUUCAUCCCUAUCUAUUUCCUCAUCGCUCUUUUCCAGUGGAUCACCAUCUUCUGACGUUGGAACCCUCAAAUGCCAUCCAAGUUUUAAUAACCUAUUUUAUCAUUUAAAACAAAUAAAACAAACAAACACAUUGUUUUCGUGUGAGCGACAUAAUCGAAAAAGGUGAUUAACGCAACAAAGACAUCGAGAAAAUCAUAAUUACCAUGGUGAAUUUAGAUAUUAGGGAGCCGUUAGUAGCCUCUCAUAAUCAACGAAAAAACGGUUAACUGAUUACACAGAAACUCGAAACACUUCAUUUCAAUCAUGACAAUCAUCCUCAUCUAAACACAAAAUCAGAAUCCUGCCAUUUUUUACUUCACUUUUUUUACAGUUAUGAACCAUUUUCCACCAUCUUCAGGAGAUAGAGUGUCUCCUGUGCCUUGAAGAUGAACCAGAAGACUUGGCAUCUCCAGGAGCCAUUGAAGGUGGGCUCUCUGAGCUGCCAGAAGUCUCAGAGCUCUUGCUCUCUACUACAUGCCCUCCCCUCCCAACACCCCACAACUUGUCGAAAAUCCUCCUUGACCGAGACGGUAGUAACUGCAAUCCACGUUUGCUGUUCUUGCUGCUAUUUUUCUUCAUCACCCUCACAUUCCUCUGUUCCUCCUCAGCCUCACCAGUUGCUACCUUCAAUUUCACGCUUAUUUGCUUCUCAAGGACUUCGCAACCUUCUUCUGUGUUUUUCAUCGCAUUCGAAGUGUAAUUCAGGUUGUGGUUGAGGCUUUGAGCAUUAGCUGCUACUGCUGCUCUGACCUGCUCAAAGAAGAGAACUUGUACAACCAAACGAAGCGGGAGACUCUCGUUUUGUGCUGCGUGCAUUGAAGCAUUCAUUGUCAGCUUCUUGACAUCCAACAUGCUGCACAUCUUCUUUCUUUCAUCCUUACUCAACCCUGGAUGCUCCUGAAUAAUAAUAAUAUUACUAUUAAACCCUUUUAAUAGUAAGCACAUGAAUUACUUUCAACUCUGGAAAGGAAAAAUGAACAAAAAAUGGGAUUAUGAUCAGUUACAACAGAUUAUAAUUAGUUACAGCGAUUAUAACCAGUUAUAGGAAAUUAUACGUGUAACCAAUUAUAAUAGGAUUAGCUUACCUUGAGGUAGAUGUCAAUGGCCAUGUAAAGACCAUCAUGAAUCGGCCUUGCAGGCUCUGGAACAGAUCGAGAAAGGUCGAUGAAGCUAUUGAGGCCAACAUUGGCAUCAUGAGCAAUCUCAGCCAGAUAGCCAUCAAUCAGUUGGCCAAUAUGCAUCAAAGACCUAUGCUCAGGUGGGAAAAGGAAUCUUUCUACUUCCCCACCAUUCUUCUCAAUGCUCGACUCCUGACAAUGUUUUUCGUUCGUCAGGAAUUGAUUCACAAGGCUCUUCACCAACUCAACAUCGUACUUUGUAGUAGACUGAGGCAACUGUGCCGGGAUCAACAGAUCCUGAACAGAGGCCUCCUGCAACUUCAGACCAGCCCUCUUCACUAGAUCUUCCUUGAGGGUAUCAUUAACUCCAGCAAAGAUGGCAACUUUCAACAAUUUGAGUAAGAAACUACAAGAACAGUCACCACCAGCCUUUUCAGCAGGCAGAAGAUGGAUUAGUGUUUCCACCAGAUACUUAUGCCACGACGUACUUGCAUCGCAAGUCAAGUCAUCUAGGGAAUCAGGAAGCCAUCGAAGGGCGUAACAUUUAAGAGCCUCACCCAUCACCAUACAGUCCAUUCUCCCCUUUGAUUUGACAGCAAGAAUCACUCUCUUGUAGAGGUCAAUUUCCAGCUCACAUGCAUCUUCAACCCACCAAUCGUUUGGAACACCAUGAUGAUGACUGUUUCUCUUUCGAAACUUGCGAUACACGUCAUCAUCAUCUUCUGGUAGUAUCUCAUUGUCUGCAUCAUUCAGCUUCCUAUUAUAAGUAUAAGACCAAGUGAUAGUGGAAGGGUCAAUAGAAGUCUUGGAUGCAAUGGAAUCAAUGCAUCUCCCAACAAUCUUCAACUCAUCAGACCAGGGCAAGAGAGCCUUGGUGGUCUGAAGAACAAUGAUAGAAUCUUUCCAGCUCCGGAAAAUGCUCGAGUUGAGGAACACCUCAAUCUUGAAAAUCAGGUUCCCUGAAUCGACAUCCUCAGUCAUCUCAAGGUACUCAGCUGCACAUCGAGCAGCUACGACAUUGUAAGCGUUGAGAGUGACUGUCAUUCCGUAGCAGAAUUUGGCACAUAUUUCAAAGGCCUUGUGUCCACCGGGAAAAUCGAGUAUGACAAUCUCAUCGGAGCUCUCUUCAGUAGCUUUCGCCACUAGUUUCUGCAAUCGGCUGCUCUUCGACAGGAGAGGGAACUGAAGAUCGCUCACAUGCGUAAAAUGGGCAGAAAUUAACCAAAUACAGUCAGCUCUCAUCAUAAGAGUAAGCAUAUGAAUUACUUUUAACUUUGGAAAGGAAAAAGGAACAACAAAAUAGGAUCAUAAUCAGUUAUAGUCGAUUAUAACUAGUUACAAAAAAUUAUAACGGGUCACUAAAUCGUGUAACCAGCUAAUUAAUAAGUGAACGUAAAAACAGCAGAAUUAACCAAAUGCAAUCAGCCCUCAGCAUAAGAUCAAACAAAUGCACAUAGUUUAAGCAAUGGACUUCCUAACUACUCUCAAAAGGCGGAAUUUCAAACAUAUCAGCAGCUAUUGAAGAAGCACUGAAGAAGUUACCUUGUGGAGGUAAAAUUUAACUUCACCAACAUUAAUGGUGACAUCUGUAGCCAGCUCGGAUGGAACAUACCUACAUGUAACAAGAGCACACGUGUCAUAAUCUCCAGAAAAAGAGGUAGCCAAAUUGAAUAUACCCACCAAAUAAAGGACAAUGAAUGAAUGCACAUUCAUCAAACAAUGCAUGAAACCCCAGCCACUGUUUGUAAUUAAUUUCUCAAACCAACCAUCCAGAUUUUUCGUUCAUUUGUUUAGUCAAAUCAUUCAUUAACUCAAUGAAAUUAUAGUUUCUCUAUUAUGCUGUAUCCAGAAAGCCAAUAGUUUCUCUAUUAUUCUGUAUCCAGAAAGCCAAAGAAAAGCAAGCAGCAAAGUUGCUUUCAAGUAGUUUGACAACAGUGCUUGGUUACAAAAGCAAUCACUUUCCCCAUUCCAAACCCAAUGAUUAACUAAAAUAAAACUAGUAGAGAUAGAGAUGGUCCAGAUCCUCGCUGCCAAAUCAUCAGAACUUAGCUUUGAACAAAUGAAAUUAAUUAAAACAUAGGAAAAGGGGCAGUAAAGUAGUGGGUAGCAAAGAUUAAAGCUUUAUAAUUGUUUAUUAAGAGAGGGGGGAACCAACUAGCUGUAAUGAUGAUUAAGAACCUCAGAUUACUCAAAAAUGGUCGAUUAGUCUAUAUUUAUUACAUAACAUAAAUAAAGCUCCCAUUUAGACCACGAAGCAUUAAUAUAUCCACUUGGAAGGAGGACCACCUUCCCCCUCUUCAUUCCAACCAUUCUUCCCCAAUCCUGUUGAGGGCAGAAGAACUGGUAGUUCAACUGACGACAACUACUGCAAAUAAAUAGUUAACAAAAUGGAAGAAUUGCUUGGUUUCUAUAUUCAGGAUGUGAAAUGAACAGUUGAACGUUGUGAACUGAAGGAGGAAGAACACAUUCAACUAAACUUUGUACACAUCGACCCUGUUCAGAAGAUGGCAAAUGGAAGGAUACUAACAAAAAUGGGAAGUGGGAAAGCGAGCUUCUUUAGAGCUUUUAGUACAGUUAGAAACAGAGCAUGGGAAAAAUCACAAAACGCAGUAAACAAAAGCAGAGAAAAAUCAUGUAUGUGUGUGUACCUGCUGGUUCCUUCGGCCUGAAAGACAUCCGGCUUGCACCCUAAUUUCAUAAACUUCAUUCUUUGCUCGGGGGUGGAAAGGGGGGGGGGGGGGAAACUGACAGCAAGGCGCAAGCUUCUUUCUGGGUUCUUGGGAUGAAGGAGAAGAAACAGAGCAAGAAACCCAGAGGUUAUGGUAGGAAGUGAAGUUGGAAUUCUCCCUUUCAAUGUAUGUUUGAGUGCUGGUUGACCAUAAUAUGCAUUGUACUGAGAGAGACAGACUCUGCUGCAUCUACUGCUACUAGUCUAUCCAAUAUCUAUCUCUCCAGAAGCAUAGGGUGGAGAGCUGUCGACCCCAUUGAUUUCGGAGUCGUCAUUGAUGAUGAGUAGUUGGAAGGAAAGAAAGCAAGCAAGCAAGGAAGACCAAGGAGGAAGAAAGAUGAAUAGAAGAUUUUGUCAGAUGAAAUAAAGAAAGAAGAGGAAAAGUAGGAAGGAAGCUAAGCUAAGGCUAAGGCUAAGCUUCUGAAGUUGGUAGGUUGGCUGGGGCUACAAUAACAAAAAAAUUAUUAUGAUAAUAAUUUAUAGUAGUAAACUUUAGUUAAUAAUAGUAAGGAAUGGCGUCAGCGUUUAGCCAAUAAACUUUACUUACCAGAGGCUAAAUAAUAAUGUAAUGAAACAGGGGAGAGACAGAAGAGAAAUGGAAAGUGUGGAUGGAUGGAUGGAUGGAUGUGAAUAAAUUCUCGGCCGCCUUUGAUUGAUAAUAUAAAUAUAUGUCAGGCACAGGCAGCCAUAGCCAGUCUGAUCCGCUGCAUGAUCUUUUCGCUUAACUUUUGCUCCUUUUUGGGGGCGCAAAUCUCAAUGGGGGGCAGCAGUAAGAAGGGGACAAUCAUAUUUGGAUGAAUGGUGUGAGAUUCGGUUUUACUAAGUCAACCAGGUUUGUCUCCUCCUGCUAAAUGCUCUUCCUGCUGUCUCAACAAGAUCAAGUAUGGGGGAGGGGAGAGCGGAGGAAAUGUAGAAUGCGUGCACUUUUCUUGGUGCAUUUCUAAUGAGGUUUUGAUGUGCAUCUUCAUAGUUCAAAAUCUUCCUCAUGGACCUAUUGAUGGGCUACGAAGAGAUGGGCCAUCAAGUUUGGAGUUACAAGCGUUAGAGGAUGUAUGGGUAGUCUCAUGGACCCAAAACUUCCGUAUGAAGAAAGGCCCAGCCAGAUCCACCUUUACACGCACCGACACGCGAGAGCUACCUCACUCCUUCCCGGAUCUACUCCAGUCUCCGAAGUCGCGUUCCCAUUUUUUUAAUCUUUUUAACUUUUUUUUUAAUCCUUAUUUCUUUUUUAACAAAAAUAUUUUCUCUGGUGUUCUUAAUCGGCUUCCAUCUCUGCUAGCUCGAUUUCUUCUCCCUCAUCAUCUCUCUCUCUAUCCCUCCGUCGUGUUUUAUAAUUUUCGUUCCACCAGACUUUACAACUACAGCGAAAACAACUCACCACUAGCUCGCUCUCUCCCCCACCACCCUUCCAGAUCUGGAACCCUCACUCUCUCUUCUUCCUCUUCUCUAAUUCUCCUCGCUCAUCAAUGGCGCCCGGAGGAGGAAGAACAAGUGGUAGAUUCACAUCGGCUUCCCCUCUCGCCCCGAUCUCUUCAUUCCUCUUCUUCUUCUUGCUCCUCGUUCAUGGCGCUCGCUCCUUCUACCUCCCUGGUGUCGCCCCCGAGGAUUUCAUCAAGGUAUUUUUCCCCUCCAUUCUACCUGCCUCGCCUUCGAUCUGGAUUUCCCUGUCCCCCCGAUCUGCUCCUUCCGAAUAUUGCUUUUCCAGAUUCGUAUGUGCUGUGUCUACGGUUUGAUUUCUGCAUGAUCGUAGAAUUGAGUCUAGUCCCGAAUCUAACUCUUCUCCGAUUUAGUUCACCUUGUUGUCUAGAUUUGUUUACCUGUUUUGGAUUUCAGCUCCGAUUUCUGAGAUUUGAAUUAUUAGAAGUGCUUGAAAUGGUUAAGUAGAGCUAGUUUGAAUCAGUUGAUUUUUACUAGAUCAGUCACCAUGUAAUUAAGCUUAUUGCUGCGCUUGUCUAUAUUUGUUCAGGAUGUGUAAUCUUUGUAUUCUGAAUGAUUAAUGUAGUAACUGUAAUUCCUUGUUGAUCUUCUCAUCUAGUGUAAGACACACUCGUUUUCUCCGUAGAUGUGUUUUAGCUUUCUGUUAUUUCUUUUCUGCUAAUGGUGUUGCUUGGGAUGUAGGGUGAUGAGUUGAAGGUGAAGGUGAACAAGUUGACCUCGAUCAAGACACAGCUGCCUUACUCCUUCUAUUCUCUGCCUUUCUGCCGCCCUGGUAAGAUCGUUGACAGUGCAGAGAAUCUUGGUGAAGUCCUUCGGGGUGACAGAAUUGAGAACUCACCCUAUGUGGUCAGUUUCUAUUACUGUAGUUAUUGUGAGGCUUAUCGUUAAAUUUGACGUGUCCAACUUCUUCACAUUGUUCACAUUCGAUGCAGUUCAAAAUGAGGGAUCCUAAAAUGUGCAACAUUCUUUGCCGGGUUACUCUUGAUGGAAAAACUGCCAAGGCAUUUAAGGAGAAGAUUGAUGAUGAAUACAGAGUCAAUAUGUAAGGAUUGCUUUACAGUUAGGUUAAGUUGAAUUUGUUCGAUAGUUUCUUUGAAGCUUCACCACUGACUAUUCUGUAUUGCUGAAACAGGAUCCUUGAUAAUCUUCCUCUGGUGGUACCAAUAAGGAGGCUGGAUCAGGAGGCUCCUACCAUCUAUCAGCUUGGUUACCAUGUUGGAUUCAAAGGACAGUACAGUGGGGUAACUAGCCAACACUUGAAACUUAUUUGUUUAUUUUAUGUUGGUUUGUCCUGUAUGUUUCCUUAUUGCUUUUGAUUUAUGCAGAGCAAAGAGGAAAAAUAUUUCAUCCACAACCAUUUAGCAUUCACCGUCAAGUACCACAGGGACUUGCAAACCGACUCCGCUAGAAUUGUUGGAUUUGAAGUGAAGCCCUACAGGUUAGUUGCUCGUAAUUAAUUCAUUUCUCGGUGUUACAUCACCCAUUUCUCCUGUUCCCCUUUUUGUUCAUUGAUGAUGUUUGGUUUGGACAUUCUUUCAUCCAUCCAGUAUAAAGCAUGAAUAUGAGGGGAAAUGGAGUGACGAGAAGACCCGUUUAACCACCUGCGAUCCUCAUACUAAGCGUACCGUUAUCAAUUCCAACACUCCUCAAGAAGUUGAUGAAAAGAAGGAAAUUGUUUUCACAUUUGAUGUUGAUUUCCUGGUAAGUUUAUCUCUCGAAUACUAUGCUUUCAUGCUUGAAGAUUGAAUGUGCAACAUCAGCAGACAUUUAUCAGACCAGUUGCAUUUUGUCCUCGGGUAAGGUACAUAAGCAUCAUUAUGCCAUCAUUCUAAUCCUGGUGUAACUUCUUCCAGGAGAGUGACGUGAAGUGGGCAUCUAGAUGGGAUGCUUAUCUUUUGAUGAGUGAUGAUCAGAUCCACUGGUUCUCAAUUGUCAAUUCAUUGAUGAUUGUUCUCUUCCUCUCUGGAAUGGUUGCAAUGAUCAUGCUAAGGACACUUUACCGUGACAUUUCCAAGUACAAUGAACUUGAGACCCAGGAGGAGGCACAAGAAGAGACUGGGUGGAAACUUGUUCAUGGAGAUGUUUUCAGGCCCCCAUCUAACUCAGAAUUAUUGUGCGUCUAUGUUGGAACCGGUGUCCAAUUUUUCUGCAUGAUGGUCGUAACAAUGCUCUUUGCCAUUCUUGGUUUCCUUUCCCCAUCGAACAGAGGGGGUCUCAUGACUGCCAUGCUGCUACUCUGGGUCUUCAUGGGCCUGUUUGCUGGGUAUGCAUCAUCCCGUCUCUACAAACUAUUUAGAGGGACAGAGUGGAAGAAAAUAGCUCUCCGGACCGCAAUAAUGUUCCCUGGGAUAAUCUCUGCAAUUUUCUUCGUCUUGAAUGCCCUCAUAUGGGGACAGAAGUCAUCUGGAGCUGUUCCAUUUGGCACAAUGUUUGCUUUGGUGUUCUUAUGGUUUGGAAUCUCAGUCCCACUUGUUUUCGUUGGAAGUUACAUCGGAUUCAAGAAGCCAGCUCUGGAGGAUCCAGUAAAGACCAACAAAAUUCCCAGGCAGAUUCCAGAGCAAGCUUGGUACAUGAACCCGGCAUUCUCAAUCCUGAUCGGAGGGAUACUUCCAUUCGGAGCUGUCUUCAUCGAGCUCUUCUUCAUCCUCACCUCAAUCUGGCUGAAUCAGUUCUACUACAUAUUCGGUUUCCUCUUCUUGGUGUUCAUCAUUCUCAUCAUCACCUGCGCAGAGAUUACAGUCGUGCUCUGUUACUUCCAGUUGUGCAGCGAGGAUUAUCUAUGGUGGUGGAGAUCAUACCUUACUUCAGGCUCUUCUGCACUCUACCUCUUCCUCUACGCCACAUUCUACUUCUUCACGAAGCUGGAAAUCACAAAGUUCGUAUCCGGACUGCUGUAUUUCGGGUACAUGCUGAUCGCUUCGUAUGCAUUCUUCGUCCUGACCGGCACAAUCGGUUUCUACGCUUGCUUCUGGUUCACUAGGCUCAUCUACUCCUCCGUGAAGAUUGAUUGAUUGAUUGAGACAGUCAGGAUCCAGUAUGGAAGCGAUCAUUUGGCUGGCGGUGGCGGUGUUUAUCUUUCUAUCGGCGAAAAACAGAGUAAGAUUCACAAUUUGGUAGAUACAAGGUUGGUUAUGUUAUUCAGGUGUAAAACUGUUGCUCAUUUUUGUAUCGAGACAAAUAUGAUGAUGAUGAUGAUGAUUCCGUUGUAAUAACUCUCGUUAAAUUGUGCCCUUCGUUUUCGUUUUUUUAUAUUGUCUGAGGAAUUGGUGUUUUUGGCACAUUGUUAGUCCCAAGUAUUAGUUGCAUAUUGCAGUCUCUGUCUUAGCUCCUCCAUUCAUCCCUUCCUUCUCCUUGUUUACGCCUGAAGUCCCCAGUUAGUCGACCACUCCUUCGGUUAGCAUUUAGCUUUAUCAAGGCCAUAGUUUCAAAUUUGCGUUGUUGCAGCUGCUGCUUCACUUGUGUUGCCAUGGCUUGCUAUUGACGGUUAUGAUUCUCGUUGUGCCGAAAUGGGCAAGGUUGCAGUCCCUUCCAUCCAGAUUCUCUACUAGUCCAUCCCUCAGCUUGUGAUCGUGUCUCCAGUGUGUGAGGGGAAGGUGCAUUUGCUCUCCGCUACUCCCAACGUGAUAUGUUUGUGGGAUUUGAUCUUUCACAUUCGUCUCACUAACUUGUUUAACUCGUAUGAGGGUUCAUAAUUCACACUGUAACUAGUUUUGAGCAUGUUGCUCCUAUCCGGCACACCAAUCCUUCAAUCCAGGAGUGCUAGUGGCUGUGUUCGGUUGGUAUCAAAACGCUCCUAGAUCAGCCGGAUAAGAUUGUUGACUUGAGCCUAAGUGGUAUUGGGUCUGGUGGGGCUAGACCCAUUCUAUGAUGGAUCGAGACAAAAUUACUAACUUUGGUUAAAGUAUUAGUAGCAGCCUUCUGUCGAGAAAGCAUUGUUCAAACGAAUUGGUACGAAUACAAACAAGCGCACAGUUCCAAUGAUUUCCUUCUUAAAAGACAGCAGGAACACAUGAUGCAACCAAGAGUUGUGAAUUCCACAAGACCAAAAAAGUUACCAGAAAAGACCUCUACUGUACAGAGGUUUCUAAAACAUAAUGUGGUUCCACAAAAAAAAAGGUAAGCACACUUGCAGCAACAGCAGUACAUGAUCGGAAUCAACUCUGUUUUCUGUACAAAUGGGAGGGCAGAAAACUAAAACAUCAGACUGACCGAUGUUAAAACAGACUUGGGAUCAUCUGGCAACCUUCAUUCACUUCCUUCAGGUCUAGCAGUCGACUCAUUUUCAACGGGGUUGGCAGAAACUUCAGCUUCAGAUAUUUGCUCCUCCUUCCCAGGGCGACUCGACUCGGCUGGUUUCUUAAACUGCACUAAGAUCAUUGUCAUAUUGUCACAUCCCUCUCCCCCAGCUGUGGAUGGUGCUAAACACCUAUCGAAUACCCUCUCGCACACUUUAGAUAGCUUAGUUUCCUGCAAAAGUGCCACCAAUCGAUAAGCUAAAUGAUCGUACCGUAAAAAGCCACCGUAUGUAUUUCAAUAGCCCCAAUAUUUCUCAAAGAGGUGAUCAAUUAUUUCAAAGACUUGUUCCAAUUAAUUUAUGACAAGGCAAAAGCAGUUACCGAUUUCAGUUGUUCAUGAAUGAAGUCUACUAGUUGCUGGCUUGACAUGCAGUCCCUGAAGCAAUUGAGAAAAGAAACCAAUCAUCCCCACUUGUAAUUGCAUGAACAGCAGAGAAGAAAUCCGUACUGUUCUAUAGUUUAUACAAACAAUAUGAAAGUGCACAUUCACAAUCUUCCAUGAUUAUCGGUGUGUUAAUGACUUAAUUCAUUAGGGAAGCUGCAACAUGAUGUCAUUGAAUGUCUCAUGUAUAUCACUAACCUAUACGUACAGUACAGUGCUUAAGGGAAGUAGCCAUAAACAUAAAUGAAAGCACAAGGCAAGCCCUACGACUCAAUUGACUAAGGCAUGGUGUCUCAGCCAGUAAUAUUAGACAAAGCAAGGGUUACCUCUAAAAAUUUGCAAACUUCACUAAUCAAAUACAAGAUCAAUUAUUGAUCUAAAGACAACAAAGAAGAGUCAUACAAGAACAACCAUAGUAGAGUCAUACCAUACUCCAUCGCAUGCGAGAACAAAAAAAUCAUCAUCCUCACAAAGCUCAAUCUGGUCAAGGGAAUAACAAUAUUAGGACAGAGAUGACGAUAAUGCACACCGCACAUGUAGAAUCAGAAUAUACAUAUAUAGGUUGCAGGCAUUGGCGAAAAAAGAGUAUUCAUACAGUGUUAAUAUCAGGAUCCGCAGUCACAAUUUGCUUUUCUGCAGGCAAGAACUUAUUCUGCUUGAAUUCCAUAUCACCUGCAUAGGGGCAAAGGAAAACAAUUGAUGAAUCAAAAUACCAUCAGCACCAGUUAUAACCACUUAUCUUUGGUAAAUGGUAUCCUAAAUGUUUUCCCUUGACGAAACAGCUAGGAUUCACAAAGAGCUAGGAAAACAGGGUCAAGUACCAAUAGCUCUAGCAAGAUUCAAGCUGCCAUUGACACGCCCAGCAUGUAUGAAACCACCUGCUUUUAAAAUCCUUUCUUUCUCAACCUCGAGAUCAGGUUUGUGAUCUAUGGACAAAUUGUAGGCCUGCACCAACAAGUACCUUCUUAUUUUAAUGUAUAGGACCUUAGUAGCAAGCAUAAGCUGUAGCUAUUGAGUGCCGCAGGAACUUUACCGUCCAGUACUAUUAAAGUUUACCUGUCCCUUUCGAGAUAUCACACACCGAGAAUCACCUGCAUUUGCUACAACAAGUUUGUUGUUUCUUAUUACCGCUACGCAAGCCGUGCAGCCAGAAGUAGGUCCAGAAAAGUCGGAAUGAGGACCCUGCACAAUUCCACGAAAAUGAUUUGUCAGUGAGAAAUACCAAGUUUCCAGCAGAGGUUCAGUUGGAACGAAAAGAUCAAGUGAAAUAGUUUAUGCAGUAGAUGCAACAAAUGCAUGAGGGGUAAUACAAUAACUUUGGUAAGAAUAUUCGCAUACAAAGCCAAUUCAUGUCCGAUAUGGGUUCAAACUCCAAGUUCAAAUAUUGACAAAUGGCUACACAUUUAUCUAUCUAACACGUAUCCAGUAAGAAUAUUUUGGGCACGAAACCAAUUCACUAACAACGUGUUCCAGUUCCAAGUUCAAAUAUGGCUAAACAUUUAUCCAACCAAUGCUACAUAAUACCGAGGAAAGACAUUGAUUCAGAAGGACAACCUCAAUCAAGUACCUCUUCAAAAGCCCAAUCAUCAUGCUGUUCACUAUUCUCACCAGCUCUGGGAGACCAUAUAAACCCUUCAAUCAUGCCAGAGAACUUGUUAAUCUUAUCACCUAAAACAGCCAACUCUCUCCAUCCUCUUUGUCCACGCAUCAUCUCAUCCAUUCUGCACGGAAAAACGUGAGGUGUUCAGUGAUAAUAAACAGAGAUGUCUCUCACCAAGAAAUGAGCACAACUUUCAGAGAGAGAUUUUCAUCACACAAAUCCAACUGAAGACGAGUUUAAGAGAGAUAUAUUUUCAUUUUGACGAUAGGAAGUUGAAAGUUUUAGAUUCUUUUUAGGAAUGUGAUGAGAAAAUUCCGUAAGCUAUUUUCCAUUGACAGUUUGUGAGCUAUUUCCAACUCCAUUAGAGGCUUAAGAAAUGGAGAUAGCAUAGCCAUUAUCGAAGCAGCACCAAUAACCUGAAAUAUGCUUUCUGAAGAGAAGUUCCUACAUCGCCAGCUACAUACGCCUCAUGUUUCAGAACCUGUUGAUGAAGAUAUUUGGCACAGAAUUUGGCGACCACUUUACCUGCAAGUCAUUCAAACAAGUGUAGCAUUGCUCAAGCUCAAACACCAGAUGAGGGAUUGUUAAACAGUGUCCCAUAAGUAUUUAAGUGGAAGAGAAGCAAAUUAUUCAUCCAUCAUAAUGACUUGAACAAUCAAAGCUAUACAUUAUGCAAUUCCAUUUCAGAUACAAAAAAAAAUCACCAGAAAACAAGUGCAUGUAUUGCAGAGAGAAAGGAACUCACUUAUAUGUUAAGCAUAUAAAACACUAAACAAUUCAGUACUGAUGCACUUUAUCAACAAUUAACAUCUGCCCAAAUAGGAGGAGCAAAUACUCACAUAUCUCCUUUACUUAUCAGUUAUCAGUACCACAGCAAUCAUUGAAAAUCAAAAGAACACAUUCUAGUUAGAAAUAAUAGGUCUGAUAAAGAGCUUAGAAGAAAACUCGGACCGUAACCACAAGUACACAAAUAACUGACCAGGAACAAACACGGCAAACAACAACAGAAAGUGGAGGGAAAAAAACAAAGAGAAAAUCAUUCAGAAAAAAAACCCAAAAUUCUCAAAGUGCUCAAGAUUCCAAAACCUCUUACUAACCUCCAUGGCCAUCAUAGACACCAAAGAAUGAAGAAGAACUAUCCAAAUCCAGCAAAGCAGCAUGCUGAAAAACGCCAAAGAGAGAAGUAAGUACCAGAAGAAGUAUUCAUGCAAGUUACUACCAGUCGAUGAAAGAGGCGUAGUUUAGCAAAAAUGCCUUCUUACUAAGGUACCAGUAACAUUAGACACUAAAAACGCAUGCACAAUAGAAAACAUCACAAAUUACAUGCACUGCAGAAAACAACACAAAAUUAUGUCUAUGGAAGUUAAUUAGAAGUGGCUACAGAAGCUAUAAUAAUUGUUAAACCCACUUCACUAAGGUUCUAACUUGUGCACAAGGAAGAUAGUUGCCAAGCUCGACAGGGAGAGAGUAAGAAAUAUCAGGAGGACAUCUGAAUCACAGAGACUGACACCAGAAAAAUAAAAUAAAAAGCACUGAGAUCUGACUUGAAUAAACAAUAUCCCAGUAUGUGGGACAGAAGAAGGAUAUGAUCAAAUAAAUGAUGCCUAGAAUGUUGCCAGUAGUGGAUAAGAAUCAAAAUGAGAGUGACAAAUCAAAAGGAGAGGAAAAAACAAACCUUGCCUAACAGAUAAUCGUAGGCAUAGAUAACUCAACAAGCUUUCUCCAAUUCCUCUAAGUAACAGUUAAGCAUCUUGAAACAAUCACAUUGCAGGAUGAAUUUAAAACACAACUAACCGCAUCUUCCAUGGUUGCACGCCAUCCUUGCAUGGAUGAUAACCCAUAUCUGAGCUUAUCGUUUUCUCCAUCCUCUGAGAAUUUCUCGGUUUUGGGAGAACUGAGGUAUACACCCAUCUCGGCUCAAGACCAACUGAGAAUGAUCCAUAAACGCAAGUAAAGCGUAUAAAAACUAAGCCACGAAAAAUUAAGAUCAUGCAUUUUGCUUCUAAGAAAGAUCAGAGAGCAUAUAUAAAAACAACCCUUUUACAGAUCUUUACCAUAUUUCCAAAGCAAUAAGAGAAAUUGGCCGAAUGACACCAACCAAACUUCAUUUUAUUUCCACGACACAGAAGCAGAAUUGAAAAUCAAUCUGGAUUAGCCAAUCCAAAUUUCCAUAAUAAAAAUAAAAAAAAUUAAAUCCAGAUGCUAAUUUGAAACUAACUAAUAAUAAAACAUAAAGAGAUUAAAAAAGAAGCACUCGAAUUUGUUUGUACAUACGAUGAUCAUUCACCUGACCAAGAGAAGUAGCAACAAACGGUCCAGUAAGUAGGUGCCAACCUGUAACAGAAAAUCUCGCUACAGUUGAUCGAAAACAGGGGAUCAGAAGGAGGGGGGAAAUGCUCCACGGAUUUCAAGAGAAACAAUGGAACCGAUUGCGGAAAAGGGCACACAGAUAGAUACAGCGAGGCGUAGAGGAACUCAGGAAGUGGGCGGAAAGGAUAUAAACAAAAGAAAGAAGACAACUUUAGGAAGACUGGGGGGGGGUUUAUUAAUCUUAUUGAUUGGAAGACAGACAGAUAGACUUGGAAAUUACGUCUACGUUGAUUUCUUUCGCCUUUUCGAGAGUUUGGAGCUCUUUCACCAGGACAGGGCCGACAUCCAGUCGGUUUUGGAAAUGAGGUUGGUGAGAUGAGCAAUAAAUUAAAUCUUCAGUUGUCAAAUAAUUUGAGUAGUUAGCCGGUAUCCGAAGGAGGAAUCGAUAUAGAGGAUCAACAAAUAAUUUAUUUCAAGAGAAAUUUAUUUAUAUUCGCUGAAAAUUACACCACUUUGAAGACUUUAUCACAUCGUAUAGAUUUUGGGUCGAGAUUAUUGGGGUGGUUUUGAUACGUGAUCAGUCUGUUAAUAUUGAUUUAUUUAUCAAGACGGUGGUGGAUGUCUCUUGCCUGUCUCCGCUACCCGAGUAGGUUGCUCACCGAUGAGGGGUUGGAUACACUUGGAUGCUUGAUAUGAUAAUGAUGUGCUUGGAUUAUGGUGUUUUCAACCUAGAUUGUGUCAUGACUUAAUUUAGGUCAAAUCAAUACUCUCAUUUACAUGACUUUACUUAAGAUUGUGUUAGUUGUUAAUCCAAGAUUGAAUUAAGGUAUGUGUGGACCAAGUCACAUCCCAAUUCAACUUUUAGUGUGCAGAUUUUCUUAGUGACAUUUCAUCGAACACUUAGAACGCAUUCUGGUAAUCACUUAGGUAGUGCCAACUUGAGUGAUUGGGAUGUUUGGGGGUGUCAUAAGGUGACUAGCACCCCUUGCUUGGUGUUUGUGAUGUCAUUAAGUCUUUCUUAGCACCUCGGUAUUUUGUCGAACACCUUGUGUUCACUACCAAUUGGCUUGAUCACUUGCCAAUUGGUAAUGUAGUCCAUUACAAGACCUUGUUUUGGAAUUCUACGAAUGCUUAGAGGAGAAUCAAUGUCAUAGUCGGUUUCCAUUAUGUCCAACUCUUCUUGUGAAUGGUAUUUGAGCAUCGACCUGUCUCGAAACCUAGCAACAUCUUUUUUUAGUGGUUGACCAUUGCUUUCCUUUUGCUCAUCUAGUUAGUGUAGGUAGUUUGUAGUAUCUUUUUAGUUUUUUUGUAGUGAUAGACCAUCUCCUUUGUUUGAGGAACUAGACCGUGAAACCUAGGUUGAGUAAAGUCUAACGAAGGGACCUCGAGUACAAAAUGACCCCGAUACUUCUCGGGAUUCAUGUGGUCCUCAUUUUUUAUCGAUCAAAUUGGCGUCGUUGCCGGGAACACGGUGUGCAGCCAUCCUCCCAAGCGGAAGGAAAUCACCUUCUGAGAGGUGGAAGUGUACUUGCCAAUCUCGAGUGUGCAGUAGAACUCACGAACCGCAUGAGGCAACAUCAUCUCUAGUCUAGCAACAACACAAACUAGCUUAUCAUGGCAAAACUCAAAGGAGAAAGAGAGGUUACAAACAUGACAUCUAGGUAGAAGGCUUGACGGUGAUGCUUUCUUGAUCCUCAAUCUUGACUCCAAGCUCCACUCAAUCCAACCUUAACUCCGAGGCCUUCAAUUGCUCCUCAAUCUACUCAUCUAGGGCUUCUAAUUUGGGGAAAACUUGAAAGAGAAAUCGGAUCUAUACAAUUGUUAUGACUGUAGUGUGAAUUCUCUUUCUCUAUUCCAAAAAUACCCUUAAAUACUCAUGUUUGUAGGGUCCACACGUCGUGUGAUCCCACAUGGCUCCACACGUCGUGUGGCCUCAUUUCCAGCCAGGGACUUCGUUCUUCGAUCGCGUGUAUCUCCUUCGUCCAACCUUCGAUUGAGCUCUGGUUGGUCCCUUUGGAAUUGUCUCGUCGUCCUCUAUCCAUCAGCUACCUGCAAGCUCAAUGAAACAAUGAGAAAGCAAGUCGAACGGACCGAAAUCGUCGGUUCGAGAAAACGAAAAACAAAAUCCUUAUCUCUUCCAACCAAUCACACAAGGGAGUAAAAACUCGGUCAAGAUGGGGUCAAACCUGCUACGAAUAAUCGUGCUAUCACUCACAAUUCUGAUGAGUUUGUUAUUUUUUAGACUGGAUGAGCAGCUGCAGGAGGCUUGUUCCGUGAUGUUGAUGGUCAUUACUUGGCAGCUUUAUAGCAUAAACUGAGGAUUUGUUCGAUUACCAGGGCUGAAUUGAGAGCUGUCGUGAUAGGUUUGCAGAUGGUUUGUGAGAGAGGAUAUCGGAAGGUACAAGCGUCGUUGGAUUCACAAGCUGCGAUUUAGCUUCUGUUGGGAACGGUGAACUCGCACACCAACAUUUUCAGACGUCGCCAGUUUCCUUGAGAUGUUGGGUCGAGACUGGCCUAUCAAAGUUGAGCAUAUCUAUCGGGAAGGUGGCCGACCCGCUAACUAUUUAGUUGGCCUUAUCAUAGUUUAGCACUUGCCGUUCAUCAUAUCUUUAUCAAUGAUCCUACUUUAAUUUUUUCACUCAAAUAAUCACUUCAUUUUUGUCAAAUCAUCCUCCAAAUCACUUAUGACCCAUUCAGUGAUUUCGAAUCACCUGCCAUCACUCAAUUUUCAUAUCUAAACAUGCUCAUCUCAGCCAAAUCAUCUAGACCCAUCAAGUCAACUUCCAAAUUUUCAUAUCUAAACAUACCAACUCAGCCAAAUCAUCUAGACCCAUCAACUCAACUUCCAAAUUUCAAAAUGAACUCCUAACUUAAUUAGCAUCCUUGUUCACAACAACACCAUUUUGAAUCCACCUAUUUAACCUAGGAAGCUGCGAAGAAUUAACGGUUUACAAAAAGAUAGCCAGUUAUAGUUCAAGCUUGUUAAUUUCUUGUGUGAUUCUAUGAACCGUGAUUUCGGACCUCUACGAAUCUUACCGCUUCGAGUUUGAUAUUCAAAUGUACGUUUUUUGUGAUCCGAAUUAAAAGAAGGAGAAGAAGUAACUGGAAGCUAGUUAGAUGUCAAAUCCUAUAUAGACUCUGCUUCCUUGUUUUAGAAAGAAACAAAGAUGAAGUGGAGCAUGUACCACGUGUAACAUUGCAUUCCACGACGUGAACCAGUCCAGAAGAACAAAUGACAAAUCUCUUCCCGUUUCGGUUCCCCACUUCCUGUUCUCUGGAAGUCUCGAAAUGCCGAUAGAAGAAGACGUUUGUAUAUAACAUAUCAAAGAACCGACAUUUUCUGUAUUUACUUCCGAACACAACACAAGAGGAGGAAUUUACCAAAGAAAGGAGCUUCUGAGUUCUGCGAUCAGACACGGCGAAUAUGGCUUCUUCUUUGCCGUUCGCUACAGCUUUCACUUCACCUUUGCACAACAUUUCAGAAAUGGCAAGGUCUUGUUCUCCAUGGCAGUCGUUAGGUGUUUCUAGUGGAUCAAUUAGGUUAUCUCUACUCGGGUCUUCUAGAUCCGGGUUUCUGCAACAAGGGUUCUCGUUGCAGUCCCAGAAUUUAGCUGGGUUUGUUGCAAAGUCUCGAUCUUUUGGUGUUUUCGCCCGCGCCUCCACCGAAAAAUCCAUUCAUGACUUUACUGUCAAGGUACGUUUUAGGCAAUGGAUGAGGCACUGCUUCAGUGUGCGAACGCCUACCUUUUUGCAGUUCAAUUGAGGGCUUCUGUGGGGUUUUCUGUUGGUUUUAGAAUGAACUUAGACUGGGUGAGUAAGUAUGAUCCCUGUUGCUGUUAUUACUGUUCGAAAGGAAGAUUCUUGAACUUAUCCAAGCUGUGUAGUGAUGUAAACGGGUAACUCAGUUUCAGCUUAUUUAUGUAUGCAACUGAAACUGAUAAAGUGUUGCCAUUUUGGUGUGCCAGGAUAUUGAUGGUACCGAUGUGGCUCUUAGCAAAUUCAAGGGAAAAGUUCUUUUGAUUGUCAAUGUAGCCUCCAGAUGGUAUUAAUUUCCUGAGUAAUCCAUACUUUAUCCAGCUAAGAAUUAUCAUUUUAUUAUUGUUUGAUUGCAGUGGUUUGACAUCAUCCAACUAUUCAGAACUGUCCCAGAUUUAUGACAAGUACAAGACCCAGGGUAAGAAAACCCCCACAUAAACAAACUCUUGUAUUCAAAAAAUUCAUGCUCUGUACUGUUUCAUUGCAGGACUUGAAAUACUAGCAUUCCCUUGCAAUCAGUUUGGAGGCCAAGAACCAGGAUCGAAUCCAGAGAUCAAGAAUUUCGCAUGUAGCAGAUUCAAAGCUGAAUUUCCUAUAUUUGAUAAGGUAAUUAAUCCACCUGGGUUCUCAUCCUUUUUCUGUGUUGCUAUCAUAUCAUGUCGCAAGCGGAGGAUGAACAUUUCAGAAUUUGUGACUGUAGGUUGACGUGAAUGGACCAAACACAGCCCCAGUUUACCAGUUUUUGAAGUCCAACGGUGGUGGGAUUUUAGGGGAUUUGAUCAAGUGGAAUUUUGAGAAGUUCUUGGUGGACAAGAACGGUAAGGUUGUCCAACGGUAUCCACCAACAACAUCACCUCUCCAAAUUGAGGUAUAGCUACGACUCAGUGGCAAAUUGCUUAGUUCUUGGCGCAUUUCAAUAUGAUACUCUUUUCUUACUCAUUUUAUGGCUCUCAAAACUUGAAAUCAGAAUCAGUCAGCUGGUUAAAAGAUAUGCCUUCCUGAAAGUUUGGAUCUUUGUGUUGCAGAAGGAUAUUCAGAAACUGCUGGCGGCUUAAAUAACUCAACAACAAUAGCAUGGCUGGCGCUCUGUGUGUUUGUAUGUGUAUAAUCAAUCCUUUUUGGUACUCACAGAAAUAAGGGCUAUGAUUUAGAAGGUGAAUGGAGGAUUGUGUGUAUCCCUCAUAGAAUCAUGUUAUUCUUAAAUGGCUGUGUUCUUUUGUCCAGAUUGUUAUUAUAGAUGUAUGUUCUUCUUGCUUCAUAAACUUGUGAGGAUGAAUUAAAAUAGCUAAUCUAUCAGAGUAUAUAUACUUUUAUCCGAAUAUAUGGAUACUCGCCUCUAGCUGAUCGGAAUUCAAAUUUAUCAUCUGCAUUGAGUUGUUGGUCCAGAACUUUUAUCGAUUUUGAUCAGGUUAACUGAUCAUCUCAACUCAAAUUUGUGAAGGCCUAGUCUAGUCUAUUGAGCCCAGCUCUAUCGUUGCUCGUCGGUAGAAAAGCUCCAGUUCUUUUUUUUUUAUGGUAAUCUGCACGAAGCUAAUAUUAAGCAGAAACAAUCGUUACAUCACAGAUUGAUAGCCCUCCAGAGCAAUGGGCUGAAACCAUCUCCACUCCUCAUCGAUACCAUUUAAAUUCAACCGUUUGAUGCAUCUUUUCGUUAAUCUCACAAGAAUUGGAGAAACUGCAUACGUAUUUCUUCACAAUCAAUGUCUGAUGCUGUUUGUUCCAUCCUUAUUCAAAUUUUUUCCAGACAAAGCAAACAUAACAGUACAGGAUAAACGAAAAAUAUAUAUAACAUCGGUAUCCAUAUGUAAAGUGCACCGGAUUUAGACACGGUUCUUGCAAGUCACUACCACACGACGAUAACAAACUGUGUUACUCCACAAGGACAAAUAAAAUAGUGAAGAUGGGAAUGGGGGCAUUUUGAGAAUUAAACUCAAGACCUCUCGCAUUAUAAACAAGAGCCAUACCACUAGACCAAAUGGCAUGUUCUAUCCUUAUUCAAGCCUUGUAUGGAAUUGGGACAAGACGCAGAGCAUAUUUUCUCUUGAGCGCCACUCCAAACACUUCAGUCAUAUCAAGAUUCUCUUGUUUGGUCUCGUCAGGAAGUUUCCAGUCGAAAUGAAAGAACAAAUUGGCUAAAGUUAGUUUCACGAUCGAAACUCCAAACGAAACACCAGGGCACAUCCUUCGUCCGGCACCAAACGGAAUGAAGUGAUGGUAAUUUCCCUUGUAAUCUGCUGAGCAAUCUGUGAAUCUUUCAGGAUAAAACCUGUGAGGAUCGGCCCAAUGGCGAGCAUUUCGAUUGAUCGCCCAAGCAUUCACGAUGACUUGGGUUUUCAUGGGUAUAUCGUAGCCGUUGAGCUCUGCCUUGUCGUCAUUCUCUCUUGGGACAAGUAGAGGCAAUGGAGGGUGUAAUCUUAAACUUUCAGAGAUGAUCAUGUCCAAGUAGUUCAGUUUGUGAAGACUUGCCUCCUCAACCCUUGAGGUGUCGCUGAACACCUUCCGUACUUCUUCUUGUGCUUUUUGUAAAACUCUAGCAUCUUUGAGCACUUCGGACAUAGUCCACUCUAUUGCUGUUGAUGAGGUCUCAAUUCCUCCAAGAAACAAUUCCUAUAAAUUAACCCAAUGAGUUUAAACUGUAAGGAGUGUAAUUACGUCACUACUAUUGUAAUAUUUUUUAUUAACUUCAACAUUUUUCUUAAUAAAGUUCAAUUAUUUAAUACCCACGAGGGUAAAUUUAAUAAUAAGGGAAAAAUUGUUUAUAUUUUUAUUCUUUUUAUUAAAAAUGAUUUCAUAUGUAAUGUUUUCUACAAAUUAAAUCUUAACGUGGAUAUCUCUGUAUUGUCGAUUUAUUUUGACUAACUUAAACAUUUAUCUCGUCUAGUUUAACAAUAUUUAUUUCUUUUUUAUAAAAAAUAAUAUUUAUUUAUUAGUUAGAACAGUCUGACCCCAAUACAUUAACGAACUUAUCCCGACUAAACCAUGAAGUCAUGAACCCUUAAUUUCACUUUUUCGAUGCGAUCCUGAAAAUUAAGAAGAAGAAAAAUCAAGAUAGAGUAACUUACCAAAGUGACGGCUUUGAUAACUUCUUUUGUUAUGGAAACUCCAAGGUUUUGGUUUUCCUGAAGAUUCAAGAGGACAUCUACAAGGUCAUCCUUUUCGGCAUCAUCUUUGUCCUUUCUCGCGCUACUCCUUUUUGAUAUAUGUUCCUCGAUUACGCGGUCAAGAAUGGAACCGGAUGCUCUGUGCAUCUCUUCAAGUGUUGCCUUGAAGCCAGUGAAGCUAGCAAGGAAUUUGAGGGAAGGAUAGAGAUCCGAUAUUUUGAAACCUGCAAGUACAUCAGAAAUGUUGUCGACAACCAUCAUGAAAGCAUCGUUCAGCUCUUGCGCUUUGCCGAAUGUUGCCCUGGAUGUCACGCAACUCGUCAGCUUGGUCACCAUGGCAGUUAAAUUCACAGGCUUAUGGGCGCUACUAGAGAUAUUGUCCACGAGCUUCGACACCUCGUCCUCCCUGAUUGGACGGAAGGAAAGAACGCGCUUGGUGCUUAGUAGUUCGAGCACGCAGACCUUACGCAUCUGUCUCCAGUACUCUCCGUAAGGCGAGAAUGCUAUGUCCUUGGUACCGUCGUAGAGGAUAUGCGGGGCCAGCAUAAAGGGUCUCGAAGCGAACGCUAAGUCGUGAGUUUUCAUCACCUGUAUGUUAGAAACUGAACAUAAAUAGAUUAGAAAACCCGGAAUUUCAUAUUGAAAACCGGUUUACUACUACCUUGGCUACACAUGGUUCACUUUUGAGACUUAUUUACUUUUUACAGACUAUUCAUAUUUUCUCGGACAUGACCUGUUUGGCAGCUUCGGGUGAGGAAAUGACGAUGUGAAGCAACUCUCCCAACUGCAACUGCAUCACGUCGGGGCCGUAUUUCUGUGCCAAGUCGUGGAGUCUUCGGUGAGGUUGUUGGUCCCCGGCUAGCUGGUGGAGGUUGCCUAUUAUAGGGAGCUUCCAUGGGCCUGGAGGCAGAUUUUUCGAAGCGGCGGCUUUGGAAUGACUGAAGAAGAUGAUUGUAAGGAGAAUUGCUGUCAACGUGACAAGGAAGAAUAGUGAGGAGAAAUCAUUGAAUAAGGGGAUGAACUUAUGGUGGAGACUUUCCAUGGUGAAAACUGGAGCUGAAUUUGGGAUAACACAGAGCAUAAGCUAGCUAGCUAAUAGCUAUAUAUUUUAUAAUUGGCAAAAGGCUUAAUGAAUUAUUUCGUUUCCACACAAAUUAAAGUCAUCACUCACUCUUGACAAAUUGAUAUUUUGCUUUUAUUUUAUUUACCUUGUCAUUUUCUUGUUUUAGGUGGACGACAGCUAAUAAUAUCAAAUUUUCCUGUUUGAUGAGGGAGCUGUUCAGAAUUCAGGAUUGCUCGGGUUCCAGAAUCUUCAUAUCGUUUUUGGAUUGUUAGAUCUGAUGAUAUUUACAUCUAUCCACUUAAGUUUUUUUUUUGUCUAAAGAAACACACUGUCAUCUCAACGGCGUCCAUGAGUUUUUGUUGACUGACUGUUGACAUUUCCGAUAAAAUUUUGGUGGCCAGUCGAUGACUUUUUCGGUGAGAUUUCAGUGAUCGAUCGGCGAUUUUUUCGAAAAAAAAUUGUAAUCGAUUAUGUUUAAAAAUUAGUAUGAGUUAUAUUUUUUAAUAACUACAAUAUAAUUGGUAAUGUUUUUGAUAAAUUAGAUUAAAUGAAACCGUGCUUGACUAUGUGGCCCCUCCCAAUCAUUUUUGGAUUUGGAGACGCUUUCUUUAUACCAUCUUCGAUGCAUAAUUUCAAAUUGACAAAAUGUUAAAUUAUAAGGCUAAAACUCCUUUAAUACAUAAAGCUAACGUUUAUUUCCUUUAAUCAGGAUUUCAAUCCUGUGUGGGGUGGGCGGCUCAUGCUUGAAUAUUCUGUUAUUGUUACUGCUGUUUAGGAAACAUUUAGAGCUAGCAGGGACGAAGUUGGUUGGGCGGAUCUUGUUUGGAAAGCCCCGACUAUUUGUAAAUAUUGUUUUAUUAUGUGGUUUGCUAUUUAUGGAAGAUUAAUCACUAGAUCUCAGAUAGCUUCUUGGGGCUUUUUGGUGAAUAUUUUUGUCUGCUUUCCGACGAGAGGAUCAAUAAUAUCGCUCAUAUUUUCCAUGACUAUCAAUUUUGAAGCGACGAAGCGACGUUUAAGACUAUACCAUGCAUUUUAGUUUGUGCGAUGAAGCGACGUUUGUUGUAACCCCUAUCUAUAUCAACGAGUUGUUGGUGUGGUGAUGUCAAGAGUGUAUUUAAAAGGGCAAAAUAAGGUUCAAUCUCCCACAAUAAUAUUGGAAAAGGAGUAACAUAUUAAUCUUAAAAACCAUCCUCAACUGAAUUAGUCGACCAAUGGACGAAUACUAGGUUCAUAAAAAAUGGAGAGCUAUCUAUAGUUUAGUGUGGUAUGAGAGAUGUUGAAGGAAUGAGAGAUUGUAGCAAUACUAGGUUUGUACUGAAUAAUAGAUAGAUCUUUUCUAGUUUUUCUAUCGGUGUACAAUUUUUGUAAUGACACUUCUGAGCUGGAUUUUCGGCUCCUUGCGAAGACAAAAAGAUAGCACACAAAGACCAAAAAACUUAAUCAACCACGGAGUGAGAACUACCGGCAACACUCCAGGGAGAUAUCUAAGGGCCAUGCGAGCUACAUAAUGGACGACCGCGUUACCUGUCCUCGACAGUGCACCUAGAAGCUGGCUGUCAUGAUCGCUCCCCUAAUGACCUUGUUAAAAUGUUCAUCAUUGAUUGUCCCAUAACCGCCUCUACAUUUCCUUCCGUUAGAUAAAUAAUUCACACGAACACACUAAAAACAGGCAUUCUUAAACAAUUAAUAACUAAAAAAGGAAAUCCGUCGGGAAAAAAUAGAAUUAAUUAUUGAGCAAAAUAAAAGAGUUAUUUAUUUUAUGAGAUUAUGAUGAUGUCUCCGGGCCGGAGCCUCUUUGGUCUACCGUUUUACGCCGUACCCUCUUUUCUUUUCCUUCUAAUUUCUCUCCGCCGAAGUCACCGGGCGUAUCAUUCUACUGCCGCUAAAUAUUAGCGCCGCAGCAAACACUUGUAUUUAUAUUUCCUCCCACCUUCACACUCCUCACUGAUUCUACCUCCCCUUCAUCUGCUUCAGCUGCUAGCUGUGCUAUUGCCGCUGCUCGAUUCCUUUAACAAGUGCGAAGAAUUCCCCGUGCGAUUGCGCUCGUCAAAGGUCCAGUUUCGUAUUCUACUUCCUUUCGGGCGACCCGUGUUGUUUCUUCUUCCAUCCUUAGUCUAGGUUUUCUUUUCCAUGUCUUAUUGGACACUGGGUUUGUUCUAGUUUUUUGGUAUACGUGUUGGAUUUCCCUUCGUUUAAUAUGAUAGAUCUGCUCUUGCUAGCUUUUCAUUCUCGGAUUUACUUAUGAUCACAGUUUUGUGUCUGGCUCGUUGCUCCUUAGGUUGUGGAUUACGAUUAAAGCAGAGAUUGCCUUGGUAGUAUUAGGGUUCGUAGCGGCAAUGGUAUUGUGAACUUCCGAUGAGGGAUUUUGUUUAUCUUCCGACUAUUGUACCGAGAAAAUCGAGAAAUUAAUCCAAUGGCUGGUGUUCUUCGUUAAAAGUUUCUUCCUUUUUACGAGCAUUUGAAGAUCAAAUCAGCCCCUGCUGAUUGUACUCUUCUCUGCCCGUGUAAGGGAAUCCUUGAUUAACUCUUUUGACUGGGAAAUGUCUUCAGUGGAAUGCUGAAGCACAAGGCUGCUUAAUGUCUUUAUAAGCAGGAUAUGGUGUACCAGUUCGAUUCAGUCUGGUUUGAACUGGUUGUUUCUGGCCAAUUUUGUCCUCGUAAACUUAUCCGGUUUUUAAGUUUUGUCUACAUGUUUUUUGCUUGUUCUCGGAAGUGUCUGGCUUUUGGAUUAUUUGAGCUCAACGAGUUGCUGGAAAUUUUCUAAUCAGGAGUUGGAUGAGAGAUGAGUUCAUUCUCCAUUACUCGCAAGAAAACCCCCUUUCAGAAACACAGAGAGGAAGAAGAGGCUAGGAAGAAGGUAUUUGCUUAUUGUUUCCCAUUAUCAUUGGCAUGUUUUUUCCUGUUAUCAAGGUGAAAUCCGAGCUGUAUUCCUGAUGGGUUCUUGGGUGUUCUAUCAUUUGUUACUUUGCUUAGAGGGAGAAAGAUGAAGCGGCUCGUGUGUAUGCUGAAUUUUUGGAGUCAUUCCAAGGGGAUACGGCUCCUGGUUCAAAGACUUUUGUCAGAGGUGGAUUGAUCAAUCCCAAUGACAAAGCGAAGGACGAUUCUGAAGGUUCGUCUGAAACAUGUCUUCCCAUUUUGUUUAAUUUUUUUCACUGUUAUGUCAUGUCAAUGCCCCAUUUGACAGUAUGGAUGCAUAAGAUGUUUUUCCUUCUAUUUUGGGACCAAAUUAAUAAAAGUAUGGACCUUUUUAUGCAUUGCCGGAUGACAGGUGAAACGUCCAAAGAUGGGGUAUCUAUUCCAAAGAAGGGAAGUAGGUAAAAAUGAUGCUUUUGACUGAUCAACCAUGUUAAAAUCCUAGUUUUGCAAGGCGUUAUAAAAGAGCUGUGUUCACUGAUGGAAUCUCUACGUUAUCAGUCUUUAGGAUACACAAAAUUAGGAUAAUCGACUUCUGCAACUUUUGUACUUCAUCUAGUCGAGUCUCUGUCUUAGGGUCUUAAUUUUUUAAUGAGGUUUUCUAUGUUGUGAUUUUGUCAGAAGGUUGUCUAGUUAAUCACAAGUUGCCUUCUUUUGUAUGCCAUUGUAAACUUCUGAUGUGGCUGUAUAUAGUAGUAUCAUGGGUGCCUCACUUGAAAUUUUCUCGUGCACUUCCAAGGAUAUAACUGAGUUCUCUGGCAUAACUUAAAAUCUAAGCAUUUAAGAUGUUUACAACCAACCUAGAAGUUGUGUUGACUGAAUAAUUUUGCAUACUGUUGUGUACUAAGCCUUGUGGGGAGUCUAUACUUGUUCUAUGGAUAGAAUUUUAUCCUUCAUAUCACCAUGCAGGUACGUCCCAUCCUUUUUACCCCCUUCCAUGGCAUCCAAAGGAAAGGAAUCUGAGAAGGUCUGUUCUAAAAAUGAUUAUUAGGAUGAUGUGUGAUUCCCUGUUUCUUCUGUACUGGACUCUUAGCCUCUUACUGUGUCAUAUACGUGACAGAGGGUGGAGGAGGAAAGACCAAAGGACAGGGAAAAAGGAAAGAGCAGAAAUAUAGAUCAUUUUAUGGAAGAGCUGAAGCAUGAGCAUGAAUUGAGGGAGAGAAGGAAUCAGGAACGUGAGAGUUGGCGUGAUGGACGUCCUAGUGAGAGUUCUCUUGUAAGUGUUUACCCUUCAUUUACCUAAUCGUAAAAAAUGAUAAAUGUGUAAAUUCUGUACACAGAAUUCUGCAUUGCUCCUACAAUUAUUUGCACUAGUACUAAGGUUGAUAUGUUCCAGUCAUCCAGUCGCUUCGAUGAACUUCCUGAUGAUUUUGAUUCAAGUGGAAGGCUUCCAGGAUCAUUUGAUGAUGGUGAUCCGCAAACUACCAAUCUUUAUGUGGGAAAUCUUUCACCUCAGGUAACUUUUUUCUUUUGCAGAAUUUGGUUGGUUCAAUAUCAUUAAAAUGCUUGCUGUCCAUAUAUACUAAUUCCUGGCGAGUUAUUUAAAUGUAGGUUGAUGAGAAUUUUCUUUUGCGCACUUUUGGGAGAUUUGGGCCUGUCGCUAGUGUAAAGAUAAUGUGGCCUAGAACAGAUGAAGAGCGGAGGAGAGAAAGAAAUUGUGGAUUUGUAGCAUUUAUGAACAGAGCUGAGGCUCAAGCAGCAAAAGAUGAAAUGCAAGGUUUGGUUUUUUUUCUUCUCAAUGGAGUCUGUUAGUGAUCUGCUUAAUGUCACCGAUGACUUAUGGGUCCAUAAUCUUUGGGCCGAGGUUUAAAUAUUGUACUGCUUUGUCUUUCAGAAAAUGAAGCAAAUUCUAAACUUUGCCACAAAUUGAAUGUGUAUUUUUGGUGUGGUAGAGGGCAAUGGUUUUCCGCUAGUAAGUGGGAUUUAUGUGUUGUAGAUUAAUUUGUUCUUCAGUCAUUGUGCCAUUGUGUGUAAUCCACAGGUUGGGGACACAUUGUCUGAAUGUUGUGUAGUUUGACUUGUUAUCUUUGACUGCUGAAAACAAUUUCCCAAGUCUUAAUGUUAUAUGUUGUAUGUUUAUCUUUUUUUCUACUUGUUAUAUUUUGUAAUGGUAGAUAUCAUGUGCUUUGGUUUUGAUGAGUAUUUCAAAGGUUAAAAGGGGAGGUUGAUGUAAUAUAUGAAUUUUCUCAUGGAUGUGCAGGAGUGGUUGUUUACGAGUAUGAGUUGAAAAUUGGAUGGGGCAAAUCUGUGGCUCUUCCUUCUCAAGCUCUGCCUGCUCCUCCUCCGGGUCAGAUGGCCAUCAGGAGCAAGGAGGUCUGUUGCGUUAUCUUGUUGAAUUAUUAAGUUAUAUGGUGCUUUCAAUUUGAAUAACUAAACUUCGCUCUUUUAUAUUACGUGUGUGAGAAGCUCUUGACUUCUUUGGACAAUGUGUGCAUUACAGCUGUUUCAAAUCGUGAAUUUCUUUUGUAAAUGGUGGUUUACUUGUUUUUAUUUUAUCUGGAAGAAGCUUGUCCUGGCUUUGCGUGCCUGGGUAGGGGUUGGUUGGUUGUUAAAGGAUUUACUGUUCUUUUUUUAAUAUGAUUUAAUUCUGAUUAGACACUCACUCUAUUUUAUAGGGUGCCACUGUCAUACUCUCCGGUCCAUCAGGUCCACCCGUUACCUCUAUUCCAAGUCAGAACUCUGAACUGGUAAGUUUGCUAACUUCACUCUUACACAAAAAAAAUUGCUUGGUUCUUUGGAUCUCAUAACCAAACCGUAACGGAGAUCUGGUAGAAAUUUUAUCAUCCAGUAUUAUGGUGGUGUAGGUUACUUUGGUUUAAAAUGAAGGUUGACCCGCAUUUUAAUUUACAAUGAUACGAGGGUGAAUCAUAUCUAACAGAGGAUGCUAUCUAAUAGGGUUUGUUGAUGAGUACCGUGGUCUUUUCCCAUUUGUAGAUCCAACUUUUGUUAUUAAGCAGGGGCCUAUGCACCUUCGGAUGGAUUUACUUUUCCUAGUGCCACAUGCUCUAGCUUUGAUUUGAACGAAAUAUUUGAAUCAAAUGCCCCUGCUGUUUAUAUGUUUUCUGUUUGGUUGUAAUUUAAAUUUGUUUUGAGUUUCAUAAACUACUUGCAAGAUAUUAAGAUUUUUGUUUCACAAUCUCGUUAUGGUGUGCAGGUUCUUACUCCAAAUGUUCCUGAUAUAAAGGUUGUUCCACCUGAUGAUGUUCAUCUUCACCAUGUGAUUGAUACAAUGGCUCUAUAUGUGCUUGAUGGAGGAUGUGCUUUUGAGCAAGCAAUCAUGGAAAGGGGCCGUGGGAAUUCUAUUUUUAACUUCCUCUUCGAGCUUGGCUCGAAGGAGCAUACAUACUACGUCUGGAGGGUCUAUUCAUUUGCACAGGUAAAAUGCUCCUAGAAAUGUUGGGAGAUGUCACAUCAGAAUGAGAUUAGGUGGCAUAAGAAUGUCUUGGUGGGGUAAUUAUUUGCUUUAAUAAUACCAAGAGAUAUUGCGCAAAAGGCAAUCUUAUGGUGUCUUACUGUUUGGGUCCAGGGUGAUACUCUUCAAAGAUGGAGAACAGAACCCUUUAUCAUGAUAACUGGCAGUGGGAGGUAUUAUUUUAUGCAACCAAUUAUACAGUUGCCUCUCAAAGUCUGUUUAGAUGCUUUUAAAUUUUACAUAUGACGAAUACUUUCUUUGACCUCUAUCUAUUUAGAUGGAUACCGCCACCUUUGCCAGCUGUAAAAUGUUCGGAGCAUGAAAAGGAUGCUGGUACUACUUAUGCCGCCGGGAAAAGCAGGGUAUUCAUACAUUCUUCCUGUGAUGGGUGGUUGAAUUUGUGUGGGUGGGGGCGAUUUAUUUCUAACAAUUUUUAAAAUUGUGCAGCGGCUCGACCCAGAACGAACACUGACAGAUCCACAGAGGGAUCAAUUUGAGGAUAUGCUGCGUGCACUGACAUUAGAAAGAAGUCAGAUAAAGGAUGCCAUGGGUUUUGCAUUGGACAAUGCUGAUGCAGCUGGAGAGGUACUUAUUUCAUACAUGAAGACUUUGUAACUUCCCUCAAAAUCAUUAUCCGCCGGUGCAUCAUUGAUUCAUUAGGAAAUGUGAUGAAAAUAUAUUUUCUAAGAACCAGAAAGAUCCUGAAUCAUCUGCAGUCUGCUGUUCUGAUGCUUUUUGAAGCUUAUUUUCUUAGUGCCUUUCUGCAGAUAGUGGAGGUCCUGACAGAAUCACUGACCCUGAAGGAAACUCCUAUUCCAACAAAAGUUGCAAGGCUCAUGCUUGUAUCUGAUGUCCUUCACAAUAGUAGUGCGCCUGUAAAGAAUGCUUCUGCAUACCGGACCAAGUUUGAAGCUACUCUACCUGAUAUAAUGGAGAGCUUUAAUGACUUGUACUGCAGCAUAACUGGGAGAAUGACGGCUGAGGCCCUCAAGGUCGGUUGAGGUGACACUACUGCUCUCUCGCCCUGGUUGUCCUUCAGUGCUUUAACUUGCUUCUUGUUUUUCUUGGUUGUUUUGUUCAUCUUCAGGAGCGAGUUCUUAAAGUUCUACAAGUAUGGUCGGAUUGGUUCCUGUUCUCAGAUGUAUAUGUCAAUGGCCUUCGGGCAACAUUUCUUCGAUCCAGUAAUUCUGGCGUGGUCCCAUUUCAUUCUUUGUGCGGUGAUGCUCCUGAAAUGGAGAAGAUUGGUUCAGAAGAAGCUGGUAAUGGAGUGAAGACCGACCAGGAUGCUGCACUGGCAAUGGGGAAAGGAGCAGCAACAAAGGAGUUGAUGAGCCUUCCCCUCGCUGAGCUGGAAAGGCGUUGCAGACAUACCGGGUUGUCUCUUGUUGGUGGUAGAGAAAUGAUGGUUGCACGAUUACUCAGCCUGGAAGAGGCAGAAAAGCAGAGGGGUCACGAGUUAGAUGACGACUUAAAAUUUUCUCAAAGCCAGUCAACCUCUGGUAGACUUAUGAGUGGUUACAAAGAAACUGGUGUCGACCCCAUGGGAUUCUCUGGGCGGGAUAGUUCUAGGAUGGAUGACCUGCAGAUAAAAGGCACUGGCACUGAACCCUUUGCUUCAACCCUUAAAAUUCCUCAACCUGCGUUAAAACCCUUCACAUAUAAGACAGAUACUGUUUUACGAUCCUCGAAAUGGGCUAGAGAUGAUGCUGAUAGUGACGAUGAACAAAAGAGAAACACUGGCGGUAUAGGGUUGAGUUAUUCAUCUUCUGGAAGUGAAAAUGCUGUUGAUGAUCCAGGCAAGGCAGAUGAAGAUGAGUUUGCUAGGAAUGUAGCUGUUUCGGCACUACCAGAUAGCAGGAUAAAUGAAGAGCAGAGGUAUCAAAGUGCCGUUAUGAUUUCUAGAUAUGUUCUGUACUUCUGUUUCCAAUAUCUUGCUUUCUUUCAGCUUAUAGCUGUGAUUAAGUUUUCAGCACUAUAUCUUAUGCUAGGUUCAGUCAUAGUACUCUACACUUAAUUAUCAUCUGCAUUUGCUCGUUUCUAUUUGCUAUUGCAGACAGAAGUUGAGGCGGUUGGAGGUUGCUUUGAUAGAAUAUCGUGAAUCCCUGGAGGAAAGAGGAAUAAAAAGUUCAGAGGAAAUUGAGAGAAAGGUAACAAUCCAACGGAAAAGGCUGGAAGGUGAAUAUGGUCUCUUGAAUUCAAAUGAAGACACAGCAGAAAACAACAGUAAGUUUCUGUUUGACUUGUGAGGAAUUGAGAGGAUCUUUUUCCUUGUGCAAAGAUUUUAAUCACUUAAACUGUUAAACUUGGUACUGUCUUGACAGAAAGAGCUUCUUGGGAAAGGAAGGAGAGCAGUAACCAAGAAUCAUCAAGAAAGCGGCCGAGGACCCAGCAGAGUGGAACUGACAGUCCUCGUCAGAGACCUUCAGCAAGUGAUAGGGAUAGAGGUCAUGAGAUGGAGAAUGAAGCACGAAUUCGGCGUAGAAGUAAAGAAGAUAAUUAUGACAGAGAUAGAAACAGAGACAGGGAUAGAGAUGCUGAAAGGCGGAGGCGACUCAAGUAGUGAUGCUGCGGCCAAAUGUUCGGAUUAUUGCAUGUAACUGAAUAGAAAAUCAAAGUCUGCUUUGUCUGUGUAUUGUUCUUUCAUCAAUGUUAAUUUAGAUAAUUCGAUCUUAUACAAUUGUCUUCUUUAUGUCUGUCAUUUACAAUUUUACAAAAUUCAUCACGAUUCUGGGCUACUAACCAGCAGUAAAUGCUUUCCAAACAAUUCCUGCACCACGUUAACUUUGCUCAGUAACAGUAAGACCUCACUAGCCUGGAUUGGUUAACGCUGUCAACUAGUGUAGCUAUGGAAAUUUGGAUCACCCGAAUUUCAAUCCUAACUUCUCGUUGGGGAAUGGAAGGGGAAGUGAGAAAUUAAUUUGGUUGACCAAGGCUAUAAUCGACUCCUUACUCCACAAGACAAUGAAUUUGAUUUAGGCCGAAGUGGUAUUGGAUUUGAUUAGGAGCCAACCCCAUCCUAUUGUGGAUCUAGACAAUGUUAUAAUAAGCAUUGGAAAAAAAAACAAGUGUCCUAUGCAGGGGAUUGUCCCUGGAGCAGGACCGAAGUUUCACCAGCUGCACGUCCUGGGCAAGCCUGUCCCUAGAGCAGGACAGAGUUUUACCGGACCAGGACUGUCCGAAGAAUGGCACAUCAACUCAGUAACAGAAAAACCGACACUUGGUCUUUGUCUCUGUACGCUAUGACACUUGGUUGACCCUGCAAAAGAAAAGCGACAUAACACAAACUGAGUUUCCCUCAACGGUAACUUUGUGGCAGUUCAUGCACCACUACUAAGUGAAGAAUGCACCUCAGCAUAAGCUUCCCAAACUUUGUCAUCUGCAACUAACAUUUCUCGGCUCUCAUCCCAGGUAAACUCAUUGCAACUGAGAAGACCGCUGAUGUCAUUACACUCUCUCAUCAGUUCCAUACAUCGAGUUUCUAAAAUGCUUUUGUCCAACAAAUGGCUGAAUCUGUCGUUGAAUGACUCGACCAUUUGAGCCCAUGCUAGCUCAUUGCAGCUGUUACAAUACUUAAGGCCUUGAUGCAACGCCUCCAACAUCAGGUCAAUGAAAUAACGAUCCAUUUCUGGUUGCCACUCUACUCCACAAGGACCAUCAUCAUCCUUGCCUGCAGCAUUAAAUCAUAUCAAUAGAAACAUUCAGAAAUUACCUAGGGAGUUUUUUUCCACUGUUGUCAAACUGCAAUUCAUCAUUUUCAAACAUUAAACAGAUACAGAGAUCUGAUAUCUACGCCACACACCAUUCAUUCACGCAUAGCAACAGAUGAAGCAUGGAAAUGACACGAGGCAUCGACCCAUUCAAAAUCAUUAGUUACCAGUCAUUGGAAGAGGUGCGUCACUGCAAUCAUCGGUGGCUGCAUUCUGAGCCAAACGGCUGUAUCUUCCAUCAAAAUUUUCCUGCUUGAAUAUGAUUUAUUUAUAUAUGAUAUUCAACAAUAUUAUUGAAUCUACUAACGAGCUAUAUACUCGAGGUAGUAUUUGAUUUGGCUUUCGAGCGAGUUUACGAGCCUAUCGAGUCGAACAUGUCUUAACUCAAUCUCGACUCAUUUAAAAUCGAGCUGAGUUACAAACAAAGUUUAUUCGAGUUAUAUACCAAGCUGCUCGCGACCGACCUAGCUCGCCAAGAGCGUGUACUCAAAGUUUACUCGUACACAUUUUUAUCGACGGUACACGUUUCAUGUUUGUACAUGAGUGCAUGAUGUAUACAUAUUUUUGUAUUCGUGUAGAGACGCUCUAUAUACAUGUAAUCAUAGACACACUCGUAAUCAUUUUUAUACGUACUUGUUUUCAUACAUUAGUACGUAGAAAAAUGCAACAUGGCCACAUCAGCCUACUGGUGUCGCGUCACCCUCAUCACUGUUCGCUCAACUUCUUCUUCCUCUUAACACCCUUUCUUCUCCGCCAUCCCAUUAUACAAAAGUCCAAGCUUCAAUUACUGAUCUCUAACGUCGCAGGUAAUUAAACUUUCCUUUUCCCCUCCAUUAAUAUAUGUGGUUGUUAUCCCUACAACUAUAAGAUAUCUCUAUCAGUGACGCAACAGUUGUUUCUCCUUUGGUGUUGUUUGCUACUUGUUGUUGUCCACCAAUUGUUCGUUAUAUUUCCUGAACCAACCAUGGAGUCCAACGUCUCCUCACUGACACUGACUCUUUAUUUCUUAUGGGAACAGAGCUUCCUCAGACAAUGGAACCAAACGUUUUCUUAUAGCGCGCGAUUCCAAUUUCACCCCUUGCAAUUCUCGAUUCCCUCUUCCAGCCGUCGUGGUGAUAAACGAAAAUGGGUUGGAGAUACAGAGCUGGAUUGGGACUCAUUGCUAUGGUUGUUUUCAUUUGGGUUGCCUGCGCAGAGAUCACUCAGGUUUCAUCUCUCUCUUUCCUCUUUGUUUGCCCAGAAAGUUAAUCCUAGCUAGUAAAACUGUAUUUUCGACAUUCUUUUUUUUGUAGAGAAUCUUCGACAAGUAUGAACAUCCUUUUGCCCUGACCUACCUUGGAGUGUCACUAAUGCUGCUCCAUCUCCCAAUCGCAUUCUUGAAAGACUGGUUGAGUAGCUUGUUCGGAGGGAUUAAAGACGAGAUUCAGUUACAGAGUCACACUAAUUACUCUAACAACACAUCUUCUUCUUCAGAACCAGAAACUAAUAAGAUUACACGUAGCAUCGGUUUAAAUCACAAGGAUCUUAGUGAGAGGGAAGAAGGAAGGCCUUUGAUUUCUAACGACCAAGUUGUUGGCCAACACGGUAUUGAUCAUCAGUUGCUCAAUAAGCAGAUCGCUCCCCAACUAGGUUCCUCCGAAAUUGCUAAAUGUUGCUUGUAUCUCGCUCCAAUAUGGUUCCUAUCAGAGGUUUGAUGAUCUAUCUCUGCUCAAAGUUUUAGUGAGUUCUUGACUUGAAUGGUUUAUCAUCUUUGAAAGUAUUCUUUUCCUAUAAGCUAACUAGCCAGCGCUACCUUCUUGAAUGUGCUACAGUAUCUAUCAAACUUGGCCCUUGUAUAUACAAGUGUUGCAAGUACGACCGUCAUAAGUUCGACCUCAGGGUUAUUCACCCUUGCAUUUGGUGCAAUUCUUCGUCAGGAGUCGGUCAAUGCUGCUAAGGUGGUUGCUGUUGUUAUUAGCAUGGCUGGUGUUGCCAUGACUACGGUUGGAAAGACUUGGGAAAUUGAUGAAAGGUCGGCCACGCCUCAGUCAGUCAUCAUUCCCUUAGUUGCUUAUAAUAGUACUUCUUGUUAAGAAUUGUUGUAAUCUUUUUAAAUGCACUGGGAUAAGUGAGCUGUAGAUGCACUCCUCACUAACAUGAACCUUCAUGCAUUGUGUAUGAUUUUCAAGGACAAGGAAGCACUGUAUUGACGGCGACAUACUUAGCCUAUUGGCAGCCAUAACAUACGCCUUAUUUACGGGUAAGUUCUAGGAAUAAAUCCAAAAAUCCACACAAAUGCCCGAAUGAAUGCAUGCUCUUUAACAAUGUGAUGCGUUUACAUGCAGUUCUACUCAAGAGAUCCACAGGAACACAAGGGCACAACGUUGAUAUGCAAAACUUCUUGGGAUACAUCGGCCUUUUCACCCUUGUUGGCUUUUGGUGGCUGUGUAAGUAGUUCUAAACCUGCCACAGGUCUUUCAUGCUUAAUUAAACAACAUAAAUGGAGCUGUUAAUUCAUUCUAUGAAGGGGGCUUCAUUUGUUUAUAACUGCAGCGUGGCCUCUCAGUGCAAUAGGAAUAGAGCCCAGAUUUAGCUUUCCGGAUUCAGCAUCAAUUGAUGAGGUUGUGGUGUUGAAUAGCUUCCUAGACAGCUUUUUAGCAGACUACUUCUGGUAAUGUUAACUGGAUGAUUUUCCAAGCAGGACAUGAUUUUAGAUGCUCUUCCAUUGCAAAACGCAAUAUAUAACAAGUCAUUCAAUAGAGAUCAAUCAUAUUUGCAUUGAGAAGUUGAUGACAUGAGGUAGAAUAGCUUCCUAGACAGCUUUUUAGCAGACUACUUCUGGUAAUGUUAACUGGAUGAUUUUCCAAGCAGGACAUGAUUUUAGAUGCUCUUCCAUUGCAAAACGCAAUAUAUAACAAGUCAUUCAAUAGAGAUCAAUCAUAUUUGCAUUGAGGAGUUGAUGACAUGAGGUAGCUCUUCCUUACAAAGCAGGGCUCUUUCUGUGAUAUGGACUACACCAUUGGUGGCCACGCUGGGGACGUCCUUGACAAUUCCUCUGGCUAUGGUGGCUGAUAUGGUGAUUCAUGGUCGUCACUACUCAGCGAUAUACAUCUUCGGCUGUGUCCAAGUAUGUGUCAAACCAGAGCCCAAAAUAUCUCUUCUUUUUUUCUCUGGUCUUUAACAACCAAUAGGUAGAAGUAUCUUCAAUGCCUCCAGAUGAUUAUUCCAUUUCAGCAACGAAAUUGGGUUUUGCAUGCUGCAUUUUCUUUCAGGUAUUUGCAGGUUUCAUUAUAGCCAAUGUUUCAGACAAGUUCUCAGGGGAAGCGGAGUUGUAGCUGCAUGACAUGGCCCAAAAGUAGGACAGAUAGAUGAGUGAAUUGAUCCUGUGAAGUGUAACCAAAGUUGAUGUAGCGUUCUAUCAGAUAGAUUUAUGUAUAUCGGUGCUUGGCUUCUCUCAGCUUGUUGGUGUUAAUCAACAUUGUCACCAUCAUCUUCAGAACCUCCCUAUAAAGUGUAAGAGGAAAAAUGUAAUUAAGGCCACGAUUUCUGCCCCUCAACUUCCAGUUCUUUCCCGAAUUCCGAAAUCCACUGAAAUUCCGAUUCUAAGGCCAAAUCCAUCUGAUUAGGUAAUUUUGUACCAUUCUGAAUCGAAUUUAAUGUUGGGAAGCCUUAAAAUCCGAUAUAAUUAGGGAUGUCACUUUGUGAUUGUGAAAAAAGUAAUUGACGAAAUUGAUCUGACGUCUGUAAUUAACCCCAUAUCUAGCCAAUUCCGCAUUUAAUUAACCCCAUACUCCAGCUGCUGAAGAGCUUAUACAACACUUGAAAGAUGAAAACAAUAAGCUACAUUCAGAAGUUAGCGAGUUGAGAAUUGAAGUUACCUCAAUCAGGUAUGCUUCAAGAUAUUCUGCCAAUAGCUGGUUUCCAAUCAGUGACAUUUGUAUAGCUUCAGAGAUAAAUAGCGUAGAUCUAAGUUUGUAGGUCGGAGAAGGAUGUGGAAUGUGCCGAGUACCAGAAGCGGCUUAUGGAAGAGACUGAAAAGAGUAAGUUACAUUUGAGUCCUUUUAUUAUUCACCCUUUUGUGCAAGAGACCACUUCCUGGGAAGAUCCUCCUUCUAGCUCGGUAGUUCAUUUAAUAUGUUUCUAUAUAAUCCUUGUGCUAGUUAUUUAUUAAAAUGCUUUCUAUUGAAGUAGAGAGGAUUCAGAAACUACUUGAUGAAUCUUGUAGUGUAAAGGAUGGCACCACCAUACAACGAAAAUCAGGUGAAGUAUUGAACAGUUCAACGAGAAGAAAAGCUGGAAAGUCUAAUAAUGCAGGAGGAACGAUUGAGAUCGAUGAGUGUACAGCCACCCCUGCUCCCAACAAGCAACCUCUCAAUCUCCUUAAUGCUGCGCGUCAAAACAACGAUAGAAAUGAUGAAGUUAUGUCACAUGAGGUGUCUAAUGGCUCAAGGAUAAUGACACGAAAGCGCAGCCGAGAACCUAGGACCGAAAAGGAAGAUGGUAUUCGUAUUCAUGGUUCCGCUGGUCCAGCUAAGAAAAGGAUAAAAGAAUCAGCUAGAGAUUCACCCCAAGGUCUCCGGUGGACUUUGCUGUGACGAGCUGGUAUGUUUCAACUUUGAAUGUUCGGAGCUAAAUCUAAAAUUUCUCAUAUCUCUAACUAAUAUCCGGUUCUUUUCAGCCCGCAUGCUGAGAACAGCUUCUUAUAAAACAGGUGCGAAUGUGAGAUUUUUUUUAUGUGGCAUUAGAUCGGCUAGCACGUUUAUUCAUACUGUGUCAACUUUCCAGGUGAUGGAGAGCCAACGAACUGUCAAUUUCAAGCUCUUAUUGAGUGCUUGCUGGGCAUGAAAUUAUCUCCUGUCAAUCAAAAUGGAGGGAUAUGCAUUUCAGCUAUGCAUCAAACAAGUGGUAAUACUUUCUGUGUUGGUGCUGCUAGUCAAUGUGCAUUGCAUGAAUUGGCUUGGUCCACUCAUAGAAGAAACUGUUAAAGGAUUUAUAGUUAUGAAACAUAGACGACGAAGCCAUCGCCAUAUGUUUCCAUUUGUUUUAUCUUUGAAAAUUCGAAUCAAUUAACAUCUGUAAUUAAUACGUGUGGUUGAUAACAGGUUAUUCAUUCAGUCUAACACGGGUCCAGAACUCAACAAUUGGAGAAGCAGAGCUUGUGUAUCGGGUAGCAGCACUAGGGACAUUUGAUCGGGUAGCACCAGAGUGGACGAGGUCAGUGAUAAUGUUCAGUAUCAGCAUGUGCCCAGUCUUCUUUGAAAGAUUAGCCCGGGUAAUCAAGCUCCAUCACUGAUAUUAUGUUACAACUGUGGUGUUUCUUCCCAUAUGGCACACUCGUAGCAUUCCUGUUUCAUUCCGUAUGCGCCUUAUAACUGUAGAUAGAUAUCAACCAGUAAAUUUGUGGUUAGCUUCAACUUUCCUUCACCGGUGUAUGUACUCUUAAACCAGAACUAUAUGGAUGUAUGAUUGGUAUUCCGAGAAUUAAGUAGCGGAAAAAUUAAAUCGAUGGAAUUUAGAUGACAACAUAAAAGUCGGUCAAAUUGUAGAUGCUUUGAUGUGUAUAAGUGUAUUUGCCCUAUUUGGCUUGCCUUUGUGAUUGUGAUUAUUGGACGAUUUACAUUUUAAUUGACUGAAAUUGACCGGUUAAUAACUAAUUUAACCAACUUUCAGUUUAAAAUUUUGCUUUUCAAAAUCACUUCGUCGAAAUCUAGUUUGUUAGUUGGCUGAAAGUCCGAAACACAAUUACAUAAACAUGUUUGAAUCGAUAAGAAUUUAUUUUCCUUCUUUCAAAUUUAUUAGAAGAUUACAAAUAAACUGAAGAAGUAAUCAAAUUAACAAUGUAUUUACAUUAAAAUCAAUCAACAUAUUAACUGAUCCAUUAGACGAAUAAACAUAAACAGUAGUGUAUGAUACAGUCAGUGAAUUACGCUCACAAUUAAAAAAUAAAAUAAAAUAACUGGUCAAUUAAUUAGUCCACCGGAAACGAAGACCGAUACUUUUCCUUUUCGGCCGGCCGAACAAAGACCACUGGGAUCAAUAAGCCUAGAGACAUCAUCGUUCCUGCUUAGCGUGGGGAGAAGUCAGGGGAAACAGAGUAAGCAGCUCGGGCGCCUCGCUCCCACCGCGCGGCGUACUCAACGGAGACGGGUGCAGAUAAAACCUCUUCUCCGCAAUCGCCCUUUCUUCCUCCGUCGACGGCGACGUCUCCGUGCUGGAAAAGAAUGGCGAGUCAGCUGCCCCGGAAGCCAUCAGCGGCGUCACGGGGCUGGCAAUCGGAGACUCCGCCAAGAAGCAAUUCCCCGGGGAAGAACACGGGCUCGUUCCAGAACUAUUAUUCCGGAGAGACGCUCUGCUCAGCUUGAUUUCAAGCUUUCGAAUCGUGUGCCGCCGUUCCUGGAGCUUGAACGACGACCUCCUCGGCGAGUUUAUGGGGCUACUAUUACCGUUGAUAUGGUGAUGAUUGGCAGCCUGUUUAGCAGUCCUGGAAGGGAGAGUCACCGGGAACUUGGCGUCAGCGUCGGGAGCUAAACCAGUUAGCUUCUGGUCGAGUUCUCGGAACGUUGCCGCGUCGGCUUGGACGAAGGUGGUGGAUGAGAUAGGGGAGGGCGGUGGUAACGCCGCCGUCUUCGUCGUGGUCAUUGUCGUCACCACGUGGCGGCGGGUCUCCGUUCCCAUCGGCGGAUUGUUGUUUGUUUGGAUGAAUUUGAUUAUGUUUCAGGGUUUUAGAGGAGAUAUAAGAAGAAGAAGGGGGGGGAAUGGUUGAAUGGAUUCCGAUGGUUGUUUCGUAAUGAUUGUUGUUUGGAGUCAACAAUCUGUUUAGAGAGAUUGGUUACGUUUGUUUUGUGUGAUGAUAGGAGCCAGAAAUUAGAAUGUAGUCUUGCAAUCUGGUUUUAUUAUUUGACUGAGUACUUAAUUUUAUAAAAUUUAAAGGGAAAUUAGGGUUUGGAUUGUGAGGUUAUGACAAGAAGAUGGACAAUUUGGAUUGCUAAUUAAGAGAGAGUUUGAAUACAAAGUUUGACCAGAUGGCCUUUGUUUUUGUUUGACUUGGUUAAUGAUUGAUGGUAGUGUAAAAUGUAGUCAUGAAAAUCAAUCGUUGAAAUUGUCAAAACUGUAGUGUCCGGUUAAUGUAGACGCGUUAGGGGCUAAAUAGUAGAAAUAAAUGUUAUAUUUAUGUGGAGGGUUAGGAUUCAAUUUUGGUAAUUUCUAUACACAAUAUAACUAAUUGCAUUACUCUACGAGGACAAUAUGAAGAUUAAAUUAGGUUUUAGAAAAAAAAAAUUAUUUAAGUAUUUUACGGAUCAUCUUAACUAUUUAAACUAUCAAAUUUGAUCUAGUAGUUAAAUCCAUCAUUCUAUGACCAAAUUAAGGGCACGAUUUCCAUUGCUAUGUUGGAAUUGGAAGCAAAACUUUGUGUAAUAAAUCUUCAUUGGUCUUUCGUUGAUUUGUGCAUAUUGGAUUUUCACUCAACGGCGCGGCCUUUUUCAUUGUGAAUCUGGAAUCCUUUCAUACUGUCGGAUCAUUUGCGCGGAUUUUAUGUGGAGGAAACAUAUCAAACUUUCGAACAAUGUGUAUAGAUCAAAGAAGUUGUAACACAAAUUGUUAUACAAACAAGCAUGUGUAUAGCUAAUCUGAUUAACGUAUUACAAGUUAAAUAUGCAUGCGGUAUUCAGGUUAUUUUUUAGCGAAUAAGUUACUAAUAUGUUGGAACUCAAUAGAUGAGUAACUAAAAAUGUUAAUUUCAGACUUAAUAUACCAAAUACCACUAUAUUGUUUAAAAUCCAUCACAUCAACUACUAAACUUUAUUUUAUUCACUGGAUAUCACUAAUUUUAUUUUAGUGUUCACCAAAUACCAAUUUAAUCGAAUUUUGACCGAAAAAUGACAUGGACAGUUAGACUACCUCCUAUCAAAAUUCGGCUAAAGUGGUAUUUGAUGAACACUAAAACGAAAUUAGUCGUGUCUGAUGAACAACAUGAAGUUUGGUGAUUAGUGUGGCGAGUUUUACGUUCUUUAGUGAUACCGUUGUAUUUUUGAUAAACUUGAGUUUAAAAAUAAAAUGAUUUGGUGGAAAAAUCAGCGAGAUUCGCAAUCAAAGUGAAGGGAGGACGUGGUUGAGAGGAGGUCUCAGGUGAAAAGUCUUUGUGGCUGAUUUUUGCACACCAUUUCGAGUGGUGGUGAUCGAUCAACGAUUCCCAAUGCUCACCAACUGUAGACGUGUCCGCCAAACUGAAAGACACAGAGGAAGAAGAAGACGACGAAGAAGAAGAAGAAGAAGAAAAGAAGCAACAGCCAGCUAAACCGCUGCAGCACGUCAACCAAAGCUCAAAAUCAUGCUCGCCUGAGUUAUAAUAAUCCCGCCAUUGGCUCCUACCUAGCUAGCUAGCACAUGGACGCCAUGGCCUUGUCAUCAUCAUCCUCAUCCUUUCACCAAUUCCUCUCCCACAGAGCCUCCUCCCGAUCCCCUACUUUCUCUCCCCCGCCUGCCGCCGCGAUCACCGUCUCCUCCAAGUCUCAUUUCCUCAUGCAACAACUCAAGGCCCGCCGCUUCGACAAGUGCCACGCGAUGACCACCUCGCCUUCCUCCAAUUCGGCUCUGGACGACGAUGGCGGAGUGUUGUACGGAGAUCCGGCGACCGAAGAGGAACGGAGCGGGGAGAGAGUAGCGGUGGCGGAUUAUGACUGGACGGAGGAAUGGUAUCCUCUCUACCUCACUAAGGACGUUCCAGAUGAUGCUCCUUUAGGCCUCACCGUGUUCGAUAAGCAGGUUGUGGUCUAUAAAGACGGACAAGGUCAGAUCCGUUGCUAUGAAGAUCGAUGCCCUCAUAGGUGAGUCUGUCAAAUGAUCGAUCCUGUGUGUGUUCGAUCAAAUUGGGCGAAUUGAAUUUUUAGUUCUGAAAUUUCAUGAUUUCCGGGUCUUCAGGUUGGCUAAGCUCUCAGAAGGUCAGAUUUUAGAUGGGAAGCUUGAGUGUCUAUAUCAUGGCUGGCAAUUUGAAGGGGAUGGUAAAUGUGUGAAGAUACCUCAGGUCAGGUUUGCAAAUAUUUUACUCUUUUUCGUUUACAUUCAUUCUUUUGGGUGUUAUGUGGGAAUCUUAUUAGCAUCUGCUGCAUUCUGCAACAGCUUCCUGCAGGGAGCAAGAUUCCUAAAUCAGCCUGCGUCCAAGCUUACCAAGUGAAAGAUUCUCAAGGAAUCUUGUGGGUUUGGAUGUCUCCAAAAACUGAACCUAAUGUGAAGAAGCUACCAUGGUUUGAAUCGGUGGACAAGCCAGGGUAUCAAUCGGUCUCGACCAUCCACGAGCUUCCUUACGAUCACUCCAUACUUCUGGAGAAUCUUAUGGACCCUGCUCACAUCCCAAUCUCCCAUGAAGGGACAGACACCUCCACGAGUAGGGCAGAGGCUCAGGCGCUAGUCUUUCAGGUCACGGAGAGGUCUGAUCGAGGUUUCGCAGGGUAUUGGGGGAAGGAAGCUGACGGGGUGACAUCCUUCUUACGGUUUCAAGCUCCUUGCGUCAUGUCGAAUGUGAGGGAAUUUACCAACGAGCAAGGGCAGAAACAUUACUUCACCGGCUUGUUUCUGUGUAGACCGGCAGGGCAGGGGAAAUCAAUGGUGAUUGUGCAAUUUGGAACUACAAGAGGUUUCAAGGCAGCAAAAUGGAUACCGACAUGGUUCGUACAUAACCUCUCUUGCAAGAUAUUUGAACAGGACAUGGGAUUUCUAUCGUCUCAGAACGAGGUUCUGAUGAAGGAAAAAGUUCCCACUAGAAAGCUGUACAUAAACUUGAGAUCUUCCGAUACGUGGGUGCUGGAGUACCGGAAAUGGAUGGAUAAAGUUGGCCACGGAAUGCCUUACCAUAUGGGGCACAGCACAAUUUCUCUGCCUCAAGUCCAAGCUGUUGUGGAGCAUGCACCGGCGGGGUUUCUGGCAGGGUCCUCUUCAGCUUUGCCGGCUAAAGGGGCGCUCGCGGAGUUGCACGCUCCUAACUUGACAAGUCGUUAUUUCAGGCAUGUGGUUCACUGCAAGGAAUGCUUGAGUGCUGUCAAGACAUUCAGUGCUGCUAAAAAGGUUCUCUCGGUAGUAGCUGUGGCCCUGGCCGGGUUGGCUAUCCUCGCAUCGCAGAGGCAGUGGAAGAUCUUUCUCUUAGUAUCGGCGAGCUUGUGCUUUGGUGGAGCGCAGUUGUGCGCUACGGCUCUCUCUAGCAAGACCACCAAUUUCAUAAGAUCACACAGGAGAUAAUGGCUGGCUGGCAGGCUAGUGUUGUUUUUGUUUUGUUUGUCUUCCGUUUGUGUUAAUGUUUUUGAUGGAACAAUUAUCAAGUGCAGUGAUUUCCUAUUACCAGGUGCUUGAAAGCUAAAAUUCAUCCAUAACAAUUAUCAAGCAGAGAAGAAAUUUCAAUCAUUCGGUAUGAACCACAAAAUCAUAUGAUAACAAAUGCGAUCAAGGAUGCAAAUGGCUUUUAAUCUGGCAAUCCCAACGACUGAAUUCGAUAUAUGCAAUCAAGGCUCUCGUAUGUAGGGCCAUAAUUUAGUCAAUCUGCAGUUUAGUGUUUGUUUACAGUGCAAAUACAAAGAAACUUACUCAAGGGACUGCCGACUAACUAACUGGUCUUCUAUUUCUGUUGAACAAUUAGCUUGCAAGCCUCAGCUACAAUCUCCUUCACUUAACCAGUGUGUUUGUUAACAAGGCUUUCAUUAAAAUUAAUAUUGCAGCACCUGCAUAUAGUCUUUGAAGAUGAUGUCAAAUGAAUCCCGGAUGCGUUAAUGAUUGCAAAACCGAACAUCUAGUUGUCCAACUGAUAGCUGUUCAUCCCAAAAUUGAAUUGCUGAUCCCAAAACCGAGAUCAAAUAUCACCAAUGACAUCUCUACUACUUUGACUACCUGUGCUUUUGUCCCUUCACAACAGCAAAAGAAAAAGAACAAAUUAUAAGGGGCAGCGUGUUGAUGUAUAUCUUAUGUACAGAUCUACUUAAUUCAUAAGAAGUUAUGAUAACAGAGAAGGGGUAAGUUUUCAGAAAUGGCGACUCAGGAAACCUUAAAAUCGACCAAUGAGUUAUGCAGCACAAUCAACAAGAACAUUUGACUGUAUUUGCUACGGAGGCAAAAAGCUCUCAGUGUCUGACAAAAAUGAACCAAUUUUUCUUACUUCCAGGCAAAGAGUGAUGAGUAUUUAGCAGACCUGCUGAGUAUGUCCUAAACGAAACAUAAAACCUGCAAGAACAAACCUACCUUUUACCCGGCCUCUUAAGGUGCAACUUCAACUCUUCGAUGCUCAAGUCGUCCCCAAGCUUAGACUUUAGUAAGUUGCAACCAUCUAUGUACGUUGCAGGCUUGUCCAUGCCAGGUACUGGCGGCAAAUCCUUUAUCUUUUCUCUGAAAUGCUCCAUGACAACUAGCCCUGCAUGGGAAGGCAAUCAGAAACCAGUAAGUAGGAUACAAAGAGCAGGCGUGACAUUCAAUCAUCAAUCACGUCAUCCAUAUGAUUUCGGUAUCAAUAUCGUAGCCACAAGAAUAGUAACAAUCCAUAAAGUCUCAAUCUUGUUACCCUAUCAUUACUCAUCAACAUUUCUAGCAACCUGAGCAUGGCAAAGCUGACUGUAAUUACAUACCAAGUGCUCGGAGCAACUUCAAGCCAACUUUCUCGGCCAGUUCCUCAUGACCAAUAGCCGUUGCCCGUCGACCCACCAUCUUCUUCAAGCUGAUUAGAACGUCCUAUCAAUAGCAACAGAUUCCUAUAAUCUCUUUUCGAAAAAAAUCUGAAAAUUGAAGGCACCUUUUUUUUAGAAAGGCACCUAAGAGUGAAAAGCAACAAACUUUUUCAAUCACGGUAACUUACAAGCUCCGACUCGGAGAGGGAACAUAGCCACUGUACGUCUUCAAUCCUGUUGUCCUCUAUAAGCUCGUUUACGCCAUCCAUUGCAGGAAAUUGUGAAGGUCACUGAAUAAAGACCUGCCAAAAUUGCAGUAAGAUUCACCCAAGCUAAUAAGCAAGAUUUUCAAGAUCAUAUCAUGUUGGAAAGAUUAAUGUCUUUACCAACAUACAAUAUCAGCCCAAAAUCAAUGUCCACUGCAUUGCACGUUGAUCAAAUCAAUCAAAUUAUGCCCUAACUACAAUUUUUUAAUCAAUUCAGUAAACACUAAAAAUAAUAAACCAAUCACUCAAAACAGAGAGUCGUCCUUUCUAAAAUAACCUGAGCUGAAGACGCCAGAGUUGAUUAAGCAGAUACCGCCGAUGAUGGAGCAGGGGGUGGAGGCUCUGAAGUGUAAACUUUUCAGAGUUGGAUAAGGGUGGAGGUGAUUAGGGCGAUUGGGGGGGGCGUAAAUGAUAGGACAAACCGGCCGGCGAAAAUAUAAUCGGUGUGGUGACCGGACGGCGAUGAUGGCAGAUGGUAGAGACGAUGAUUAGUUGUUGUUGUUGGUGGAGACGGCGGGGCUGAUUCUGCCUCCAAACUCGAAUACAAACCUACGAAGCAGAACAAAACGGCGCCUGUCCAUUAGUCUCUUUUAACCAGCGCACUCAAACGACGCCGUUACUUCUUUUUUCAAGGGUCAAAUUUCAUUAAUGCUUAACUUAGCAAAUAGAGGUUAUAAAAUGACAAAAUUAAUUAGAAUUAGCGACCCUGUGAAGGGCAAAGUUAAGAAAUUUGAGUGACGAGUUAAUUCGUAAGUUGUUUGAUUACUGAUUUUUUUAAGGAAGACCACUUUAUUUGUAGUGUUACAAAAAAAAAAAGAGAAUAUUGCUAGCAAGACAUCCUUUUUCUGAAACAUUUUUACGGCAGUGGCGAAUAGUAUGACAAGCGACAAAGCAAUUCGUUUCGAAGGUGUUGUGAGUGAGGCCUCGAGCAUGUGUUCCUUGUAUGGUAAGAGGGAUAGUAGAAAAAUCUCCUUUUAUAGGGAAUAAACGCGAUAGUGUGUCAGUUUCAAAACUAAAUAAUUAUUUUGUAAAAUUUCAAACAACAAAGAUUAUGCCACAAAGUCUGGUCCGAUAAAAAGAGGCAAAAUCGAUGUUGAUCUUCAACCACCCGCCGGUGGAUGCCAUAUGGGGCAGUAGGCACUCGGCAUGCCUCAGGUAAAGGGUUGCUACCACACAAUAAGUGUAGCAAUGGGUUUAUCACAUAUUCAGUUCAAAUGUGAUGUUGAACUUGUGGUGUGAAGGGUAAACGAAGAGAUGGUGGAUCACUUGGAGUUUGGUGUCAUUAUGCGGUGUCGAUGUUCAUAAUUUUAUCAUGUUUUUUAUGUUAAGAGGAGUAACUAUACGAUUGUUCAUGAACCUGUUAGAUGAUCGUUUUUUUAGUCUAGUCUGGCGAUAGACGAGAUACUUUUCAUUUUUUUAAUUUAAGUCCUAAUCAUUAAAAAUAAUAGAGCGAAAAAACGAGACUCCAAUUAUGGUUAUGAAAACACAACGUACAGAAACCACAAACUUGGGAAUGUAGCGUUAUUGGAAAAAAAGAGUAAACAAUGAUGACAAUUGCUUCUAUCCUCCUCUUCCUAUCUCUGAGCUUGUUUUUUCUGACCAUCAAUGGCGAUCAGGAGCAGCAGCAUAAUUUCCACAUCAUUCAGCUAUCUUUCGAUCUCAAUCUUCCCCUGCCGGCCCUUUUUUGUAUAAAAUAGAUGAGAUGAAAUUGCUCUUACAAACGAAAAUUAAAAUAAAUAUAUAAUAGGUAUUUAUUAUUCUAUGUGAGGUGGGAUUAGUGGUCAAAUUUGAAAUCAAGCCACACAAAACAACCAACUAUUUUACUUUAUCAUUACAAAAAAUUUGUUAUUUAGCGUUAGUCAUUUUUAAGACUUAAUUUUGCUUGUCGAUCGCGAUUAAAAAAUUUUCCGUCGAUUAAAAAUAGAGCUUCUUUUUCUUCUUCAAUAUCCAAAGUUAAUCUUUUUUCUUGCAUAAUUUCAAAAGGAAGGGGGAAGCAAAAUUAUUUGAGAAGGAAGGAGGGAAAGGAGAAGAAGGUGGAACAUUAGACAGCCAGACGUCGCAAAAUGUGUCUCGCUUUCACCGGGAAUGGGAUGUGAAUGACGUGACAAUUUUUGAAAACGCGCAACAAUUGAUGUUUGAGUGGUGUACGACGGUGCCGGCGGAAGGAUUGAAUUUGUGACCGGCGACUAUAGUUGAUUGUAGCUUAAAAGAUCUUUAGAGAUUAGAGUUUAGCCUCCCUACAUAUAAAUAUAACUCUUUAUCUUCAUUAUAAGAGAUAAUUCAUUAUCGUCAAAACCUAUUAUGUAUAAUGACACACAAACUUUUUUUAAAAUGAAGGGAGAUUAAUGUUUGGUAUGGUAUUUGGUUUAACUAUCAAGUCUUUACCAACAAACUGACAAGAGAUAAUAAAAAAAUAUAAUAUAGAUUUGUAGAAAGGAAAAAAAUAACUUAUCGAUUUGUUUUAUCACUUAUAAAUGUUAUAUAUAUAAAAAAUUCAAAAAUUUGAUUGGUUAGGAUAUUUCCGUUGCAAAAAUUUAGCAAUUGCUAAGGUGUCAUAUAGGUUUAAUAAAUUAAAAAUCUUUCUAGUUUAUAAAGUCAAUUAGCAAUAUCAUAUAUGCAAAUGGACUUAUAUUUAAUUAGAAUUUAUAUGAUAAAUAAUCUAUUAUUAUUGGUGAAAAAAUAUUAUUAAGAAAUAUAUAAUCUAUGCAACUUCUCACCCCAAACAGCUAUCCAUUGAAAGGUUUACUUGCCAAAAUAAAAUGUGGGAUGAAAUCUUGAACAUUUUAUUUUCGAAUAAAAUAUUUAAAUUUUACUAAAAUUUAUUUUCAUUUUAUAUUCUACCUUGCAAACUGACCAAAUAUUAUUAUUAAGAAGUUGUAUGUUGCUUCCUCCCCUUAGUUGUAAAAUAAUGUUGAAGAUGGAAGAUGAGGAGGACGAAACUGAAACGUCAAAGGAUAGAGGAUAACACUAUAAAGAGAAAAUGUAUAAUGUUUGGACCUCUAGAUUCCAGCUUGCAUCCACUCAACAUAUUUGGCCAAGAUUCCAAAGUACCCCGCAACUCCUCCAAUCAUGCCUCCCCCAUGUUCCUCCUAUUUUCGAGAUAGUUUGGAUUCGACGUCAAAAACUUUUUAUUCCUUGUACCAGAUCGAAUCGCAUAAAAGUUAAAAUAUACUAAGUUGCGUAUAAAAAAAAUAUACCAAUCAAAGUAGGUUGAGCGGUAGUCCGGGGGAGGUCACCGUGUAUCUACUCACUGUUCUCGACUCUUGCAAUCGAAAACGUAUGAAUACUUGAACCCUAUUGUAGUACCAUGACUAAUAUUGCUUCAUACGUCGUAUAAAACUAAGAAGAGUGAAACUCUGGAGUGUGUUUCCACCGUGUAUAGUACUGCUGCAAACCCAACUUCAACCGAACUUUCGAUUUUAUCAGUUAAACAAUAGUCAUCGUAUCUCCCAGAAUAGAACGGAGUUGGAUAUUCUUUUGAUAUCACUAUGUUUGAAUCGUAAAUAUCAAUGAUUAAUUAAACAAAUUUUUAUAGCCUUAUUCUUCAAAGUAUAUAAAUAUGAAAAUGUUUAAAUGAUUAGUUUUGAUAAAAUGAUGACUUGACACCUAAUUUAUCGUUUAAAUGGUACUUGAAUAAAAUACAAAAAUAUUGAUGGAAAAAAAGCUAAUUAAUGGUCAAAACAAACCGGCGAAAGAGACUUGAUUGACGUUUGUUUCCGGGUCUGCAAAAUCAGACCCACCCAUGUGAGUUAAAGCAACAAUUGAAGGGGAGAGGAGCUCCGGCCGACUCACUACCGCAUGGUACUUACGCACGUACGUGGUGCAUGGCAUGUGGACACUUUGUUAGAGCCUCUCUAAUGAUUUUAUAAAAUUGGCUCGAUAUUGUAUAAUUUUAUUGGUUCAAUGUAUGACUUAAUUAUACAUAUUAUACUAAAAAUUACAUUCAACUCAGUCGAAAAUAAUAAACUAAUACCGUAAAUAAUUAUAACUUAUUAUUAUCAGACUAAAAAAAAAAGUGUUGUAUGGUUUGGGUUUUUAGCAGACCUAUUGAUAGAAAAUAGAAAUUAAUAAUUUUUUCCAGGACAUGUAAUAAGGAAUAGAAAAAAAAACAUGAAAACAAAGAUAAAUGAUAAUAUAGAGUCGUGUAAAUUGGAUUGAGCAGACAUUGGUGGUGGGCCAAACCAGCACUAGCUAUAGUAGUUUGAUUGAUUUCUGGUAAUUGGUAUGAUUGCGAUUUCCCAUCAGCAAUCAGUGAGAAAUAGUAAAUGCUUUGUAAGAAUAAUAUAGAAUACUAAACAAAGCUUGCACUCAUCAAAAAUACAAGGUUAGCGCGUGGACCCAAUUAUAGGCCUUUCGAAGAAUCCAAAUCAUCUUUUGUUCUUCUCUCAACGCUGGGGCCAUGCAUCGAAUAUUCAGUUUUUGUUAUAUGUUCCAUACAUUUAAUUAAUAUAUAAAUUUCAGUUUCUAAUGUGAAUUGAGAAAAUUUAUGUUUGAUGAAUGGAUGUGAAUGAGAAAGUUUCAGUGAAGAAAUAGGUGAGUGAUGGGGGGGGGCCUUCCGGCAUAAUUACCGCUUUCAUUUUGAAAACAAAUUGUUAUUAGGAAAUACUACAAUUCCGAAAAAUUGCAAAUCCGAUCAACACCGAGUUGGUUAAAUGAUUGGUUUUCGGUGCUUUUUUUUUUAUGAUAGCCGCACCGUAAAGUUUAGCGAUAGUAGAUAUUAUGUUAUUCAAACCGUCGCAUACCCAUUAAUAUAAAACGGCAUAUUUAGCUAAUUAAGAAUUAUUUAUUCUUCUACAAAAAUACAAAACAUCGGGUUUAAACCCCUAAACUCACAGGUUUUUCCAAUCAAAUUUCAUUAACUAGUUGAAGAAACUCACUUGCAACAACAAAUCAGAAGAACAUUCGGUUGGUUUGUUUGAUUAAUAAUAAUCGCCAGUUAAAACCGCAACACGACCUAAUAUAUCAAUGAUAUUAAAAUCAAACCCAAACUAUCAAACUUAGUGACUUUUUAUCAUAACCAUUAUUAAAAUGACUAAACAAUGAACAUAUAUGCACUAACCAUUAUCGAUUCGAAUAAUUACCAAACCUAAUUAGUGGAUGUCCCCCAACCCCCCAUUAUUUGUUAGUGGGUUUGGUUAUAAAAACAGGACAGAAACCACAAACUUGCGAUUGUGUAGUAAGUGUUAUUGGGGGAAAAAAAAGAGUAAACAAUGACAAAUAUUGCUUCUAUCAUCCUCCUCCUCCUAUCUCUUAGCUUCUUUUCUCUGGCCAUCAAUGGCGACGAGCAUGAGCAGCAUAGUAAUUUCCACACAAUUCAGCUCUCCUCUCUGUUUCCAUCUGAUUCUUGCUCCAGCCCUUCUUCACCCACAGGUAAUCCUUGCAAAAUCUCUGCUGCUUUCCAAGUCUGUCUCGAGCUCACAUGUCCUCUUUGAAGUAAGAACUGGCUGGAAUGGUACUUAUGAAUAUGAAACAGUAGCAUUUGUUUUGGGAAUAGUACGUACGUACGUACGUGGUAAUUGUUAAUCAGAUUAGAGCUAAUAAUUCACCGGUCCACGUUUGUGUAAAAGUGAGAAGUUUGAUUGGUCUGAGGAAGAGGAGAUAUCGCAUCCUAUCCCUUUCCCAUCCCACCAUUUCUGCAACUCAUUUUUACUUUUAAUCACUAUUAUAUUUCCUUAUCCUGAUUGCUUUGGUCAACUUUGUUAUGGUUAAUUUCCCACCUUGUUACUAGUUUCAGUUAGACCAUGUUUGAAAGCAAAAUUUAAAGCACCUAAUUAACUCCAUUGGUGGUCAUAUCCAACAGCUAACUGUAGAUACACUUACCCUAGAACCUUUUUACCUCUUGAUGUUGGAUUAUUAUAUUUCGGAAUAAAAUUAUGUGUAGCCUCAAUUCUAAUCAAUCUCUGUUAACACUUCAUUUGUCUAAUAGUAAUUAUUAGGACAUAACCAAUGAUGAAAUAUAUCAAGCAAAGAGGGCUCCAACUAUACAUUAUUGAAUAUAAUUUACAAACUUCCUCCAGUCAUGUCGUGAUUUGGGUGGACAGCAUUAUUGAGGGUGGAAUCAUUUUUUGAGCUUUUUGUUUGAUUAUCAAUAAAUUCAUUAAUUAGUUUAAUCACAAUGUUCUUACCAAACACGUUACACAAUAUAAUUGUUCCAGAUCCAACUUGAUUUUCAGACCUUACAAUUUCAUCAUAUUAAUAGUAUCCCUAGGAUCAAUUCGAUCACCUAGAUUGAGUUGUGAAAAACUAUGACAAGAUUACAUAUCGUAUAGGAGAGACGGACUACUAGAGGAUUCGUGUGACAUUGGAUUCGAGCGUUGUAAUCCAACUUUUGUUGGUGUACAUGUGAAAACAAAAGUAUACACGGACAUGAUAAGCUAGCUUUUAUAUAUCCGUGACUGUUAAUCAUACACUGAAGUCAGAAGAGUCAUUUCAACAAAUACCUACUUUGACUUUGACUUUUAUUUCAUUUCCUUGCUGUGAACUUUUCUUUUAUCUUCGUGUUCGUUUUUCUUUCAUCUGGAAUAUUGAAAUCUCAGAAAUUGCUACAGGGUUGAAAAACGAGGCAUCUCUGCUGCAAGUGGUUCACAAACAUGGGCCAUGCGCUCAGGCCCAGCAGCUAACCGCCCAACAACACAAACCCAGCCCAGAUGAAGUCCUUCGCCAGGACCAAUCCAGGGUCAAGUCAAUCCACUCCAAGACGAGGAAAGCCGCUGGGAAUGAUGUCAGCGUCACGGAAUCCACCACCAUUCCGGCCAAGGACGGCAGCACCGUCGGCUCCGGCAACUACAUCGUCACCGUCGGGCUGGGCACUCCGGCCAAGCAACUAUCUCUAAUAUUUGACACCGGGAGCGACGUGACGUGGACUCAGUGUCAACCUUGUGUCAGAGCAUGCUACCAGCAACAGGAGAGGAUCUUCGAGCCCACCCAGUCCACUUCUUAUCGAAACGUUUCCUGCGAGCAAGCCGUUUGCGCCGCCCUUUCUUCCGCUACCGGUACGUUUCGGCUCUCCCAUUCUUUUCCGAGUCCCAUUCUAGAUUCAGGGACAUUGCUUUUUAGUCCGAUUCUGGAGUAAUCGGAGCCCUAAAAUAUUCAUCUAAGAGCCAAAAUCAAUUAGAAAUUAUAUUGUCAUGUUUUUUUAAAUAUUUUUAUUGGAUUAAAUUAAAAUAUUUUUAAUUGUCGGAUCAUCAUUUUAUCGAUCCUGACCAAAAUAAAAAAAAUGAAUAAAAACACCGCCAACUAUUAUUGCACUAGGGAAUAAUUUUGCUCCUUCGUUACUUUCUAUAUAAAGAAGCAAUCUGCUUCUUAUUCUUAUAUAUCUCACAUCUCAAUCUUCCUCCACUAUCAACGUCCAUCUCUGUUUUUUACCUUGCUUAUUAUGUUUUCAUUUUUAUAAUUGAGAUAAUUUAUUUUAAUUGGGUAGAUAGGUAAGCGGUAGAAAGUUUUGAUAAAUAUUUUAUCGUGGUAAUAAUAUUUUUUUGUGAGCGAUAAAAAUAGUGAGACAGUUGUUUCGGGGUUGGGAAACACUUGAGAGAUACUAUUUUUGGAUCGACUCAGAUCGCCUUGUAGCUGCCUUGUUAUAGUGAAGAAGUGCUCGUAACUGUCGCUGCUGCCGUAGCUGUACUCUUCGCAUUGGAGGGGAACUACGUAAAUUAUAGUGUUAUUUACUUACCGUUUUGUGCUUGGCAAUUUCGAGAAUAAUUGUUGUAUAUUGCAUUAUUAAUAUUGCCAUAGUAAAUUGGUAUAAGGAGGUUGGCUUAAUUAUCGUCAUUAUGGUAUUGCGGUGGUAAUCACCCAUCCAUAGUGAUUUUAAGUGUGGCGGACUACCGNNNNNNNNNNNNNNNNNNNNNNNNNNNNNNNNNNNNNNNNNNNNNNNNNNNNNNNNNNNNNNNNNNNNNNNNNNNNNNNNNNNNNNNNNNNNNNNNNNNNNNNNNNNNNNNNNNNNNNNNNNNNNNNNNNNNNNNNNNNNNNNNUUUUUCGACAUUUUCCCCAUCCGUUAAAUUUUUUUUUGUAUCUACAUGAUCACCGUCGUCGGCUUUACAUUUUUAUAAAUAUUUUUUGAUGACCCUCUAUAUAACUUUAUACUAAAGAGUUGUACGAAUCAUAUAUAUCAAUGUAUAUAUGUUUUUACAAACUUGUGCAAAGUAUAAUACUAAAUUAUGUAUUAAGUAUAUACAUUUGUAAUAUUAUAAAAUAUCAAAUCUGCCUUAUAUUUUUAACCAAUAAAUCUAAAACACAAUUUUAUAAGAUUUGUAUAUGUUUUCUGAAUAGAAUCUAGAAACCAUUCCACUCGCUCAAAAUUCCGACUUAUUAUUUCACAUUGUAAUUAAAUGUACAGGAAACAAUGGGGGAUGUUCAUCCUCGACAUGCGUGUACGGGAUCCAAUACGGAGACUCUUCAUUCUCAGUAGGCUUCUUCGCCUCAGAGAAACUCACCUUGACAUCAACUGACGUCUUCGACGAAUUCUACUUCGGAUGCGGCGAAAACAACCAAGGAAACUUCGGCGGCGCCGCCGGAUUGAUCGGCUUGGGAAGAGACAAACUAUCCCUAGUCUCUCAAACCUCCGACAAAUACAACAAGCUCUUCUCCUACUGCCUACCGUCCACCGCCUCAUCUACCGGCUACCUCUCCUUCGGGGCCACCGCCUCCACCACCAAAUCCCCCACCAUUUACACUCCCAUCUCCACAGGCUCCGGCGCAGCCAACUUCUACGGCCUGGACAUCACGGCUAUCAGCGUCGGCGGUCGUAAGCUCCCGGUCUCCGCCUCCGUCUUCUCCACUGCCAAGGCCAUCAUUGACUCUGGCACCGUCAUCACCCGCCUCCCGCCGGCUGCCUACUCCGCCCUCCGGACGGCGUUCCGGCAGCAGAUGUCUAGGUACCCCACGGCCCCGGCGCUGUCUAUCCUAGACACGUGCUACGACCUCACCAAGUACAAGUCCGUUACGGUGCCGAAGAUCGGAUUCUUCUUCGCCGGCGGCGCCGAGGUGGACAUUCAGUCCGUCGGGAUUCUUUACGCAAGCAAGGUGUCGCAGGUGUGUCUGGCUUUCGCCGGGAAUGGGGAUGCGGGUGACGUGGCAAUUUUCGGAAACGUGCAGCAACAGACGCUGGAGGUGAUUUACGACGGCGCCGCCGGGAAGAUUGGGUUUGCCAGCGGUGGGUGUAGCUGAUUGAAGGGUAAACGACGCCGUACUUGAGUUAAGUACGUACACUUUGGAAUUGAAUAAUAAUAAUAAUAAUAAUAAUAAUGAAAAUGUAGUAGAAGCAAAGUAGCGAUUGCAAAGGGCAAAAGGGUUUGAAAGAAGGUAACAGAAGAAACACAGAUGGAAUUAGUAUGAAAUUAGUUUACGAAUCUGGAAAAAGAAGAAGGAAUUGGGCGACGAAGGAAGAAGAGUAAUUAAAAUGUCAGCGUGGAACAAAUAAGAUCAGAUGUUUGAUGAUGAACUGUGAAUAUGAUGUGUUGUUUUCUUAAUCUACUCUGUCAUUACUUUUUCAGUCAUGCUUUAAGCCAAAUUAACUUGAGCCAAAUAGAAAUUUCUAUUAGUGAUCAAUAUUAGCCCGUGACGGACAAUGCACAUCCUUCAUUGUGGACUGGAAUUCAGCCUUUCCUACAAGCUUAUAUCCUGUAAAAACUGGUAAACAGAUGUGGGCAAGGCUUCAAAAUCUACCCAAAUAUUUGGCACCUUCCUCCUGAUUUUGAAUGAGCCAUUGAUACAGAGUAGUUUCAUCUUGAUACAGUGAGCUGCCAAGGUAAUUAAAUUUGACACGGUUAACUUUUAUUGUUACCUUUUUAGACUGUGGAUGGUCUAACGUUUAGUGUGUAGCACCUCUUCAAAAAAUCCAAACUAGUAGGACAUACGUCUUCUGUGUCUUCUGCUACGGAGGGCGAUGCAUCAAGUAUGAAUGGCUCCUUUCUAAGUAUGAGAUAUUCUUGUGGGGAGGAUGAGAUAUUCUUGUGAUGAAUGAAUGAAUGCGUGGACGAUGAAAUUGAAGUGAGCAAUAGCAGUUACAAAGUUCAUUGAUGAAAGCUUCUUUUUUUGGUCAAUUUUCAUUUGACCGGCUGUCUCCACUACCGUGAAUCAAUACAACGGUCAUUGUGAAAAAACUGCAAUUUUGUAGGGGUAAGUACGUUUUGGGUACCGAAGUUCUCCGUGCACCGAACACGUAGCUGACCGAAUAAGUUACGACAAGAGUGAAAAUACAUGCUACGAAAAAUAACUAGAAUUUAAUACAUCAACCAUCGAUUCAAUAUCAAUAUCUUCGUAUACGAGUCCACAAUCACUACCGUUCCAGCCACCACACACCACCGGUGAAGUGAUAUCUACUUUUCACCAGCUUUUUUAAAGACAGAGGCACGUGCCUCAAUUCCUUUGAAAUUUUGAAACCCGUAGGACCUAUAACCCCACAUGCCAAUAUAUGACCAUGCUACAGUCUCCCAACAUGCCAAAAUCCAUUGCAAGUGUGUUUGGUUAUAAAAAGCGAGUGACAGUAUUGCCCACUCAGACACCACAAAUCGGGAUUGGGUUACUGCCUCAGAAGAACACAAUAAUGGCAGUUGCUUCCACUACUUCCCUCUUCUCCUUCACCACCCUCCUCCUCCUCCUUGUAGCUCUUAGCUUCUUUUCUCAGCCCAUCAAUGGCGACGAGCAGCAUGAUUUCCACACCAUUCAGCUCUCCUCUCUGUUCCAAUCUCAAUCUUGCUCUGGCGCCCCUUCUUCUUCUUCUUCUUCAACCAAAGGUAACUGUUCAAAACUUGUCAGUUAAGUACAUUAUACUUACUUAUAUAUGGUUAACAUUUCGGUAUUUAUAAAUAAUUUGGGAUAUUAAACGUUUUUGUUUAAACUUUAGGAUAUACUUAUGUUUAAGAGGUGUCAUUUGCUAGGUUGUGUCACUGGAAUGACCAUGGAGCUAUAAUUAAAAUGGAAAAUUUUGUUAUUUUAUUGUGAGACAACCAUUUAUGCAUAAAUGUUAUAUUUUCAAGUUGAUUAUUAAUUAUUCAUACAUAUUUAUUUUUAUUCGUGCGCAUUUAUCAUGUAUAUAUGUCACGUAUAAAUACUAUAUUAUUUUUUAUUUAAUUAAAAAUUUCACCUUUUUUUAUAAAAUAAUAUUUAUGAAUGGUAAAAUAAACUAUUAAGAUAAAUUAGUGAGAUAUUAAACCUUUUCCUAAUUAAUAAAUGUGAGAAAUUACGGCAGGGUUGAAGAACGAGGCAUCUCUGCUGGAAGUGGUUCACAAACAUGGGCCAUGCGCCAAGGCCCAACAAGGCAAACCCAGCCUAGACGAAAUCCUUCUCCAGGACCAGUCCAGGGUUAAGGCAAUCCACUCCAGGUCCAGAAAAGCCUUCGGGAGUGACGUCGGCGUCACCAAAUCCCCCACCAUCCCCGCCAAGGACGGCAGUCUCAUCGGUGCCGGGGACUACAUCGUCACUGUCGGUCUGGGCACUCCCGUAAAAAAACUAUCUUUGAUCUUGGACACUGGGACAGAUCUGACGUGGACUCAGUGCAAACCUUGCGUGAAAUCAUGCUACAAACAAAAGGAAAAGAUGUUCGAACCCUCCCAGUCCACUUCUUACCAAAACGUCUCCUGCGAGCGCGCCGCUUGCUCCGCCCUUGCUUCCGCCACCGGUAAAUUUCAUCUUAAAGAUUAUUAAUUGUCAUCAUACAUUGAGUCUGAAUUUGGAGCAAGAGAAAUGACUAACGGAUUCAAUCUAAAAAGUCCUCAAAAAUCUCAGCCGUCUACAAAUCGUGUUAUAAAUAUAACGGUUGAAAAUAUAGAUCAAAAUUGACAUUUGAUAGUUAUACAAAUGUAUAUACUAAAUAUUAUAGUAAGUUGAAAUUGAAUCCAUAAAACAAUAUAUUAAUUGAUUAAUAAUAAUGUCAUACGUUUGUUUUUAUCUUGACAUAUAUAGGAUUUAGGGAUUGUUCAUCGUCGACAUGCGCGUACGAGGUCAAAUACGGAGACUCCUCAUUCUCAAAAGGCUUAUUCGCUUCAGACAAACUCACCUUGACAUCAGCUGAUGGCAUUGACGACUUCAACUUCGGUUGCGGCCAAAACAACCAAGGAAAGGACUUCGCCGGUGCUGCCGGAUUGCUCGGCUUGGGCAGAAACUCAAUAUCCCUUCUCGGUCAAACCUCCGACAAAUACAAAAAGCUCUUCUCCUACUGCCUCCCUUCCACCGCCUCAUCUACCGGCUACCUCUCCUUUGGCGCCACCGCCUCUACCACCAAAUCCCCCAUAGUCUACACUCCGAUCACUGGCGAUGCCACCACAUACGGGCUGAGCAUCACCGCCAUCAGCGUCGGCGGGAGCAAGCUUCCGAUCCCCGCCUCCGUAUUCUCGACCGCCAAGGCCAUCAUUGACUCCGGCGCCGCCAUCACCCGCCUCCCGCCGGCGGCCUACUCCGCCCUCCGCUUGGCGUUUAAGAAUAAGAUGUCUGAUUACCCUAUGGCGCCGGCGCUGUCCAUCCUGGACACCUGCUACGACCUCAGCAAGGCUAAGGACGUGAAGGUUCCGAAGAUCGGGUUCUUCUUCGCAGGCGGUGCUGAGGUGGAGAUUCAGUCUGUCGGGAUUCUCUACGGCAGCAAGGCGUCGCAGAUGUGUCUGGCGUUCGCCGGGAAUGCGAAGGCGACUGAUGUGGCGAUUUUUGGGAGCGUGCAGCAGAAGACGAUGGAGGUGGUUUACGACGGUGCCGGUGGGAGGGUUGGGUUCGGCAGGGGGGGGUGGCGCCAGGGGUGGUUGCAGCUGAACGACGCCGUGGUUGGGUAAUGCACACUGUUGGGAUUAAUAAGGGAGAAAUAGGCAAAUAUAUAAAUUGCCGAAAGUGCCCAAGUAUGGGAAGUUUAGAGAAUAACGAGUGUGUGCGACCAUUGCUUUACUAACCCAACUACUUGACUGGCCGACCUAAAGUUCAAAAACUUGUAUUUUGUAUCCCCACUGACCAACCCCCUUCUUUCGCCGGUGAACGAGACGAUGACUUGCAGUGCAACGAUGAGUAUUGACCAAGUUAAAAAAAAAACUCCAAAUUUAGCCAGUUUGAAGCCAGAAAAAUCCUCCCAACAACUACAACCAUAUAAUUUAGCCAGUUUCCAGCUUUCAUCUUCAGCAUUUUCCUUGCCUUAUUGUUAUGGGCAGUCACUAACUUCUUACAAUAAUACCAAACGAGUCAGAUACUUUAAUCUUUUUCAAAAAGUAUGAUUGCAACAUUGAAUUUGAUAUUUGUCCUUCUCUACUGCCAUUCUCUGACUCGUUUAUUAUCUACACAACAAUCACCAACACCAUUCAAGGACCAACAGGGCAGUAAUAAUAAGAAGAGACUUUUUAAAUAAAUUAACUUGUAAAAGAGAUUUUUUUUAAAAUUAUUAUAAAACUAAAACCCCCGCAACUUGGUAAACAAUUACAGUUUUGUCUUAUUAUUACCAUCCUCCUUGCAAUCAUCAUCGUCCUCUUCCUCUUCUCCGGAUUCAUGGUGGUUGACCUGAGCCAACCCUAUCCCACGCCCUCCUACCACCGUCGGCGACACCCCCUGCGUUUCCACCACCUCCGCCGACGACAUUUCCAUCUGACACACCCUGACCGCCCCGAUUAAUCUCUCUGGCAACUCUUCCUCCUCCUGCGCCUCCACCACGAACCCCAUGUCGAUCUUCACGCUCGUCACGCAUCCCAACGCCACGUGCAGGAUCGCCGUCGCUAUGGCGGAGCUACCUAUGUCGACGUCGAUCUCCAAAUAGUUAGGACCUCUGUGGUAAUUGCAGGUUAGAGCCUUCCCCAGCAGGCACGCGUUGUAAUUCCCCACUGUUUUCCGUACCACCCACGGCCCUUUCACUAUCCGAUUCACGAUUUUGAAUCGCUGAUUCCGGUACGCGUCGUCGCCGUACAUGAAUUUGUGCAGGAGGCUCCCCGGAGGAAUCGGAUCUGGAGCCGCGAAGUAGAAGACCGCGCUGUGUUGGUCUUUCCCCGGGACCUGGAGGUUCACCGCGAAUACGAAGCUCUUGAGCGAUCUCCCUUCCGAUUGCGCCUUGCGGAGGGCCUGAGCGACUCGAUUGUCCGGGUGGCCGAGUACGUUGUCGAGUUUGGUGGUGGACUUUAGCCAAUCCAUGCCGGCAGGGGAGAGCAGGUAGUCUCCCGCGGGGGAUUUUUGUUUCUUGUUAAAGUAAUUCUUAGAGCGGAGAGAGAAUAGGUUACCGGGAGGUGAAGACCAGCCGUUGGUUCCGUUGUCGAGGUCUACGUGGCGGAGAGAUCCGCCGUUGAUUGACUCCGCGAUCCAAUCGGGAGCGGUGGAGCUUAUGGUUGUGGCGGAGUCGGCGUCGGGAAUCCCGACCUUGGAAAUAGAUCUGGAAACGGCGGAGGCGGAGCUCCGGUGCUUCUGUUUGGAUGGGCUCAUGGCGCAAUUCUAUGUUGGGAUUUCUGUAUCUUUUUGCUCUCUCUGUGGUUUAAUCUGUUUGCUUUUUGUGUGUUCCGGUAUGUGUUAUUAUUACUCCGGGAAGGAGGAGGAGGAUGGAGAAGGAGCGGAGGACUCUCUGCAUAAGAGAGACAAAGUGACAAGUGAGGACGGUGGGUGUUACUAAUAAGAAACUACGGUUACAAUACCCUUAUAGUUCGACAAAUAUACGAAAAUGCCAUUUCCAGCUCAGUGAUUUUUUUUAAUUCAUUUUCUGUUAUUCGAUGCUUGUUUUUAGGCUUUUCGCUAAUUAUCCAUUUUGUUCACGAACUUUCAUUGCCAUUUGAAAGAGAGCGUAGAUCACGAGUUCAUUAUUUAAUUAUUAUUGGUUAAUAUCUUACUGAUAUUGUAUGCCUAUUUGGACGGUUUAAAUAUUGAUUUGCACAUGUUAUCGCAUUAUUGGCCCUCGUGGACAAUGAAUUAUCUCUACUAUUUUGGGUUGCCGAGCGUGUACUCUAGACUCAUGAGGCACAUGUUUAAGCUUUGCUUUUAUUCGUAUUUAAUUACCUUCAUUUAAUUAUAAGGUGUAUUUUGCUAGUAAUGAAGCUACGUACAUGUAUCUUUUGAAUUCCCCACAAUGAUAUACCGACCAUUCUAACGCUAAUAACAGAACACGCUUUCCCCGCAACUCUAGUCGUCGGGCAUGUCGGCAUGCCCAAGUUGGCCUUCUUCCCUAGGUAGCAAUAAGUCUUCAACACCCACUCAUCACUUUUUAGAGGUGGAUUCUCGUAACUUCAUUCAUAACCGAUAGUUAAUUACACAUAAAUGAGAGAGUCGGGAAAUAAAUAUUGAUAUAUUCGAAAAUAAAACCCUCAAUCUGUCAAAAUGAUGUCCAUUUUUUCAUUUCCGGAGUGAAGGCCACUUUGUUUUGGUGGCGUGGAAUCAUCAAAGUACUAGCAUCACUGCAUUCCCACAUGCACUUGAGAUCAGGGAUCAGUUGUUGAAAAACAUCAAUGAAAAUUAUGAUAUAUUCGGAGCAAAUGAUCAUGGAUUUUGCAUACCAAAUAUACACGUCAAAUAAAAUAAUCUAACAUAUUUUAAUUUUCAAAAAAUAAUUUUCUACAUUUCUUCUAUUCUCAUACUUUAAGACCGAACAAGUAGCCACUUAUAGCCUGUUUCAUGAUUAUGAUGGGUGUUGCAUGACAACAUGUUCAAUGAACCUAGAGGAUUUGCUCGAUUAUUAGGACCGAAAUAAGAGUAAUUGUGACAGUGGUUUCAAAUUGCUUGAGAAAGAGAGUACCAUAGUGUACGAGUGCAGCUGGAUUCGUGUGCUAGUUGCGAUUCAGCCUCUGUUGGGAGAUAACUAUACUCACACACCAUCAUUUUUCUGAGAUCGUCAAUUUUUACAAAAUGUUAGAUCAGAAUUGAUCAGUCAAAGUCCAAUAUAUAUAUAUAUAUAUAAACAAUCAGUCUGUAUUCAUUAUUGAUUUUAAUUUAUCAUUACACAUUUUGUACUACCAGAGAAUUCCGAAUCGCGGUUGUUGAUUAUGAACGGAAACAGCCUCCUGAAACUACGAUGAAUAAAUUACAAUGUGAGCGGUGGCGGAGGAGAAAAUCCAUGUUCAUCGUCGACCGUCAUCCAUGCACCACAAACUCCAACGCCGGCCCCACCUAAUCCAUUCUCCAACCGCAAUGUCUGUGUGGCUUCACAGGCUUCUGAUCUGAUCCGACGAACGAACUGAACAAUUUAAUAAUUUGAAAAAAAAAGGAAAAUACCACCAUUGGCGGCCAUCGUUACAUUACAUUGCAGAUAUGCUAGCCAGGGCAGCAGUGUCAGUCGCUUCCACCUCCACCACCGUCGCCGCCGUCUGCUGUCAUCCUUUUCUUAACCCCUCAAAACGCCUCUCAUUUCUCCCUCCCACUCCUUCAACCAAAUGGUAUCCCAAUCCUGAUCAUCGCACCACCAUCGUCAUCUCACAAAACCACCAAUCUCGCCGUGCAAUUAUGGAGAGUUUCAAGACUAGAGCAGCAUCCUCAGUACCGGCUCCGCAGUUGGACAACGCCGACGCACUCAUCGACUCCGUCGAGACCUUCAUCUUCGAUUGCGACGGUAAUCAUUCCAUACACAAUACUUCUGGAAUCCAAAUUAGUGGCAGAUUUAGAGCUCUGAUAUUACAUUUUGAAAUUCUAUACAAUCGUACAAUUGCAUUCAACUACUUUAAAUCAGCACAAAUGUACAGUAAAGAACGAAAACAAUCAAGAUUGUAGUCAUUGUUGUGGGUGGAUUUGCAGGAGUCAUAUGGAAAGGAGAUAAGCUGAUCGAGGGAGUUCCUGAGACGCUUGACAUGCUCCGAUCCAGAGGGAAGAGAUUAGUAUUUGUGACUAAUAACUCUACCAAGUCAAGGAAGCAGUACGGUAAAAAGUUCGAGAGUUUAGGUCUCACCGUCAGCGAGGUUUGUUCCCUUCUUUCUCAGCUUUCCGAUUCAUGACACUCAGGAUCAGGAUUCAGGAGUCUGCUUGUUAUCUAAGUGUUUCUGUUAAUUAUUGAAGGAAGAGAUUUUUGCGUCCUCCUUCGCUGCUGCUGCUUACUUGAAGUCCAUUGAUUUCCCCAAAGAUAAGAAGGUAACUUAGACUUUCUUUGGAGUACUAUAGAUGGACUGAAAGAAGAGAAUUUUGACUCCUUUGUGAUGUUAGGUUUAUGUAAUUGGCGAGGAAGGGAUCUUGAAGGAGCUGGAGCUUGCUGGAAUUCAGUACCUUGGUGGCCCUGUAAACAAAGCUUUUUUUACAAUUUCCAUCUCACCAUGCAUAUAUAUUGCGGAAGAAGCAACUUGACAUGCAUAAAUUACUUAUUGAUGUGGUGCUAGGGGGACGGUGACAAGAAGAUUGAGCUGAAGCCAGGGUAUCUACUGGAGCAUGACAAAGAUGUAGAGAUCUCUUUGGCAUUUUGGAGCUAGAAUUUGAUGCAGGUGAUAGGAUGUGUUGAUCAAUGAGUGUGUCUCCUUAUUUCAGGUUGGAGCUGUGGUGGUUGGAUUCGACCGUUAUUUCAACUACUACAAAGUCCAGUAAGCUAAACCACUGUUUGAGAUGCACCAGCCAACUAAAAAUGCAUUAGGAAACUGGGGUACGUGAAUGGACUGCUAAUCUUCAUGAAAUUUUUGGAAUGGUUGAAGGUAUGGAACUCUUUGCAUAAGGGAAAAUCCUGGAUGUCUCUUCAUCGCCACGAAUCGUGAUGCUGUCACUCACCUCACAGAUGCUCAGGAAUGGGCAGGUUCUAACCCAUCUUUUCCUGCUUUUGAAUUUUGUUAACCAAAAUAAUAUAUAUCUUCUCACCAGACUGCAACAAAGCUUUAGUAUACUCCUGCAAUCCUUCAAUAACGGUUAUGGCAGAAUCGUACUCAACACUCUGUCAUCAUACUUCAUACAUCCUGCAACAAUGCUCUAGAACAGUCUUGUACCAAUCCCUGUUGUAGUAACACUUGUUUGGUUUCAGGGGGUGGUUCCAUGGUUGGUGCUGUUCUAGGAUCAACUAAGAAGGAGCCCUUGGUUGUGGGAAAGCCCUCUACUUUCAUGAUGGAUUACUUGGCAAACGAGUACGACUCCUCCUUUCCUUUUGUUUUGCCGUCCAAUGUAUACUAUUGCAAUGUGACGUGAUGGGUUUCCGUUUUGACCAAGAACAGGUUCGGGAUAACCAAGUCCCAGAUAUGCAUGGUAGGGGACAGAUUGGACACCGAUAUUCUUUUCGGACAGAACGGUGGUUGUAAAACUCUGCUUGUACUCUCAGGUAAUUAACUACUUAGUUUGAUGUAUAAAUCUCUGUUGACUUUGGCGAUGUCUAGUGUGUGUCUAAUUGUGAACCCUUGUGUCAGGUGUAACCUCAUUGUCAAUGCUGCAAAGCCCCAGCAACUCCAUCCAGCCAGAUUUCUACACUAACAAGAUAUCCGACUUCCUUUCUCUGAAAGCUGCGCCUGUAUGAAGUGCAACAAUAGUAAUAUAGAGAAAAUAAUAAUAAUAAAGACACUCCGUGUAUAUUAUUUCCUCUGAAACAAGAGAAUUGCAGAUUCAUUAUCAGAGAGUUUUCUAGUUUACAAUUGUGUUGAAGGCUGCUUAUUUUCUGCAGUAUCUUCAACUAUCAACUAUUUAGUAGAGUUGGCUGGACUUGAGUUCUAUGUCGAUCUAUGAUGAACGUCACCGAUUAUCGACAUAUCGUGCUAUGCAAAACUAUGCAGCACUUCAACUAAACAAUAGAACAUUAUUUGCAUAAACACUUUACAGCAUUUGUUUAUAAAGAUUCAGUGUGCGAUUUGUUUAUAAAGUUAGCAAUCUUGCCACAUUGUAAUAAGCCGGACCAUCAUCAAAUGCCAAAAUAGCCCCCUCUAUAGGGAGGGAAAAGUACAGCAUCAACCGCCCCAAAAGAAACUUAGAAGAAGACGAAGAAGGGUAGAAUAGGCGUCAGCUAACGACGGAACAAAACAUCAUAUCCUCCUCCCCAGACCAGCCCCUACCUCAACUAGUAACCACCUGCGGAUAGAGUAAACAAAGCUUUCCCGUCAAAAUCAAUCAUCCACAGCUCUACUUGGGAGCAAGGACUUUAGAAACAAUAUUUGAUAUUUCUCAUAAUGGAAACAAGCAGAAACCAACAAGGGAAAUAGAUCAUGGUGCUAUCAGGAGAAGCAUGGGGUACUUAACAGAUACCAAAACCUGAUCACAUAAUCUUAUCAGCUUUGCAACAUAGGAUACUACGAGUCAGUCCAUCUGAUCUUUUUCAGCAGAUACAAAGCCUUUAUGGAAUUCUAUUACCUAUAUGUUAGUUUUACAAACUACUCACAUGAUACUAGUCUUUCAGCAGAUACAAUCAUACAAAGCCAUUUGUGGACAUGUUUUACCUGCCGAUUUCUAUGUUUUAUACCAUACGCUACAACUUUUAUGGUCAGUGAUCAACUAAAUACCAAAAAAACAUCAUCAAGGAAUGGAGAUCGUCUCAACGGUAUGACAGCCAAUUCAGACUCUCCAAGACAGCCAAGUGAUGUUACGUUCAAUGCAUAAUCUUUGGGAACGAACUUCUGAAAGCCACUCACAGUAGAUAAUAGUACCAUUACAUCAGAGCUAUUAGUGAAAUGUUCGCCUCUAAUAAAGUAACAAAAUAAAUGACAAUUGAUAAUGUCUAUGAUGUACACUAUAUGCUGCCACCUUUCAUCUCAAUUAACACUCAGUUUAUGGAUAUCUACCUUCUAACAGAAUAGACAUAAAUCAGUCGUCUGCAUCUCUCACUUAACUUACAAAAAAUGAGAUACGUAUCUCCUCAGAGCAGUUAAUGAAUCAGGAGGAUGAAAGGAUAUGAUUAUGCUUCAAAAUGGAUAAAACUACGAGCGUGCUACAAGAUCUGACUCUUAAUAAGCAAUCAGCAGCAAAUUCAUCUCACUCAACACUGUUAAUAUAAAAAUGAUAUCCACAAAUGUUUUUCAUCAGCUAACUCCUUACUCAUCAUUCCCCAUUCACAGCCUAGCUCUACUUGUAAUCAUGAUGAAAAAUUUGAUUUCCUACAAGAAUCCCAUAGCUCAAGAAAACGAGAAGCACUAAGGCAGGUGAGGGAAGUUGAGCUAAAAAGCCAACAAACCUCGAAAGCGCUCAAUGUUCCUUCCUCCUCGGUGGCUGUUUAUCGGUGGCUAAUCUGUACAUCCAAUAAACCUAAGACGAAUCCACAAGCGAAAGAUCAGAAGAUAGAUCAUAAACUUACUAAAACCUUAAGAAAACAGUAAAAAUGGGGGACAUCACAGUUAACGAGAGUGUACCAAAGCAAUCACAUGAGCUGCUAGCAGCACGACAACGGCGAAAGGCACCAAAUCGAGAGAUAACGAGCGCGGCGCUGAUUCCUUAGCCAUUGCUUCUGCAAGACGAACUGGAAAAGGCGAUCGACGACCGGAGCAGAAAUCGACAGCUUCACUUAACCCUGGAAGUCAGGACUUUCGAAGUUCGCUCUAGCACGGAAAGGAAAUGUGAUCAAAUACCUUCUAAGUACUAAGCUUGCAAACUUCACCAGCGGUGAACUUAUCACUU
Molecule: long non-coding RNA, 93083 nt
Filed under: Linum usitatissimum (flax)
Lineage: Eukaryota; Viridiplantae; Streptophyta; Magnoliopsida; Malpighiales; Linaceae
Description: long non-coding RNA (LUSI_LNC002872)
Source: RNAcentral